CACCAGAAUCGUAAUCUAAAUUUUCUAUUUUGAUUCACACCAUAAAGAUGACUCUAAACAACAAGAGUAUCUUGUGUCAGUUGAAUUGAGAGAGCACCCAACAUACAUAUAUAAGGUAAUGUACAAUUGGUAUCUUUAAACUUCUUUCAAUAUUUAUGGUAUAUAUAUGUAAAAGAGGGUACCGAACAUAUAUAUACAUACUAAUGGUAAUGUACAGUAAUGUUUAUGGUAUAUAUAUGUAACAUUGUAACGUUAUCCAUUUCGAUACUUUGGUCUAUUUUUCUGUUAAAAUGAACGAGUCAACUACAUAAGUUUAUAUUUUUCUGGAGAGCCUAUUCGGCGCACCCGUCAUCUCCACCGUCUAAUUUUUUUUUUUUUUUUUUUNNNNNNNNNNNNNNNNNNNNCGGCAACCGGUGCGCCGCGCACCCGGGUGCGCUGUAUAAUUUCCUAUUUUUCUGAUACUGGCCUUUGCGUGCAAGCUAGAAACGUUUCUCCAUACAUACAUUUUGGUGUACUGGGUGUUGUUACAUUAGUUUCAGCUUCAAACGUACAGAAACAAAGUAUUGGACCAAAAUGGAUCGUUGAGUUAGACUAGUUAUGAGAAGAUCUAUCAUUAGACUGCUAAUCAAAAACUUGUCUGGCUGAUCCAUCUCUCACGUUGUAACCUAGACACGUUUUAGAAAAUGAGGACAGUGAUAAUUUUGGAUAAACCAUCAUUCUACUAGCCUGUUCAGUCGACGGCCAAAUAGACAGUUUUAUCUAUUUGGCCGUCAAAUACAUAUAGAUUUGCACCUGAUCAAGUAUGUCACUAUAUCUCCUGUGAAGGUCCUAGAGUGGGGGGUGAAUAGGCCCUGACAACUUUUUUGCUCUAUCCCGCACACAAGGAUAGCAAAGAUUGUGCUAUCCUAUUUGCUAUGAGACUAAGUUGUGUAAAUAAAAAGACAAGUACUGAAAGUAAAAGAUAUAACACCAGUACGUUUUUUAUACGCAGAAACCCUGCAACCAGGGAGAAAAACUGUGUGCCUCUAACUCUUGAGAGACAAACUAUUCCACUAUUGUAAAGACACUUUUUACAAAACUCACAACUCAGAGGAUGGCACAACACCUAGCCAUCCUGCCUAGUCUAACUACUAGCACACAACUGAACUUGCUGUCUUGUCACUCAAGUGUUUUACACAUAGCACGAAUCUAAGCUUCUAUGCAGAAUUCAACUAACACCUUUAGCUAAUUCUCAAAGACAGCUUACAACUUGCUUCACACGAACUUAACUAACUCCUUAGCUAAUUCUCUAUGAAGACUUCACCGGGUUGCAUCACCUAGACCGCUCUCAAGGUAUGCAUGAACAAUGAACAAUGAAAUGGGUUUUGAAAAUGUUUUGAUGCUCAGCUCUAAGAUUUAUAAUCAACGAGGAAGACUUAGAGCAAAGGAGCAAAGAAGCAAUAAUACUAAGACUCAAAGGGAGAAAAUGUAAAUGACAAUUUUCAACAACCAAAGAGCAAGAGAGGUCUUGCUCUCUAUUUAUAGGCAAGGUGCACAGCUAUAAGGAAGCAAGCACGUUUGCCACAUCAACAAGGUUCUUUUGGACUCUAGCUGCUUGUCUGAAAUACUAGGACGGAUAGGACCCUAGGGAUCCCUCCACUCACAAGACAAAAGCUGAGAAUAGACUUUCCUAGGAAAGACUAAAUCCAAAAGGAUAAGACAAAAUGUUUUGGGAAAACUAGAUCAGAUUUAGUCAAGCAUAAAGACUCUACAAAACCACUUUACCUAAGAGGACACUUAGGACAGCUGAUAGCUUGGGCGGUGCAUCACAUGGGCAGCUGCUAACUUGGUUUAUGUAUCACAAAACCCAGCUGGUUCCCAAAGGCUCAAGUUAUGUGGUCACGGGUUGGUUUGCCACACCACCUUAGACUAACUUGGAGCUCAAGUACGAAUAGACUAAUGUUUUGCUAAAAGGUAUUUGAAAUUCAAACACUUAAAAACUGAAGCAAACACAUUUGAAUAUGCACAUGGUCAGACCCAGUAGAUAGAACAGAUACAGCAAGGGUAUCCGUUUAAUCGGGAUGGCAAGCACGGCUGCCAUCCUUAGUGAAUGAAUGAGAUGCACAUGCAUGAACUGCCUGAUGCACAUGAGAUCUGUCAGGUUCUUCAUUCUUCACUUGAGUAGUCCUUGCUACCAGGCUACAACAUGUAGCAUGUAUCCUUGUGUUUUGAUCAUAAAGGGAUAGCCAACAAUUCUUGUACCAACAAUCUCCCCCUUUGGCAUUCCUGAUCAAAACACACCUUCAAAGGUUGUGCUGGUUCUAAACACAAGAAUAGACUAAACGCCUGCACAAACAUCUCAAGAACAAGUGAAGGUAUGGAUGGCCAAAAAAAAACUCUUAUGAAUCACAAGCUGUGGGAUACCAAGACAAUCAUGCAUCAUAACCAACAGAAUAGCAUAAAUAACAAACAACAUAAGUCAUGAAUUUAACCACACAGCAUUCAUAAAUAAUUCAGAGUUUUGACAACAUAAGCCCUACAACUAGUUCUCCCCCUUUUUGGCAGUGAAUACCAAAUGGAAACAGAGAAACCGAUGUUCAACAUAAAAACAACAACCUACAUCCGAGAAUGGAUAAAACAACAUUAAUGCAGAGAACCACAACAGAAAACCUAAGCAAAAGCAUCCCCAUCAUCACUUGACACCCUACCGAUCACAUCAUCAUCGCUCUCACUCUCCUUAUCAUCGGGAUCAGCAGAGGCAGGUGUAUCCUGAGAGGGAGUAGUGGAAGAACCAGAGGCAUCAUCAUCUCCGCGGCGCUCAAAUUCCCUUAAGAUCUCAGGCAUCUCCUUCUUGAAGUUGUAGAACUGGCGUCCAACAUAGUCCCUAAAUCCAAUGACUGCCUCCUGCAUUGCCUUGUCCACAAUGAGCUUGAUCUCCUUUUUCAGCAAGGUCUGCUCCAAAGACUCCACAUAUAACCCAGACUGAGCAGCGGAUUUGGCAAUUGUGACACGGUCAACAGGGUUGACAGGUAGAGCAAGAGCAUCAUCUCCAUGGAAUGGGACAUUGCUCUUGAUGCAGAGAAGAGUGAUCACAGCCGGAAAAACAAUGGAACUAGAGACAAAGAGACGCUGAGGGAUAGCAGCGCGUCUGAUAGCCUGAAAGAGAGGUUUGGUUUUGUCACAGAAAUAGGCAACCAAAACAGCUUGCAGGUGAGUGAUCUUGCUAGUUUGGGUUGUGGGAGUGAGAAGAGACCUAGCUACAAAGGUCAUAAACUUGUACCACUCAGUCAUGAAGCUACUGGAGAGAAAGGAAUCUGCGAGUGGCUCAGUAGGAGGAGAAGAGUACAUGAGAGAGGCAAGGUGAUCUAUGGUUGCUAAAUCUCGGUAUUGAAAAACCUUAUUCAUGGUAUGCUUUUCAGUAAUCGGGAGGGAUAAGACCUCACGUAUCCUAGCAGGCCGGAUAUCAACCUCUACUCCUCGCACCCAAACCAUGAUAGGAUCAUUAGACCUAAGCUUUAUCUCAGAAGGGACAUUCUCAGGAAAAUUAGCAUAGAAUUCCUGAACUAAAGAGAUGUUGACCCUAGGAAAUGACUCUAAAGCUUUGACCCAACCCAGCCUAUCAACAAAAUGCUUAAUCGCCUGAGGCAUGCUCUUAAAAUCAAAAGGCUUCUCAUAGAUAAUGGGUCUACUGAUAGUGACAGAAGAGAAGACUGACAUGGCUCUCUAUUGGAAUGGAAAUGAGACUCAGAAGGGAUAUCAGUUACCUCAAACAUCCUUUUCUUAAGAGGCAAGGAGGGUUUCCCAUCCUGGGCUCCAGUGGGCUUGGCUUUGGAAGGUUUAGAGGAAUCCUUCGACCCAGAUUUGGAAGAGCUGGCGAUUGGCUUGCCAGAGUUCCUGGUGAUUCGACGGCAAGGAGCGCGAAAUUCCGGAUCAGAACUGGAGGAACCAGAGAACUCCAUAGGCUCUUCUUCUUCAUCAUCGUCAUCAAGAAUUGGAAACUUGGGCUGUUUUCCAACCUUGGGAAGUGGAGCCUUGGCAGAUUUGGGGGCGACGCAGGUGGAGGAUGGACCGGACUUGGCAAAUCCCUGGGAUCGGGAUGCAAGGGCAUCGAGAAUCCCUUAAGUGCGACCCAUGCCGGAAGGCUUGAUCUUCUUGACCCGAGCAGACCCAGCAUGAAUGGUGCCCUUUCUCUUCCUAAUUUCAUUCAAUGUUGCAGCAAUGAAGGCUUCAACCUCUUUGGGGGAGGGUUGAGGUGCAACGAUAGUGGAAUCCACUUGUACAUGGACAAGGGAUGGAGUAGCAGCAGCAGAGGAGAUGGGAGUAGAACUCGGAGAGGAAGAGAAGGCUCUCAAUACUUGAGAAGCAGUAAGCAGGGGAUCAGAAUUCGCUAGGAGCGAAGAAGAAACCAUUGGAGAGGUCACUGACCCAGUUUCUUUUGCAGCAGAGUUUGGGUUUGGUUCAGCCAUGAGAAUGGGGGAGAGGAAAUGAGAGGAAAUGACAGAAUGAAGAUGAAGGAACAGAGGUGAGAACUGGUGAGAAAGAAAUGGGCGAACGAAGUGACUGGUGGAGAAGAUGAAGAAGUGGGAGGAGAGACCAGUUUUUAAUAGGCAUGCAAAAAGCAGCCAUGAUUAGACGUAACCGUCUUGAAAACUGCAAUCCCACAACGGUUGUGGGAAGUCUCCCCCUCUUCCUCUCAAAAGUUGACCCUCACAUGAGUCUAUGAGAGAAUAGGCCUAGCCCAUCUCAGAACCGAAAGCAAAGCCCUCUUAUAACCUAGAUGUCCUAAUAGAAGCUUCAAAAGAUCCUAGGACUGCAAACAACAUAAGAGAUACAAAAAGACAACUGCCAUCCUAUCAAAAACAAGGUUCACAAACCAACAAAAGCAACAAGUGGCUCAAACAGUGUAAACCCGUGAGUGUCCCUAUUUUUUAAUUUUACUCCCCCUUAGAAAGUGCAUAAAUUUGAAAAAGGAACUAACAAAUUUAACACUUUGAGCAAAAUUAUACUAUGAACAAAUCCCAAUGUUUUAGGAUAUGUGGUGCAUAAACACACAAAGCAUGGGCACUAGGGUUUCUAUUAACCUCACAUACUCACACAAUACUACACAUGACCAUAUGACUAACAAAUUAGCAUGGUCCAUAUAUCAUGACAUAUAUAAGAAGUAGUGUGUGUGCGAGAAGCAAACUUAAUGGGGCAUAAGAUUGCAUCAACUGAGAUAAGCAGUGAGGUGUCACAUAGAACCUGAGACCAAAGGUCUGUUCCAUCCUUAUAUCUCCUGAGAACAUUUUCAGCAUUGUUAUUCAACAUUUUGAGCUUUCUUUAUUUUUCAUUUUGAAGCCUAGCUAAAAGAUCGUCCUCAUAGGUUUAUAUAACAAGAAAACGUUAUUGUUGACUCCCAAACCAAUUGGUUUUAGGGCAACACGUGUAACAAGGACACGCCAAGGACUGUUUUCCAAACCCAUAGAAGGAUAGAUCAUAUCUCAGCAAUCCUCAUAGAUGGGAGAACUGGCUGGCCCAUACAGUUUAAAAUUUUAGAGAAGUUCCGACCUUUCUUCAAAGACAUCAAACAAAUCUCGUUUCUGCCCACCCUUAUAUCGUUUGUCACGACCAAGGAAUGUAUACUUUGAGAUUUGUUUGGUAAUGGAUAUUUUAAUCAACCAACUUCAACCUCAAACUAGUCUCGUUUCUUCCCACCCUUAUAUCGUUUGUCACGACCAAGAAAUGUUUACUUUGAGACUAGCUCGGAACAACUUCACUACACAUACUUAUCUCAAGUAUAUAGCUCACAAUAUUGCACACCACUUAGAGAUGCUAAAGUGAGACAUAUAGUUCUUCUAUUUGUCAUAAUAACUAGACCACAGAAGAGUGUGCAGAUGCAUAUAGUCAUGCAGAGAUUAGAGUAAGAGAAGCUAAUGAAAACCCUAGACACAUCCUUAGGUCAAGAUCAACCAAAACAUAUCCUGGGAUAUCAACAAGCUUAAGCAUCCUAAUCUCGAGGAGACCACAAGAACCACAACAACAAUUAUUAUAUAUAUAUAUAUAUAUAUAUUUUUUUUUUUUGAUUUUCCAUGGAACAAUAAACCCUACACUACACACUUAAGUACAGGGGAGAAAAAUCAAUCAUUGUUACCCACACCAAUGGCCUGACAAAGGCUAGUGAACCGAGCAUUGUCAAGUGGUUUUGUGAACAAAUCAGCUAGUUGUUGCUCAGUUGGAAUAAAAGACAAUUCAAGCAAUUUCUCUUCAACUAGGUUCCUUAUGAAGUGAUACCUUAUCUCUAUAUGCUUUGUCCUAGAAUGUAGCACAGGAUUCUUAGAGAUAUUGAUGGCAGAGGUAUUAUCACAGAAUAAGGAUAGCAUACCUUGCUUGAAUCCGUAGUCAGAAAGCAUUUGCUUCAUCCAAAGCAGCUGAGUGCAACAACUGCCAACUGCAAUGUAUUCGGCUUGAGCGGUGGACAGAGAAACACAGUUCUGUUUCUUGCUGUGCCACGAUACCAAGUUGUUCCCAACAAAAAAACAGCCCCCGGAAGUGCUUUUCCGGUCAUUAGCAUCUCCGCCCAAUCGGAGUCCGAGUAUCCUGCAAUCUCAACGUUAGUAUCAAAAGUAUACUUGAUGCCAUAAUCAGAAGUAUACUUAACAUAUUUAAUGAUACGUUUUACCGCCUUAACAUGAGACUCCUUGGGGUUGGCUUGAUACCUAGCGCAUACCCCAAUGCUGAAGGCAAUGUCUGGCCUGCUGGCCGUGAGAUAUAGCAAGCUACCAAUCAUACUCCUGUAGAGAGUUGGAUCAGCAUCUAUCCUUUCAAGAUCAGCACUGAUCUUGCAACUUGUCCCCAUCGGAUUUUGGACAGCAGUAGAGGUUUCCAUCCCGAACUUCUUGAUAAGUUCCUUGGCAUACUUCGACUGGGAGAUGAACAAUCCAUCCUUACCUUGAGACACUUGCAAUCCUAGGAAAUAACUAAGCUUACCACACAAACUCAUUUCAAACUCCUUAGUCAUGAGAGUGGUAAAUUCUUUCACUAGGGUCUCGGAUGUGGAUCCAAACACAAUGUCAUCCACAUACACUUGGGCAAUGAUAAUGUCCUUAGAGGUACACUUGACAAACAUAGUCUUGUCAAUGGAACCUCUCACAUACCCGUUCUCAGUCAAAUGUGUAGAGAGUCUCUCAUACCAAGCCCUAAGGGCUUGCUUAAGGCCAUAAAGGGCCUUAUCUAACCUAUACACAUGGUCGGGAUGGCUGACACUCUGAAAUCCUGGGGGUUGUGCCACAUAGACUUCCUCCUUGAGGAUACCAUUCAGAAAGGCACUCUUCACAUCCAUUUGAUAUAGAGUGAAUUUCAAAUGACAUGCUAUGGCUAGAAGGAGACGCACAGAUUCUAACCUAGCAACAGGGGCAAAGGUUUCAUCAAAAUCUAACCCCUCAAUUUGGGAAUAACCCUGCACAACCAAUCGGGCUUUGUUACGGGUUAUCACUCCCUUAUCAUCCGACUUAUUCUUGAACACUCAUUUGGUUCCUAUGACAUUCUUAUCACUUGGCCUAGGAACUAAAUGCCACACUCUACUCCUCUCAAAUUGGUUCAGCUCUUCUUGCAUAGCACCUAUCCACUCAACAUCAAACAAGGCCUCUUUCACAUUCUUAGGCUCAAUAGUGGACACAAAACCAUAACAAGUGAUCUCAUUGAUCUCACUUUUGAAAAGAGCUAGAAAACUUCUAAGCAAAGUAAAGUUGCUUACCAACUGAGCAGACUUACCCCUUGUCUUUCUUGGUUCAUCGAGCUUACCAAUGAUGUCGGAGGAACUAUGAUCUUUCUGAACUUGGCGCUUACCAGUUCUGUGAGGCUUCUGGAUAGCUAGGGUUGCAUCUAUCCCAUCAGUGAGGAUCUUAGCCGGAAGAUCAGAGUCACUUAUCUUUUCUUCCACUUCAGAUGUGGAAGGCUUGUCUUUGAGAGCUAGGCUCUGAGUUGGCUCUUGUUCCUGCACAGGAACAUAAGGAGAACCGUGACAGCAAACAAGGGAAUCAUCAAUAGCAACAUUUAUGGUUUCCAUAAUUUUGCAAGAUAUCUUGUUGUACACACGAUAAGCACGACUGUUCAAAGCAUAACCAAGAAAAACACCUUUGUCACAUUUAGCAUCAAAUUUGGUCAGAUAUUCUCUAUCCUUAUAAAUGUAACAAGGACUCCCAAACACCUUGAGAUGUGAUAUGUUAGGUAUCAUUCCCUUCCAUAACUCAUAACGAGUCUUGAAAGUUCCAGGCCUAAAGAUAACCCUAUUCAAAGUGUAGCAAGCAUUAUUAACAGCCUCAGCCCAAAAAGAAUGAGCGAGUUCAGCUGAGUUUAGCAUUACUCUACCCAUUUCAACCAAUGCUCUAUUCUUCCUUUCAACUAUCCCAUUGUGUUGGGGAGUGAUAGGAGCAGAGAACUCAUGAUGCACACCAUAUUCAUCACAAUAAUCAGCAAAAUUGGCAUUUUCAAAUUCAGUGCCAUGAUCGGAUAUGAUCCUAACAAUAUGCAAACCCUCAUGUGACUUCUCAUUUGUGACUUGUUUCGCAAAGCUAAAAUAUUUCUCAAAAGUUUCAUCUUUACUUGCCAAGAACUUUACCCAAGUAAACCUAGAGAAAUCAUCAACAAUAACAAGCACAUACUUCCUACCACCAACACUUUCGGUGUCAAUGGGACCUACUAAAUCAAGAUGCACCAGUUGUAAAACUUUGGAAGUAGGUUUAGCAGAAAGUGAAGGAUGAGAGGUACGGGUUAGCUUACCCAUCUUGCAAUCCCCGCACAUACCUGUGGACUUACCUGUGAGCUUAGGUAGUCCUCUUACCCAGGAUUUUGCAGAGAGCUUGACAAUGUCUUGAUGGUUGAGAUGACACAUACGUCUAUGCCAUAGAUCAAGAAGGUCCUCGGCAACUUGAGAUCGAAAACAGAUUUGGGGAGUGAACUUCUCAUGGGCAGAGAUACAAUAACAUUGAUCUCUAGUCCUAUCACCUCUCAUGACACUCCUACCUUUCCCAUCUAAGAUGAGACAUCUUGACUUGUCAAAAGUGACAGAGUCAUGUUCAUCCACAAUCUGACUAACACUUAACAGGCUGACUUCUAGACCUCUAACUAGAAGAACAUUCUUCAGACAUGGGAGACCAGGAGUACUAACUGUCCCUUUGCCUAUGAUCUCAGUCUUGGCACCAUCCCCAAACACAACAUUGCAUGAUGGAUAUGUCUCAUCCAUGGAUGAGAACCACUUUCGGUCACCGGUCAUGUGCCUAGAACAACCACUAUCAACAUACCAAGAGUCGGGGUUCCUAGUUGAAAGAGCAGUAAGGGCGACAUUGCAGAUGGCUACUAUCCUAUCCUGGGGUUUAGGAUUGAAGCUGACCCUUGUAAUAAAACAUGACAGAUCGUCAUCGUCAAAAUCGUGUUCCUGAAAAGGUUUGUCAAAAGAGCUUGUCUCAAAAGUUCUUAUAGCCUUUCCUACCUUAGGGUUGGCUCUUCUCCUAGCAGGAGGAUUCCUAGCUGGAAUUUUUGGCUUUGUGAUGGCAAGAUUCUGUGCUAUCCUAGAUAGCUCCUUAAGGGAGUCCUCAAGAGUUGACUGAAAAGUAGUGACACUCUCCUUCUUCUGUGACUUCCUAGAGUUUUGCUGACUGAAUCUAAGCUUCCUACAACGAGGACGGAUGUGUCCUGUUACUCCACAAUAAUGACAAGUGGGAACAAAACGUUGUGACCUAGUAGGCUCUAAGAAAGUUGGAUUCAAAGGCUCUUUGCUCUUGACAAACACGGUCUUGUUACCCUGACUAGAGCAACUUCCAGAUACAAACCCUAGACCAGACUUGUCCCUGUCGGACUUACCCAAACCACAAAUCUUAGUCAACUUUUCGGACCCAAAAGAGAACUUCUCAAAUUGUUGACGUGAAUCAAUUAGGGCUUUCUCAAGAUCUGACUUUUGAGAGGUUAGAGUGGAAACUAGUUUGGUCUGAGAAUCUAGACUAGUUUGCAAAGACAACACUUGGUCCUCUAGACAGACCUUUUCUGUCUUCCAUUUUGACUUGAGGGAUAGCAACUUCUCAUGUAUCCCUUCAUUGGUCUCCUUGCAUUCUGAAAGCUCAUUAGAGAGAGCUUCAAUUUUUGCAAGCAUGGACUUAGAGGCAGACACUAACCUAGAACACUUAUCGUGCAUGGAGAUAUCACAUUCAUCAUCCUCAAAGAACUCAUCUAACUCACAACAGAAUCAUUGAACAAACAGUCAAUUUCUUACAUAAUAAUUUCCCUACGAUUAACUACAUUGAUCUGCCUAUGUAUGUAACUAUCUAUUUAUGUAACUAUACAUGUAAUUAUCCAUAUAACUAUGCAUGUAACUAUCUAUGUAUGUAGCUAUACAUGUAACUAUCCAUAAUAGUUUCCCUACGGUUAACUACGUUGAAUUGCCUAUGUAUGUAACUAUACAUAUAACUAUCCAUGUAACUAUCCAUCUAUGUAACUAACCAUGUAACUAUGCAUCUAUGUAACUAUACAUCUAUGUAACUAUGCAUGUAACUAUGCAUGUAACUAUCCAUCUAAUUAUGCAUUUAACUAUCCAUGUAACUAGAGAUUGGUAGUUACCUGGGUAGUUACAUCUCACACAGAAUGCAAAAGAAAGCAAAGCAAUCCCUAUAGCUACAUUAAAGCUUCACAACAGAUAACAAGCGAAAAUCUUUACCAUCUUUUGGGCAUCUUUCCAUGUAUGUCCCCUACUCCCAUCAGUUCUUCCCUUCAUUGAAUCUAGGUGGUAGAAUAUAUUGCAGAUUCAGGGUCUCGGAGACAAUCUGUCAAGACCCACCCCGAAUUUCAUCCUGAAAACCGAAGUAAAUCCUGCGGGGACCACCUCCAAGGAAAGUUUACCGAAAAUUCGGCAUAACCUCCCUUGAAAAUGGACAACCCUUCCUAAUAAUACCUGCAAACACUUCUGAAAAUCCAAAUCCAACCUUAAACUCCUGGAGCCUUCGUGCUCCCCAAAUCACAACAUCUCCCAAUUUAUUUACUAAUUUUAACAAGAAAAAAAUCUCAUAACUAACAACCACAGUUCAGAGCAACUCUAUUUGAAAGAAAAUGAACUAAAAAUAUAAAAAUGAGCGGAAGCUAUACUAUUGACUAUGCCUCGUCUCCAUAUACGCUCGACCUGAAUUAUUCUAACCUGUUUACUGGGCAUUUUUAAAACGAAAGGCCCAGGGGAAAACAUUUGAAAAACGUUAGAGUGAGUGGACAAAAAUGAAUUUAAUGAAAAAUAUUUAUGCUUUCCCAAUUAAAACUCUAUAGAAAAUAUGCUGCAUGCGACAGCUCAAAAGCUCUCAACUCAACAAUUGGCAAUUACAUGACUAGCUCUGGCCAGUCUCCAAAACUCAAUAAAAUGGAGCCUCUCAAACUCAAUAAUAUAAAUCCAUCAAUAUAUAUAUAUAUUAUGUAUGUAUCUACACAUGUCCAUACUCCUUGUAUGAAUUCUAUGAAGGAAAUAUAAGAAGAAUAGAAAUUCAUACAAGGCUACUACGCUUGUGUCUAACGCUCACGUCACGCCUUAAUGCAGUGCUACACUACGCCAUUAAGGUGGACGGACGGUGUAUGAAUAUGUGCUCAUACCCUAUAUGAAUUAGAUACUCAUAUAGGGCUACUACGCUCGCGUCCAACGCUCACGUCACACCAUAAUGCGGCUAUAUGCUACGCCAUAAAGGUGGACAAACACAUAUGGCUAGCUAGCAUUUAUAUACAUACUCUCCUCAUCAAUAUAUAAUUAUAUUCACCGAAAAUCCCAUUUUCGGUAACUCUUCAAACGAAAAAUAAAAUCGUCAAAAUAAAAUGACGUCAAAUGCUCCAACAAAAUAAAUUGCUCAACAAUCAAUCAUUGCAUGCUUAUUAUUUAAAACAAAAUCCAAUCACAACUUUAGGCAUAAGCCCGACGAAAUCCAAUUCGCCAUCAAGUGAGGUCUCCUCGAAUUCUGGCACAAUAACCAUGCUUAGGACCAAACUUCAAUUUCAGAAAUAAAUAAUAUUUAAAUAUAUAACCCAAAACUCUUCCGCCUAACCCACUACUCUUUCUAGGGUUAAGCUUAUCGGAUUCAUGCCAAAAUCCAACCACAGCCUUAUUUCCUUUAUUUCAACAUUCGAUCUAAAACAAUAAUAAGGAAAAUCCAACGGUCGGAUUCUACCCCAUUAACCGCCAAAUUCACCAAUCUUUCAAAAAUCCCAAACCUAUCCAAAACUCCUCCAAAAAUUCCAUACUUCACAUCAUUAAACUCCCCUUAAUAUUAUACAUUUAAAACCAUGAAAAUCCCUCUAACAGCGGCGGCAUCGCCGUCUGCUCCGCCUGCAGCGGCGGCCGGCGACUGACUCCGGCUACCCUAAUGCCUACCAAAAUUUAACAGCAUCUUUCUCUCAACCCCCUCUACAACUUUCCUAACUAGCACAAACACAAAUUCCAAGCCUAGAUAGGAUAAUCGAACAAAAACAUCAAAUGAGCCCUAGAAUUUCCAACACCAAAAUCUCCUUACCUAGACCAAGGGGGAGGGAAGCCUUUGGAGGGAUUGAUGCACGGGAGGAGAGCUUCCAAACGAGCCAAGAAUCGCCGGCUAUGGCGGCUGGAGGAGAGAGCUCCGGUGAGAGGACAACCGCGGCUUCUAAGGAGAAUUUCCUUCGUUCGGUAGUGUUAUGGCUGCACUCACCAGCCUAGGGUGAGAGAGGAGGAGACGUCGGUGCAGCGGCCCAGCUCGGCCGGACAAUGGCGGGCGGUGGUUGGAAAUUGGAUGGGAAGAGAGAAGCUCGGGAAAGAGGGAGAGAGAAGAGAAAGAGGAGAAAAGGAGAAGGAAGAAAAUGGGCCUCUCUUCCAACCCGGUCCAACACCUUAAACAUAAACCCAACUCUAAAAAUUAAAGCCCCAAAAAUAAUACCCUAAUGAAAAAUUACCUUUUACUAGCUAAAAUUUACCAUUUUACCGUCGUCACAAUUUCCUCCUACGAAUAUUUCCACCGAAAUAAUCGUCCCUUAAAACCCCUCUAGGGACCAAUUAAACCAUAACUCAUUGACGGAGACGGUAAAAUUCUUAUUAAUACCAAACUAGUAAAUAAGGUAAAAAUUUAAAGGUCGAGAUGUGACACUUCGCCUUCACCUACUGAUAGGUGAGACACUUGGACACAUACUCUGCUACAUAUUUCUUCAUCCCAUUCCACCAAAACUACCUACGUAGAUCUUUAUACAUCUUGGUGCUCCCUACGUGCACCGUAUAACGAGAUCGAUGUGCCUCCCAAAUGAUCUCCCUUUUGAGAUCAGCACAAUCUAGAACACAUAAUCUCAAUCCAUACCUCAAUCCACCAUCUAAUCCAACCGACCAAUCAAAAGGACAAUCAUCCAUCAAGUCCACCACUAAUUAACUUCGCCAGUUUUGCACAUGAGAACUCGUCAUGUGCUUGGCCCUGAAUGAUCCUGGAAAUUAAGGUAGGUUGCACAGAGGUGCUUCCAAGGAAGGUCCCCCGCUCCCCGCAUGAUGGAAGAAGGUCAAGCUCAGAUGCAGUCUCCAACAUAAGCCACUCUUGCACCAUGAUAGAGAUGACUAUACCUAUAACGACUCAGAAAUUUUAACUAAUUUUCUGCAUUGUUGGUUUUAAUCUUUUGUGUGUAUAGAUACACACACACACACACACAUAUAUAUAUAUAUAUAUUAAUACAUGAUAAAAAUGUUUUAGUUGUUUAGAUUAUUUCUAUUUUUCUGGGAGAGUUUUUAGCCCAUAAACCAAAACUUGGCCCAAUAUCAAUUAACCCAAAACUUGAGCCCAAACUAAAACAUUGUUUAGAAAGUCUUGUUGCAGAAAGAUAUACAAAUUACACGACUUAAACUCAGAAGAUUGUCCUUCUUCUUCAUCGACUUUCUCCACCACCAGAUGCUUCUCAAUCCAGAACCAUGAUCAGUCCCAUCCGAAAUCUUUCUCAACCACCUUGAAACCCAGAAACCGACCUAGAAAACCUUAAACAAGAGUAGCCGACCUCUUUAAGCAGGACGUGUCAGUUGCCUGGAGACCAGUUGAUGACAACUUGAAGCUAUGCAGUAGGAGCUAGAACCCUAGGGGUCUAGCCUAGUACCUAAACGGGUAAGAUUUCGAUUGAACAAUCCAAUUUUUCUUCUUGUGUUCUUCUCUUGGACGCCAAGUUUUAUCCCCUUUUUAGACCCUAUAAAUAGGUAGAACAUUCUGCAUUUUGAGAUAGGUUUUCAACAGCUAUUCAUACUUAGAGAGAGACUUUGGUGUCAGAUGUGAUUCUUUUUACAUUCUGACCAAUUAGUUUGUUUAUAUGUUCUUAGUUUGUGAAACUAGAUUUUGAAUUCAUGUUGGAACUCUUGUAUGAUUGUUUAUUUGAUCUGAAUAGUUCCUAUUAAGAAUUGGUUUUGUUGUUGUUAUUGAAUUCUAUGGCAAGUAGGAUUACUAAUCCUUUGGUUUUGGUUAUCUUUGAUUUGAUUUCUUUGUUAGCCAAAUCAGUUCUUAUAUGUUAUUAACAGCUACAGAAUCAAGUAUAUGAUGUUGUUGUUAUUGUUGUUGUUGCUAUUGUUUGAAUUAGCUUAAGAUUCUGUUCAUGUAGUAGAUUUAUUCUUUUCCAAACAGAAUAGAAACUGAUGAAGAUGAUUAUAGAACUUUAGUUCUGUAGGUUUGGGUGUCCUGAGUUAUUACAAUGUUGUUGUUUGAAUUUGAGACUCUUGUUUUCUCUUAUACAACAAGAGCUUAGAGUGACUAAGAAACCUAUAUGAGCAUUUAAACAUCCAUAGAACUGAUUAGGAACCUUAGACUUUACAUGAACUCAAGUGACAUUUGAAUGGAAAAGUUUCUGUAACUUGUUCAUUUAGUUAACUUUGAGCAGCCAUAUCUUUUGAAUUAAUCAUGCAUUUUAGAAAUCAUUUGCAUGUAUUGAAAGUUCAUAAUCUUAGCUUGAUAUCUGGGUAGUUUCAUGCAAGUUCAUUUAGAAUUUGUUAAUCAAGUUUAGAGCUGAAAACAUAGCUGAACAUUCUGCAAAUCAGCUUUCUUGUAUUUUGGAGUCAGUCACCUUGAUUUCUAAAAACCGUACAUUUAGGUUGGUUAUUUGAAGUUUGUUUCUUCAUAAAAAUUGUAGCAGACAUCUUAAAUAUUAUUUCAGAAUUUGAAUCACUUCAAAAGGAUUUCUUUAGAUUAAGAUAUGAUUUUUCAAAGUUCAGGGUCUGCAGUAAGAAGUCUUGCAGAUCAGUUUUCUGUGUUUUUGACCCAGCUGCAUUUUUACUAAAACCUAUGCAUUUCAGUUGAGUAUUUGAAGUUUGUGUCUUCAUAAAAGUUGUAGUACACAUGUUAAACAUCAUUUAGGAGUUUGAAUCUCUUGAAAAGAAUUUCUGUAGAUUAAGUUAUGAAUUUUCGAAGUUGAAGGUCAGCUUUAAAUGGUUUCUGCAUUUGUUACUAUUUUACUGUUUAUUCGUUUUGAUUUCAAUGGUUUCCUUCAUUCAAACUUGUAUAGCUAUUGAGAUUAGAUCAUAAAGUUCCUAUGUGUCAUUAUUUUCUGAUAUUAAAGGUAGAAACCAUGAUUUUGGUUUGCUUAAAACUAGCUACAAGAUUUAGAACUACUUUUACUGGUUGCUUCUUUAUUUUUGCCGGUUGUGUGAUGCUUUAGUUCAGUCUUUUACACUGAAAGUUUUGUGUGAUUCCUUUUUGUUUUAAACACCAAAAUGUCUAUAUUAAAUACCUAGAAGUUUUGUAUCACUUAGAGUUUCUGUUUUGCUUUCUAAAACAAAGUUUAGGCACUUUUAGCAAAAUUUUCAGAAAAACCUGAAACUGAAGCUGAAUUUUAAAAAAUCAUAACUAAUUCAAUAAAAAUCGUUUUAAGGUGUUUCCAAAUCUCAGAGUUUCUUUGGUUUGUCUGCUACAAGUCACUAGAAGACCUUGAGUCAAAUUAUGAACGGUUUUGUACAGUUUUCAGUUUGUUUGUAACUGGUUCAGAACAGUUUUGGUACUUUAUCUAUUGUUUCAGUAUUUUAGCUUAGCCUUAUAGGAAUAUUUUAAACUAAUGAUUUUAUCUUUUAUUAGGAGCUUGAUACUUGAAGUGAAAUCCGGCAAAGGUAGGAGGAAACUUGGGGAACCUCUAUGCUUGCCUUAUAUGUGGUUGUACGGAUUAUCUGAAUUGUUUGUUUUCUUGUUGCCAGAUUACUGAUAUGCAUAAAGCAUUUGGGAUAAGAAAGUGAGUAAUAAAACUUUUGUGUAGUUGAUUCUAUAUCUUUAGCAGGAACCAUAUCUCAGGUAUGCCCAUGUUGAUGCGCAAGUAGUAUAGGUUAUGAAAAAGGUAAUUCGGAAUUGGCGAAAGGGGAAUGGACAAGAUGACUAGAAAAAGGGAUUAGAGGGAGAUAGUUUAUGUAAAUAGAUACUCCAAGUCACCCUUGUGGUAAAAUACAUGGUAUAAGACAUGUAGGCUCGGUGUAUUUUGCUAUAUGAACUAUUUGGAGCAGAUCAUACACAUGCAUAUAAAUAUUGUAUUCUUAUUUGUAUUGUUUGAAGAGGUUUUGCCUCCUAUUGGGCUAUUUAAGCUCACCCCUCUAAAUGUUUUGCAGGUGAGGAACAAGUUGUCUGAAGUUGAUUCCUUGCAAGAAUGUUUUAGUUCAUGUGAAAUAUGUUUGUUGUUUACUUUCUUUAGAAUAAGAUGUAGACUUUCAUUAAUUAGUCUAUCUUUGUAAGCUACUUUAUGAACUACUUGGAAAUCAAAAGUGAUAUUUCAGUUGAGUAUCAAUAUGUUCUUUUCCAAUUUCUUUCAUAUUCCAUUUAUGGAAAAUUUAUUCCAUAUUUAGAAUAUGAGUUACACCUAAACAAAAAAAAAAAAAAAAAAAUCUGAGGUGUGACAAUACCCUUAGGCUUUCUGCUCAAUGCAUCUGCCACUAUGUUGGCUUUCUUGGGGUGAUAUUCUAAUGUGAAGUCAUAGUCCUUAAGGAGCUUCAUCCACCUCUUCUGCCUCAUGUUCAAAUCCUUCUGUGAGAAUAAAUAUUUCAAACUCUUAUGAUCAUAAAAGAGUUCGAACUCUCUCCAUACAAGUAAUGCCUCCAAAUCUUCAAGGCAAAUACCACCGUAGCUAGCUCUAAGUCAUGAGUGGGGUAAUUCUUCUCAUGAACCUUCAGCUGUCUAGAGCCAUAUGCCACAACGCCGCAAAAACUGCAUCAACACACAACACAAACCCUGAUGAGAUGGAUCGCUAUAGACGACAUAGCCAACACCACUAAGGGGAAUGACCAACACUAGAGCAGUAGUCAGCCUAGUCUUCAACUCCUCAAAUGCCUUCUCAUACUCCUCGGUCCACACAAACUUAGCAUUCUUCUUUGUCAACUUGGUCAAGGAAGAGGCAAUACUAGAAAAUCCUUCAAUAAAUCUUCGUUAGUAUCCUACCAACCCAAGGAAACUACGAAUCUCCGUAGGAGUAGUGGAACGACUCUAAUUCAAUACUGCCUCCAUCUUAAAACUGCCUCCACCUUAAAGGGAUCCACCGAAAUCUCCUCCUUUGAUACCACAUGACCAAGGAACUUGACCUCUUCAUUCCAAAACUUAAACUUCCCGAACUUAGCAUACAACUUGGCCUCCCUAAGAACCUGUAGUACGAUCUGUAGAUGCCUAUCAUGAUCCUCCAAGGAAUGUAGGCACUCCUAACCUGAUGAUACCCUGAGCCAACUUGGCCAUUCGUAGACCAUCAUCUACCACAACUGGCACCGGUGGCUCCAACUCCACCUCCUCCUUAUAAAACUCAUCCACAAGUCGAGCCCUACCUCUGCCUCUAGCCCUACCUGCUCCUCUGGCCCUACCUCGGCCUCUAGCUCUUCCUCGCAGAGGAUCCAUCACCUAAGAAGCAAGUAAACCUUGGUUAAUUCAUGCAUAAAACUUAAACCAAAAUAUAAGUCUAAUACAACAUAUAUUAACCAAAGUACUAACUCAAGGUGGAAUAUAAAGAUUCGAAAACCCACUAAUAGAAAAAUCCCUACUCUGACAUCCCAUUAACCUAGAGGCGACACCUAACCCUUCACAUACCCAAAGACAUAUCAGUACCGAAGAGCUGAUGAUGGUGAUCUGCUGCAGUUGGGCCAUCAUUCUGAAGUACUGAUUAUCACCAAAUAUGUAAACCUACGCUCUAAUACCAAACUGUCACACCCCAAUUUUCGAACCCUUCACAUACCCAAAGACAUAUCAGUACCGAAGAGCUGAUGAUGGUGAUCUGCUACAGUUGGGCCAUCAUUCUGAAGUACUAAUUAUCACCAAAUAUGUAAACCUACGCUCUAAUACCAAACUGUCACACCCCAAUUUUCGAAGGAUAAUUUUUAAAAAUUUGGGCAUGAUAUAUCUUAAAAUAUGACUCCCAAAACCUGUUCAACCUGGCAAACGAAACUCAAAAGCUGGAAAUGUAAAUGUUAACAAAACUCAACAACUGAGUUAAACAUUUCAUCUCCUUAAAAGUCUAGUAAAAUAAAGACGCUCACAUGAGCUUAAAAACAAACGGUCAUAAUAUACAAAUAAAAUGUACAUUAUCUAAAAACCAGCCACUAUGCCUCUGCCUCAACCUUGCUGAUCCUCACCUGCAGGUCUAACCACUACACCAUGAAUUUGUGCAUCGGGUUGUAAAACAACAAACCGUGUAAGCUAAAAAGUUCGUAUGAGUAACUCAAAAAAAUAACUCAACAUUUUCAACAUCCAAAUAAAACACAUGAACAAUUAAAAACAAUAAUUAAUUCCACAAAUCUAACACUUUUACAAAUAACAUGUACCCAUGAGUCUCAGAUACCAAUAAGGUAUAUCUCAUGACCUACAACAAACACAUGUACUCAUGAGUCUCAAAUACUAAUAAGUACCUCCCAUGACCUACAACAACAAUUCAUGUACCCAUGGGUCCCAGAUACCUUAAGGUACCUCCCAUGACCUACAUCGACAGAUGGACUAGAGCUUUAUUUAUAACCGCAACCAAUCACCCGGCCAAAGGCUUGGAACCUAGUUUGACUGUCCAAUAUCAAAUUACAAUAUAAUCAUAUCAUCAUCAACAACAUAAUGAACACAUCAUAAAAAUAUACUCUUUUCACAUAGAUAUAUUUAUGAACACACAUAGAUAUUCCCAGAAGAAUAAUCUAUCAAUAACCAACAAUAUUAUGAUUACAUGAACAUUAAAAAUAAUCAUAGAAUAGGAAAACUUGUUUUAUUUUACCUAUGAGCCGAUGACGAUCAAGCUCAAAUAUUUUAAAACAACAAUUAGCAUAUUCUUUUUUUCAACAUCAUCAUUAAAAUGACCAUAAUAUAUAGUUUGGUUUGGUCCAAAUGUGAACCUUGGUGAGAUUUACUCACCUAAAUAUUCCUGUUGUGUCUUCAACAACAACACAAGAGUCAAGCUCAAAAUUUACUCCACAAGUUCCUAAAUAACACAAAGUCAUCCUUAGUAACUACUCAACAAAGAUCAAAGCACCCUUAACCAAUCCUUAGCCUAAAGGUUGCCCAAAAGAGGACAAUCCUUCCUCCGAGACCUCUCAAGGUCAUUGGAAACUCAACAACAUAUUCAUGCUGCCUCCAAGUUCAAACUUCCAAAGUUUACAACCUAUCAAACAUCAGUGAUUAACAUAGCACCUAAGAUGUAUUACCUAAUCAACACUUAGCCUUAUCACACAACAACACACUAACAACUACAUAGACUAGCUAACAUAGCAACCAAACCCUCUCACACUGCCUGGACGCGCUUCCACGCGCCGCCAUAGGUGCCGACGAGUGAGCCCACGCAUCAUCCACCAACUUCAAAUUUUGGGAAAACCUACAACAUGAAACUUGUAGAUUGAAGCAAGGUGAGCAACUUUAAUACCUGAGGUUUCAACCGAUUUGGCCGGAAUCGGCUGGAAAAUACCUCGAAACACCACCACGAACUCAAGCUUCAAUAUGCAAAUCCGGGGUUCAAAACUCAAAAUCUUGUUUCAGUCUAAGUCUAGCCACAACCAAAAGAAGGAAAGGACCAAAACUCACCUAAGGUAGCCCAUUGUUGCCGCUGUAAACGACGAUUCCAAUCACGGCAACACUGCCGACUCCAAACCGAAAGGCGUCGACUGCUGGCGUCAUUUACAGCUUCACCACCGUGCGACACUUCUCUAGACUUGGAGGCGGUGGUCCUGUGAACCCAACAAGACUGGCGGCGAUCAAAACGACGGUCGGACGGCAGAGUUCUGCUCCGGUCAAGGUUGAGGUGCGCGGGUGAGCUCGGGAGAGGAAGAGAGAGAAAUAGUUGGGGUCUUUCUGCAAUUUAGGGUUUCUAAAAUAAAACCCAUAAUUUUUUCUAUUUAUACACUUUUCAAAUCGGAACCUAACUUCUUCUGAUCGUAACAUUUUCAUACCACAUCCGUUUUAUGCGUGCCGCAUGUCUACAAACUUGUAUUGCCACACUUUACAACUUUCAUGAAGAAAGUUUUCAAAAAUAUCCUACGGAUAAGAAAGUCAACUUUUGGCCACUUAAAACAAAGCACAUUAAUAAAAUUGACUCCCGCAACUUCAACUUCGCACAUGCGAAUAUGAAUUUCCACAAAUAAACCUUCAUUAAUUUUGGAAAUAAUAUAAGGAAAUUGAUAUGAAAAUCUAAAGUAUUACAUGCCCAGUGCUCAUUAGGAUGCAAAUUUGCUCCCCACCCAUACUUUCCCACCCUCAUCCCCACCCACCUAGUUGAAUGACACAUGUCAUAUCUUUUAAUUACUCUAACCAUGGUUAACAACAUUUAUGUAUAACAAUAUAUUAUAUUAUCUUUUACUUUAAAUCACUAUUUUUUUCUUUUUCUUUUUCUAAAUAAAAUAACAAAGCCUAACAAAUUUAGGACUCCUCAAGAUCGAUCAACAAAGAUAUAUAAUGUCUGGGUGUUUUUUGAAAGAAUAAUUACCAAGUCGACAUAUUUGAAAAUACCCUCUCAGAUCAUAAAACAAUCUCACACUUGAAAAAAAAAUGUGAUUGAACUACAAGUAGUCAUCUCAUGUAUAUAUAGAUUGCGGAGUACGUGAACCCUAGGCCGCCGCCUUGGUUUUUCGUCAAGAUUGCUAGCCCUGUCCGGCGGCAUACCUUGAGGCGGCGUCGUCGGACGGGACGAAUGGGGCUUGUCUUCGUAGUAGGCUGGUCCAAUCGGAGCAUGGAUGGGGAGCCGUGGACGUCACCGUCGCGUAUGCGUGGAGGUGUCAAGGAGGGAGAGUGGCAGUGGGUUGGCAAGAUGGUGGCGCCCAGCCUUGAAGAGAAACGCAGAUGGCCAAGAUGUUGGCUCACGAUGGUGGCAAGGAAGCGGUGGUUGCCUAGUGGUGAUUAUCGUGGAGUGUCUUUGGUGAGUUCAAAUGUGCCCAAUUUGGAUCAGUUUGAUCCAAUAGGGUUGUGGCUAUUUCGUUUUGAUCCGGGGAGGGGAGCGUGCUUUGUUUGUCGACAUGGGGGAGCUAAUGUCGGUGGUGGCGCUGGCGUUGAUGCCAGUGGUGGAGCAGUAGGAAGGACGCAGAAGCGAUGGAGGCGGUAUGGCUGGUAUCCAUGACUUUGGCUUGGGCUGGUUGCUUCGGGUUGGUCUGCUAUGGUGGGCUAGGGUUUACUUUGGCCCACUUCUAAGUUUGUAGCUAGUCUAUUUACAGUAAUUCCUUUUGUUAGGAACCUAAGCAUUUGUGUGUCUAGUAUUUCUUGCUUUUCUGCGAGAAAUAAGUGAACAGAAUCUAUGUAAUGAAUGGUGCUAGCAUGCCACGUCCUUAACUUGCCCGAUUGUUUGGCAAGGGAAGGCACAUAUCCGUGUCAUUCUAGCUUGAGUAUUAAUGAAAUUGCCGUAUGGCUUUACUUGUCAAAAAAAAAAAUUAACAGUUUUAUCAUUUAUUACUUUUAAAAGUACAUUUUUAUUAUUGGCCUAAAAAAAACUGGUAAUAGAUUAUGUGAAGCCGAGGUAACACUGUUGGGCUGAGACCAAUCAAGGGCCAACCCAAUUUCCCAAAGAAGGCCCGCCUGAUUGGGGCUAAACAUAUUUUUUUUUUUUUUUUUUUAGCUAUAAAUAGUUUAGUAGGCGGCGCAAGAGCGCAAAAAUACAGAAGAGAGAGAGAGAGAGAGAGAUCUAGGUUUUGGAAAGAUGGCAGGAGGGUUUCUGGCGAGGAAGAAGAAGAGGGCGGAAAAAAUACGACAGGUGGAAAUUAGCAAAGCGUACGAGGAACGGGAACGGAAGAAGGGUCCCGGGUCUGAUCCAUUGCUGUAUAUCUGUACUUUCGAGGAAUACAAACGUCACGGUACAGCUGGCUUUUCAGCCGGUUACGGUGUCCACACCAUCCGAGUCUCCGAUUUGAAUGGUUCUGACGAUAAGCCAAGGCCCGAGAAGCUACGCGAAGUUGCUAAUCUGCAAGGGGAACACCUUCCACUACACAUGGGUUUCGCUGUCUUUGGCUCUCGCAUUGUUCUGGCCGGCGGCUGGUUUCUGCAUCCGAAGAUAAAGCAUCCGAUGCCGACCUAUGUUUUGGAGACCGAUCCAACUGAGGAACCCAACCCUAGCUUCAUCAGCACCACUAGUAGUAGUAGACCCCGCUACAUGAUUCCGCAGUUGAAAGGACAUAAAAAAUCUCAGAUCUGGCUUCGGGAGAUUGACGGUAAGCUGUAUGCUCUCUCCGGUACAGACUCGAAACAAAUGAUUUUUCAGGUAUUUGACCCCAAAGCCAAACCUGAAUGGGAUCGUCUCCCCGCGCCUCCAUUCGAUGAUUGGAGUGCGUUUUAUUAUUUUUCAUCAUGUGUAGUUGUGGGCACCAAGAUCAUUCUCACAACUAAGAAGGAAAGGGAAUUCAAGACACUCUGCUUUGACGUGGCUCACCCUAAGGGAUGGACUAGCCUUGAAGCACCCUGCUCUGACCCUCUUUGUGUGUCCCCUGAGUUCUACAACCCGGUUUUAGUUUUGGACGUCAAGGAGGAUCAGAAUGGCUUUGACAAGCUAAUGUUUACUUUUGAUAAUGGUGAUAACCAAAUUCUAGUCUCCAGAAUGAAGUUGUCCGAUGAAGGGGUACCUGUUUCUGUUGAAUCAGUAGCUGAACUAGAUUUGCCCGACAAUCGUGACAUUGAACCAACUUCAUACAAUUUUGCCCAUCUUGGAGAUCAAACAGUAUGCUUUGCAUUCAUGGAUAUAUUCACUCUUCAUGUCAUCACUUUCAAUUUUACCUAUGCCCCAUUCUCUCACAAAUUCCUGGGUCACAUGUUCAACAAAUUUAACUCGCGUGAGGAACUUUCUUGGAUCAACAUUAGUGGUUGCUUUGUGCUCUAACUCCAUUGCUCCCUGUAAGCCAUAUUCUCUACUUAACCUGAACUCAUAGCAUUCCUUAUUUUAUGAUUUCUACCAGUCAUUUUGUCUCAAGGUAUAUAGAUAUCAUUUAGGAUAGGUAUGUACACAUGUUUCUCUAUGCUUGAUAUGUCUGCAUCGAUCUAGAGUGCAGCAAUGUCAUUUUAGGCAUGCAAUUUUUAUUUCCUAUCGUCAACCCUGAUCUUAAAACUUAGUUAAACGGGCAGUCAGGCACUAAUUGAGUCAUGAAUUUCGGACAGUAUAUCAAUCAUAACCACACCACCUAUAACAAACCAUCGUCUUCAUUAUUACAUUUUGCAUGCAUAAUCUAGCGAUAUGGUAAUUAAUAUUGAUUUUUUUGUGCUGCCAUUCACAAUGAUGGAAAAAAAAAAACAAUCUGGGCUUUUUAUCUUUUGAUUUAUUGGCAUAGACCCUUUGGGUGUUGGGUAUCCCUGCUACUACGAUAGGCAAGGUUAGGAUUGAAGAAAACCAAUUUGCUCUAUAUUGCCAAUUUAAUCAGAGUAGGUAAAACACAUCAUCAACUCAUAUGCUUUGACUUAAUCAUCUAAUCAUGCUCUUUGAAUAAAUCAGCAUUUCUUGCCUUCUUUCAAACUUAGUCUAUUGCUGACGGUUAUUUCUUUGCUAUACUUGGGAUAUGUCCUACAGGAUUAGUCAACUGAACUUAAUCAGAGUGUAGGUUAAAAAUUCAUCUACUUGAUCAGUCUGCUUUGUUAUAAACAUCUACUCCUCUGCUUUGAUUGAAUUGGUGUUUCUAUCCUUCUUUUAAACGUUUUACGGCUGUCAAUGUGACUGUUAUUUCAUUUGUAUAUUAGGGGUAUGCCCUAUAGGAUUGACCAAUUUGAUUUUUGGGAAGAUAAUUUUUGUAAGAAGUAACAUGGUGCUGUGAGCUGGAGGGAAGGGCGGUCUCUGCAGAUAUUUGUGGUAUCAGUAUAUAUUUAAUCUGUAAUUAUAAUCUUGAAGGCUGAGAGGGGAAAGGUGCAAUAUAAGUGUCUACUGAAUAGUUUCAAUUCACAUUUGUCUUGCCCACACCCCAGCCAAUUGAUAACUUUUGGAACUGUAACAUCCAAAGCACUACUUGAAAGAUUCCAUGCAAGUGCCAACCAAUAGUCCCAACUGUCAAGUGUCUUUUCAUGAUUUUGAUUCAAUUUCUCUCCCUCAUAAACACGAUUUGAUGCUUUAAAGCAAAAGGAAUACAGUAGAAGCUGAUAGGUUUUGUUUGAACACUUAAAAAGUAAUUUAUGUUUAGGUGGACGACUUGGGAUUGCAAAGCCUUAACUUUUGAUUGUUAGGUUGGUCUGCGAAAUUCGUGUGUAGUAUGAUGUUCUUUUCCCUUUUUUUUCUUAACACAAGCUAGUACUUUCUUGCCAAUGGAACUGUGUAAUUGUUUCUAGUCUUGACUUCUGGUUUAGUUCACCUGGAUAUUGUAUCUGUUAGUGUCUGUGGGCGUAGAUGAAGAUGUAGGAGGUCUGUUUCUUUUUUUUUCACCUGCACACAAGUCUUGCAUAUUGGUCUUGUAGUUUAGUUUGGGAUGUUUAUACUUUGGAACAGGUCAGCACACAAGUCACAACCGAGUUGCGAAGUUGCUAUGCACCACCAACUACAUGCUUUUGUAAAACAUAUCUGCUUUAUUUCGCCUGACUACUUUUGUUGUCUGUCAUCUAUUGUAAUGUAAUGCCACUUUAUUUAGCUUGUCCAACUCAUAUGGGUACCUUUAAACUUUUUAUGUUUUUAACUUUUUAUUUAAGACUAUUGUAUGCUUUUGAUUAAUGAUUCUGACACACUAUUACGAGGAAGGGGGGGGGGGGUAGAAUUUGUGCCAGGCGCGGUUGAUUAGGUUAGCGACAGUAGGGUGGGAUAUUGAUGAUGAUGAUAGUAUAUAUGGAAAAAAUGAAAAGUAGAGGGAGUGUUUAGUUACAGAAGAGGGAGUGUUAUAUUCUUGUUGCUACAGUAACUUUUUUCUUAUAGGGAACAUAAGAGAUUAGAGUACUACAUAUUACAUUUGAACUGUUUAGUUACAAAAGGUAGAACAAAAACUCUGCUAAACAGUUCUAGAUAGCAGGUGUACAUCAUUCUAAAAAGAGAGUAGUUGUACACUGAUAAAUAAAAAAAUCUGCUCCUAGUGUUCUAAAAAUUGUUGUUUCAGUUACGGCUGCAAUAGUAGAGCUUAAUCUGGUGUUCGUUAAAAAAAUAAAAAUAAAAAACAGAUGACUCUAGUAGUCCAGUUGUUCUUGUACCAAGUGCUCCACACUUUGAGAAACACCAGCAAAAUAUUGAGCUGAAGAACGCUUCGCAUGCACCAGCCAAAAAAAAUGAAGUCAUCAGUAAAUCUGUAGAGACUAAGAAACCAAAAGUAACAAAAAUGGAAUCAACAGAAGAACAUGAUCAAGUUUUGUAGCCUAAACAAUCUGAGAAUCAUGAUUGAUGACAUGAGUUUAUGAACAUCUUCUAUAACUAUAAAUUGAUGAGAGAUAACCUGAACAAAAAGCAGAUAUUGAUAUUGCAGAAACUUAGUUAACACGUUAUUGUUUGGGGUGGCAGAAGGAAGAUAUGUGAAGAGAGAGUGGUAGGCUAACAGAAAGAAAGACAAGAAAAGUCAAGAACCCCAUGUUGUUAAUUGAUUUAAGGGUAAGUGGAGAGGCAGAAUCACCCAACCUUUCUGUUGAACUUCUCAAGGGAAUUGAAAUUGACCACUUUCUGCUCCUUUUAGCUGAAUCUAUUAUCACAUUAUGAUGACCCAAAGAGUGCUGCAAGUGGUUAUUAAGCUAGCGUGCAAGGGGAAUAUGUCUUGGUUUAAACUAAAGAAUUAAUUGGUUUGAUGAGAGCGAAUUCAAAAGAUGGCAUGGUAGCUAAAUUUGAGCAAAAUCGAUUCAACACAAAAACAACAAAGGAAACUAAAUGUAAUUGCAACUGUAAGCCUAACCUUUCAGAUGAAAUAACCAUUGAGUAAAGUUUGAUAUUUGUUGCUUUUCUUCUUCACUUAUCCCCUUCUUGUGUAAUCGUAUAUUUUCUGUUAGAUGAAAGACUUUAAACAACAGCCACAANNNNNNNNNNNNNNNNNNNNAGAGAGAGAGAGAGAGAGAGAGAGAGAGGGAGGCACAUACCGGUUCGACGUCAGCUAUCUGGAAGACAACUAUGAGCAAGACGGCAGCUGUGUUCCGGUUUUGGUGCAAAGGCCUGAGGGGCGGUUGCUCAGGACGGCGAUUUAAAGCCUUCAAAGGCAGAUGACAUAGAUCAGAGAAUUGUUUGGGAAAAAACAGAGAAGAAGAUGAAGCAUAUACCGAGACGGCGAAGAGCAGCGUAGGAGAGACAAAGAGAAGCCAAGGGGACUUGCUGAAAACGGUUGGCAAGGUAAGCUGUUCUACGGUGAGCGAUCGAGACAGAGAGAGGAAAGUUGUCUUCCUUGUGUGUUUCGGAUGAGGUCGAGUGAAAAUGAGAUAGAGAAGGAUUAACUUUGGUUUGGAGCAAUCAAAAUGAGUCAACAUUUGUUUUGGGUCGAAAACAGUUUUGGGCUGAUUGGGAUAAAUGGCAGACGAAAUGUCCGAGGCCCACUGCUACAGUAAAUGAACAGUGUUUUGAGCAACUCUGAAAUAGUAUAUUGUAAAUUCGUCAACGACUUUCAACUAGAGAUCGUAUUUUCACAAACUCUUGUAUAGAUUGUUCUUGUCCUUUCAGUCAUUCACAUUUGGAGUCAGCUGAUCACUUUUUCUUACAGUGUAAUUUUGCCAUCUCAGGUGGCAACAAACAUUCUCUUCUCUUAAUAUUUCAGCCUUUUCUACUGUAAAUGCUUUUCUCAAACAUCGGGCCUCGCUCCCCUCCAAUUCCAUUCGUUUUCUAGACAUCUCUCUUAUUAGAGCUUGCUCUAUAGGGAAACAUCGAAACAAUUUCAUCUAUUGGAACCAAUCUACUACUCUUUUGAAGAUAGUAUAUAUUCGUCUGUUAACAUGUUCCAAUCUUACCGCUCUUGCCAUAUAACCUUUCAUCACUCUACUCAUAUAAAUCAGAUGGUCAUUUCUAGCAAGGUUGCCAUUUAUUUUUCCUAUCAGCUCAUUUUUCAUCCAUUAACUAACAGAAUAUGUUCAAAAAAAAUACUAACAGAAUCUGUUAAUUAGUAAAUUACAAAAUUUCCCUUUACAUCUUUUUACGACAUUUGAAGGUCAGUAGCUUUGUGUAAUUUUUUGAAGGUCACUAGCUUUACAUAUUUUUGAGGGUCAGUAUUGAGAAAUUUUAUAUAUACACUCCUAAAAUCUUAAUACACAUCUUUUUCUUAAUACAUAUCAUUUUCUUAAUACACUAAUUUAAUUUCUCAUUCUGAUAUUUACUAAAUACACAACCCAAAGUACCUAAAUUACCUUUAAUAUAAAAAUCCAUGAAAUAUCUUAUUAUGUGACUAUAUUAAGACUAUUAUUAUUGUAUAAUUAGUAUAUAUUUAUAUAAAUUAACAUUUUAUAGAUGUUCAUAUCUAUUACUUAUGUUAGAUUCAUUGUUUAUUUCAAAUCUUAAACAUGAAAAUGAUAAAAAAGAUGAAAAGUGCAUUUGUGAAUAGUAAUAUAACGAAGGGAGCCCUUCUAGUAAGGAUUUUUAAGUUGAUGACUAGUUAAAGACUUUUCAGUUUAUGGUUUAAAAGACCUAUUUUUUAUGACAUUUUGACAUCUCAUCCGUUCAUUUUUAGGUUUAUAUGGGUAUAUCAUUUCUAUAAAUUUUUAACCAAAUUGGUGUUCGUUAAGAUAACAAACUAGAUCAAAUUAAUGGACGAACCAAAUCUGUCAAAUAUGAACCUUUCAAGUUCAUAAUUGAUAAAUCACACUUAUGAAUGCCUUGACAAUUUCCAAUAUAGCUAAAAAUUUAAUGAAAUGAUCUACUCAUAAAUACUUAUAAAUUGAACGGUCAAGAUGUGGGUAUAAGAUCGAAAGGUGGGAUAAGCCGAAAAGUCCUCAACAAGUCCUCAACAAGUCCUCAACUUAAGGUUCUCAUUAAAAGGGCUUCCAUAUAACGAAAUAUGUGUUCAUAUGUAUAAAAUUUAUAUCGUUUCACACUUUGACAUAGGACUGGGCAUAUGUCGGGUCGGGUCGGUUUUGGGCCCAAACCGAUUUUUAACAGUUUUAUUCAGUUGAGCCAAAACAUACACCGCCAACCGUAUUUACAUUGGCUGUGUCGAAAAAUUCGGUAAAACCGAAAAUAAAAUCGGUGUUGUUCGGUGUCGGUUUAAUGUACAACUUGACAAACAUUCAAAUCAAGUAAUCUUUCCCCAUUUAAUUGUUAGUUUGAAGUUCACAAAUCACAAUCAUGACUACAAGUCUCUUCAUCAUUUGGAUCAUGAAUUUGAAGUUUGAGUUAGUGUUGUAAAAGAUGACGAGUUAAUAUUGGUUUUGGUUGCUGAUGGCUAUAACCAAGUAGCCAUGAACAGGUAAAAGAGAAAAGAAAUGGAAGAAGUUGGUAUAUUAAUCGUACUUGAAGUCUAAGAGCAAAUCCACCCCAACCUCAAAAGCAUGACACAAGCCUUCAUCCAUGUCAAAAGAAGACCUAACAAAAAAAAAAGCAAGUCCACAUACCCACAAACUUUUUUUAACCCAGGCCUUCAUUGGGCAUUCAUCUAGGUCACACCUAUGACCCAAACUUCCAUUUCUGAAGACCCGGGCCUUUGUUUCCAACUCAGCCCAUGUAAUACCCUUAAUUUUAUAAAAUAUAAGCAAUGUUCUAAAAAACGCUAAGCGCUAGUCGGGCGGACAGCCGGCGCCUAGCGCCUAGGGGAUGAAUCGGGCGCCUAGGAGGUUUUUUAUUUUCAAUAUUUUUAAUUAUUUUUAUCACACAAAAGUAAUAAAUAAUUAAUUAUAUGUCUUAUUAUUAUUUACUUUAACUAAAAGAGGAUAAGAUUUUUAAAAAAAAUGGAUGACUAAACAUAAAGGAAAGGGUAUUUGAGGGGUUCCACUUUAACUUAAACAUGUAUACAUGUUAUCCAUAUCCUUCUGCCGUUAUUCUUUUUCUCUACUCUCUCUAUUCUCUUCUUCUCCAUAAAACCCAGAUCUGAAAGCAGAGACCCAUAUUGAUUUUAGAAAAUUUCAUAGAAGUCCUCUUUUCAACAUUUUUUCCUUCAUAAGUCCACCCUAACAUUUUUACCCAUACAAGUCCACUUUAAGCCCAAACACGUCAGCUAAUUUUUUCUCUGAUACCUAAAAUACCCUCGACCCAAUUUCAUACCAUAUUCUCUACCUCUACGAAAUCUCUCUCUCACUCUCUCUCUCACACUCUCUUCACCAAUCUCGACUCCAUCGUCGCUGACGCCAUUGAUGACAACCUCCAUGAACGACGACGACUCCAACAUGUAUCCUAAUCGACCGUGUCGUAGAUCGGCUUCGCCAACUUCAUCUGGAAUCAGUUGUCGGCGUUUUCCGAGCGGCGGACUUCUUGCCGGAGAGGCGCUCGGUGGAUUCACCUCUGUUCCAGAUCAAUCUUUGGCCGCACCUCUCAAACCUAGAACUCGCCGAUCCGAAGCAAAAUGAAGAUGAAGAUCAACAAGGCCUGCGAUCUCCGCUCCAUCUUCGUCCUUCCUCCUCACUCAAGGUUUAAAUUCGCUACAAUCUCAAAUUUCGUCGACGAUGUUAUUAACUCGAUUGGUGAUUUUCUUAUUUCUGUUUGUGGAUUUUAGGAUGCUAACUUGAUCAGCAGUACGUCUUUCUCCGACGUCGAUCUCUGAUUUGGAGUCAUCGAUCUCUGAUUUGAAGUCGAUCUGUGGUGGUGGGAGAUCUGUGGAACGGGAGUUCCGAUAUGGUGGUGAAGGAAGCGCCGGUUGCUGCGGAGAAGGCGAACUUCGAUGAAUUGAUGGAAUCAGUGGCGUAGUCUAAGGGAAAGAAUACGAUUGCGAAGCAAAUUUAUGUUUUUGCACUUUGUUUGCUGGAGUUAAUGGCAGCCCUGCCAAAUAUUUUCCAAUUCUAUGUUAGUAUAUGUUGAACACAGUGAUAGUAUUUUUUAAUGUCUGGCUUAGUAUGUUUUCAACAUGAUCAUAGUAUUUUGUAUACAUAAUCGUAGUAUCUUUCGUUGAUGAUGGCAGUAUCUUUUGUUGUUAUUGGUAGUAGUUUUUUUUGCUGGCGGUAGUACCUUUUGUUGAUAGCAGUAGUAUUUUUUGUUGUCAGUAGUAGUAGUUUUCUUUGUUGGUGACAGUAGGUUUUGUUGUUGUCGGUAGUAUUUUUUGUUGUCAGUGGUAGUAGCUUUUGUUGCUGGCGGUAGUAGCUUUUUUUGCUGGCGAUAGUAGCUUUUGUUGCUGGCGGUAAUAGAUUUUUUUGCUGGCGGUAGUAGCUUUCUUUGCUGGCGGUAGUAGUUUUUGUUGUGGGUGGUAGUAGUUUUGGUUGCUGGUAGUACGUAGUAUUUUUUGUUGCUAGUGGUAGUAGUUUUCGUUGAUGAUGGUAGUAUUUUUUUUGUCAGUGGUAGAAGUUUUAUUUGCUGGCGGUAGUACCUUUUGUUGCUAGCGGUAGUAUUUUUUGUUGUCAGUGGUAGUAGCUUUCUUUGCUGGUGACAGUAGAUUUUGUUGCUGUUGGUAGUAUCUUUUGUUAUCGGUGUUAGUAGCUUUUGUGGUCGCCAGAAUUCUCAUUGAUGGUCGGCCGGAAAGUUCGCCGGAGACCUUGUCGGAGUUCAUUAGUGGCAUUUUUGUAAAUAUAAGAGAGAAAAUCUAAUUUUUUUGUUGGAUGACAAUCUGUAAUUUUGUUUAACUUUAACACCAAAUAUAAGACACUAUUUAGAUUUUGGUGGACUUAUGUGAGUAAAAAUGUUUGGGUGGACCUAUAUAGAAUAAAAUGUCUCAAAGUGGACUUCUAUGUAAUUGGCCCUAUUGAUUUACUCUCUCUCUCUCUCUCUACUCUCUUCUUCGAAACCCAGACUCCAAAAUGAAUGAGAUUUGAAAAAACAUUACCCAGGUUUUCUUUCCUCGAUCUGUUACGCAUUCAUAAUUCACUUCUUCUCCUCUCUCUCUCUAUUCUCUUCUUCUAUCGAGGUUAGAAUGAGUUUGAUUCGAUUUGUUUCUGUUUUAAGAUAUAAGUUUGAACGACGAAAAAAAAAAAUUCAGACCGUCUAGUCGGCGGACCGCCAAGACCGCCCAAGCGCUGCCUAGGCGGCCGACUUUCUCCCGAACGCCUAGCUCGACCGAUUAUGGGAGAAUCAGAACGGAUGGGUGACGCCUAGCGUCUAGGCGGCGUUUUUUAGAACAAUGAAUAUAAGAAAUGAUCUUUUUAUUUAGGCUGGUAUGUCCUUAUACAUAUGCACAUGUACGUGUGUGUGUCUAUAUAUACAGGCUUUCUUGGCUAAGGAGAUCCUUAUUUAUUCUUACAGUGCGGAUUUUCAUUUUAGACUCAUUUUUCAAUCGAAUUUUCACAUCUCCACCGUAUAGUCUUUAGAUACUAAUGUAUAGAUCAUCUCUACAAAAUUUCAGCCCCUUUGGUUAUCAUUAAGACACUCAAAACUGNNNNNNNNNNNNNNNNNNNNAGGGUAAGUGGAGAGGCAGAAUCACCCAACCUUUCUGUUGAACUUCUCAAGGGAAUUGAAAUUGACCACUUUCUGCUCCUUUUAGCUGAAUCUAUUAUCACAUUAUGAUGACCCAAAGAGUGCUGCAAGUGGUUAUUAAGCUAGCGUGCAAGGGGAAUAUGUCUUGGUUUAAACUAAAGAAUUAAUUGGUUUGAUGAGAGCGAAUUCAAAAGAUGGCAUGGUAGCUAAAUUUGAGCAAAAUCGAUUCAACACAAAAACAACAAAGGAAACUAAAUGUAAUUGCAACUGUAAGCCUAACCUUUCAGAUGAAAUAACCAUUGAGUAAAGUUUGAUAUUUGUUGCUUUUCUUCUUCACUUAUCCCCUUCUUGUGUAAUCGUAUAUUUUCUGUUAGAUGAAAGACUUUAAACAACAGCCACAACAAAGAACUAUUCAACGAUGUGUCUAUUAAUUAUGCUUUUGUUCCAUUAGUUACAACCGGUAAUAUUUGACAAAAGUCUCCACCAAGUACAAUAGGCAUUCCAUCAAAAGGAGGAACAUCUUCUCCUUCAUAAUGAUAUGAUAAUAUAUGGACGAUGCUACAAAACCAAGCAAUCACCCAAGAUGAAGGUAGAAAGGAAAAACAUACUUAAAGGUCUCACAAUCAAAUGCAUUAAGUAAUUUCAGCCUGGCCACUUCAUUUAAACAGAGAUGUUUUGGUUAAGUGUUUUAACGGAUCAUUUUGGUUAAGUCUGUCCACGGUCUUUNNNNNNNNNNNNNNNNNNNNNNNNNNNNNNNNNNNNNNNNNNNNNNNNNNNNNNNNNNNNNNNNNNNNNNNNNNNNNNNNNNNNNNNNNNNNNNNNNNNNNNNNNNNNNNNNNNNNNNNNNNNNNNNNNNNNNNNNNNNNNNNNNNNNNNNNNNNNNNNNNNNNNNNNNNNNNNNNNNNNNNNNNNNNNNNNNNNNNNNNNNNNNNNNNNNNNNNNNNNNNNNNNNNNNNNNNNNNNNNNNNNNNNNNNNNNNNNNNNNNNNNNNNNNNNNNNNNUAAAAACUAAAAUUGAACUUUUGAAAGCCUUAACGAUNACCAAAUCAUAUGAAAUUUUAUAGAGGUGAUCUACUCAUAUAGACCUAAGAUAUGAACGGUGGAGAUGUAAAAUUAUAAUCGGGAAGUUGGUGUAAUGCCAUAUCCCUAUAAAUGGCUUAAAAUAGGGAUCCCUUAUUGGAAGGGCCCUGAUAUAUAUAUAUAGUCCGGAUUUAGAGAGGACAACCUUAAACUCUUAAAGUAAGGAUGUUUUUAGUUAUAGCAUGUAUUUUGAUAAUCAGAACCACUCAUUUCUUAGUUACUUACCCACAUAUGAAUCCUACAAAAAAAUUAGUCAAAAUGAAAAACGUUUAACCAUUUGAUUAGCAUAAUAUUCGUUUUAAUUUUAUUAUAGAAUUAGUUGAAAUUUUGUAGACAUGUUUCUUGUUUCUUGCAUAUGAAUCUAGAGGAUCAACGAUUGAGAUCGUUAAAAAAAGUCAUCUACUAAUGUAAAAUAGUAGAAAUCCUUAAAUUCUUAAAGUAAGCAGGCCGUCUUUAGAUCAUCUCUCUAUAUAUAUAAUCCAUGUUGUAAUACUCCGACAAUUUAGUAACUGAAUUUAUUUCAAUAUACAUUGUUUAAUUAAGAUUUGUAUCAAGAUGAUUUAAGUGAGAAUCGUAUAGUAGUUGUCAGGACCCACCCUGAAUACCCACCCCGAAACCCAAGGUAAAUCCUGUUUGGUCCACCUUUAAGGAAAAUUUACCGAAAAUUUACGACAAUAACCUCCCUUGAAAAUGAAAAACCUUUCUAAAAGCACCUGUAAACACUUCUAAAAUUUCAAAUCCAACCUUAAACACCUGGAGCCUUUGUGCUCCCCAAAUUCACAACACCUCUCAAUUUAAUUAUUAAACUAAAUAAAAUCCCACAACAAACAAUUUAUUGGUUCAGAGCAACUCUAAUAAGGAUAAAAGGAAACAAAAUAAAUAAAUAAGCAGAAGCUAUAGGAUAGACUAUGCCUCGUCUCCAUGUACGCCCGACCUCAACUAAGCUAACCUGUAAGUUGGGCAUUUAAAAUCGAAGGGCCUAGGAGAAAACAUUUGAAAAAUGUUAGAGUGAGUGGACAAAAAUAAAGUUUAAAAGAAAUAAAUCUUUAUGUUUUCCUGAUUUAAUUUCCAUAGAACUUAUGCUGCAUGCGACAUCUCAAACUAUUCAUAUUCUCUGUAGGACAAAUAGGUCAGACCGUACUCUGAACAACUAUUGACUCAACGUCUUUCCUAGUUUGACUAGGGUUCCUGGGUUGACCACGAUUGACCAAGUUUGACCCACGGUUGACCAACAGAUAUUAAUAAUCAUUUUGGACUAACUUCGCAACUAUAACUCAUUCGGUUCCAACCCAAACCUUAACUUGGAAUCGAAGUCACAAUCAACUUCCAAGCCUUUAACACAUCAACUAAUUUACUUCCAAAUUCAUCACAUAGUAAUCUGGUCUAGAUUCUAGAGUUACUAUGGACAUUGUUCAUAUUACCAAAAUUAUUUUAUGGUCCCCUACGUUCAUGCAUGCCAACAUACAGUACCAACAAUUCCAUCAUUCCCUCUCUACACAACUUCACCCAAAAUUUACUAAGAGCACCCAAAAGGGUUUCCAUGAAUAGAAAGUUUCUAUAAGGGGAAAGUUUCUUCCUAACUUAAUAAGUUUUCCAAUUAUACUCUGAACUUUCCUAUUUAGGAACUACGACUUGGAUUAGAAAGAAUAGUCUCGAAAACUACCUUAACGGCUCUCAGCCGGAUAUGCUGCCUCGCUGUAACCCCUCACCGGAUUUCGGCGACUUACGGGAAUAUUCUGCUGGAUUCUGACACAAAGAGCUGUGUCGCCUCACGGUAAAAAUAAAAGAUACGUCACCUUCUAGCAUGUCGUUGUUUAAACUAUCAGGCGACAUGUAUACCGUGUCGUCUUAUCUCAAUUCAGGUGACACAAAAUGAAAAAAGUACUUAUGUCGCCUGAGGUUCUUAUAGGCGACACAACAUUUGUGUCGUCGGAGAACCUUAUCAACGACAUGCUAGAAGGCGACACUUACGAUUUUUAUCAGGCGACACAACAGUUGUGUCGCCUGAUGCAAGAAAUGGCAUAGUGUAAAACCUUUACUUACAAACUCUUAUUCGGGUAACUAACAAUCUACAAGUUUGUAUACACCACCUCUAUCAAAAAAACAAAAAACAAAUUUCCGAAUUGAUAAACUACUAACGAUUGAUUUUUAACACCCUUCAGAGUAUAAGGUAACGGUAUAACUCAGUUAAAUCAAAAACCACAAUAUGAAAAGGAAUUACUAUUUUCGGGGUGUGUUAAUAGGCUUUCAAAACGAGCAACGAGAAUUGCAGGGGGUCAAUGAGACAUCAAGAAAAGGCCGGUGCACCUCAAUUGUUUGAGGAAUUGACCGGACGGUCUCCAAGAAAUUGGAGCCGUGUUCGGGUGACAUCAAUGUCCCCCGGGUGCCGCCAUUUACAACCAUGGCGUCACCAUCAUGCUUCAUGGAGAAGCUAGAUCCCGAAUGUUUUUGUUUUGUGGGGAAGAAUGGAUGUCCAUGAAAAUUUCUUAAAAUUCGGACCAUUAUAUCUCUUUCAGGAUGACCGAUUUGGCCAAACCAAAGCCUAUAUGAGUCGGUAUCCCAGAUAUCAUGUUUGGCAACAACAUGUGAUUCGAUAUUCGAAUCAUAGUGACACACAAUCCACUAGAUUGACUCAUAAACUUCUCUAAGAUGCAUUUCAGUCUGUAUUCAUGAGAAGUUAUACACAAAAGAAUUCUUGUUCAUUCUCACAAUGUGUUUUAAAAUGAAAACUAGUAGCAUAAAUGUCUUUAAAGUUCAACAUGGUUCGGUUGCCUCCCAAUGCAUAGAAGGCAUCUGUGACGUUGAUCAUGGUGUCAUAAGGCAUCAAGAUAUAAGCUAAACCGCGUCCUUAAAUGACUGAUAUGAUUCAAUUAUUAUAGUCACAUAAUAUUUACAAAGGCACAAAAUCCAAAGAUAGUUGCCGGUUUCUUAGAAUGUUGUGGGUAGUUCCACUAUCUACGAAGCACUCAAUGUCUCUAUGAGACAGAUCUACAAAAUGGAGUAGAUAGGAGAGUAAAUAGUUCCACUUAAACCAUUUAGAAUGAUGGAAAGAAGCUACAAAAAACUGCAAUCCUGAGAGUGCAUAAAAAUUUCCACGCAGAAUGACCUUUACGCACUAAAACAGCCUUAACUUCUUCGUUAAAAUAGAUAUGGAUGAACUGUGAAAAAUUCUGAAAGCUCACUGUCUGAUUCGUCCGAAUCUGUUCAUAAAGCUCAAACGAAGUUGGCUGUCCAAAAAGAACAGAUUGCUGUUUUUCGUAGAUUUGGCAUUGGCAAAGCUUUGAAGCUUGCCGUUGGCAUGGAGGCUUAUGCUCAGCCACGGGGACCUGUUGAUGAUGAUUGUCUGGUUUUGAGAAGUCUUCAACAUCUUUUACAAGACGAAAAUUGGUUUAAUAGCGUAGGGGGAUCCAAAAUCAAAAGUUUUCGGUAACUCCAAGUCAGCAUAACCAGGCAUGUCCGUGGAGGGUCGGUAGUGCAAGACACACUUAAACCACUAUCUCCUUAAUUUCGGACAAUUCUAAGACAUCACAUUGAGCUUGGAUGAGCCUAGUUGAACAACUGAUGAUGGAAAAUCCGCUAUAGAGUAGAAGACUUAACUGGAAACUCGUUGGCAAUCCUCCUUGAGGAUGCAAAGCCGUGCGCCAUCUUCACUUGAAAGAGUUCAAAUCGGCACAAUCUAACCAUGUAGAUUGUAUAUAUGCCAUGUUUCUAAGGAUGAUGUAAAAAAUUGUACAUCUUUUUUUGUAAAUCAAUAUGAACCAUAAGAGGAGAAUAGUUUCAUUUCGAAAGAAAUUGGCAUUGAUUAUUGCUAAUGUGAGUACAUCGAGGUCUCGAAUAGAUGAAGGACAUUGAUACGACACCUUAUUACAUAUAGCUUGGAAAGAAAAUCAGAGUUUUAGCCAAUGACGUUAAAGUCAAGGGCAUCUAGAGCUAGAUCCGAAUCUUUGAAAUCCGUGAUCAUGAGGAUGACGUUCUUAUCCUCAUUUUGAUUUUUUGUACCUUUUUGUAUGCAUUCACAAUUUGAAGGAGAGCUAGAUAACUCCUCAACCAGUGAUCCAGAGAUCCACACAGUCGCAUUGUCCUGAGCGGACGUGAGUAGUUUUGACAAAUUGUUGUCUAGACCAGGAGUGUCGCCAUUAGGGCCAGCGGCACCUCCCCCUCUUUUCUAGACAUUAGUGUGGCUUUUUCUAUUGUUGCAGUGACCCAUAUUGUUUUUCACGCACUAGGGGACAAUCCCAUAUAUGUGUAGACCAAUACGUUUAUCGUAUUAGUGUAUAUGCAAUUCUCAUUUGCAAUUGUAUGAUCAAAAUCAAGCCUCAUUGGUAAUUCCAAACCAACUUGGAGAGCCUAGAGAACUUGAUGAUGAUCGAAAUCGAAUCCGCUAAAGAUUAUGGAUCAGGAUGCCACGGAAUAUCAUCGACGAUAUAUAGUCAAAUAAGGUGGUAAGCAAUCCACUUGACUUAAUAACUCAACUUGUUAAGUUAGAUGAACAUUUCAAGAAACGCUCCAUAAGUGCAUUCCACAUUACAUUGUGGUCAUUAACUUUUUACACAGAUUGCCAUUAAGGGCUUUUGUCGAUGUGGCACUUCAAAACUUUGAGCGCGUGAGAUGUGAAAUCUCGGCAUCUAGGCUUGUUAGCCUAGGUUUCAAAACAUGUGAUUUAAUCCUUUCUAAUGAAAGGUUCCACAGAUACUAAGCGAAGAUUCGCCUUAGGUAUCAAAUACAUCAAAACUCAAAUGAGCAGAAUGUAAUGUUGCUCUUGCAUACAAAACCAAGCAGUUAUGAGACUCGAUAGAGGUCACAAAUGAUGUUUUUUAAUGGUUUGUCCUUCGAAUUGAUCACACACAAUCCGGAAAAGCCGCAAAUUGAUCAAACACAAUUCGAAAAAGUCUCGGAUUGAUCAAACACAAUCCGGAAAAAGGUCGGGGUUGAUAUACACAACCCGGAUAAAGAAACAAGAGUGAUCAAACACACACUUGACCCACAAAUAAAAUUCCAGGAUUUUUACCUGCACGCACAAAAUCUCAAGCAUAGAAUGGAGAUGGAAAAAGGAGGAAAUGAUUUUAUCCUGCUCGAGUUAUUGAACUUGGAAAAGUUUAGGGUUUCAAAACAUACCCUUCGAAACUUCAAACACUCGAAGAAAUCGAAAAUUGUAGUCAGAGGAAACCAAAAAAUCGUCGGCGGGAGGCGGCCAAGGGAUUGGUAGCCGGUGGUGUCGGACAACGGCCAGGAAAAUGGGCGGCAGCGGCGGUCGGACAGAGGAGCUGAAAAACGCUUUUUAAGGUUUCGAAAAAUAAAAUGGUGGGCUAUUAGUUCUAGGGUUAGAACAAAGUGCAUAAUAACAUGAUCAAGUAUAAAGUGUAGAGAAUGAGAGAUGACAAGAGAAUCAUCAAAAAGAUGUAUCUUAUUCAUUGAGAGGUGUCAGUACCACCCCGAAUUUCACCGUGAAACCCGAGGUAAUUCUUGCGGGGUCCACCUCUAAGGAAAAUUUACUGAAAAUUCGGCAUAAUCUACCUUGAAAAUGGACAACCCUUACCUAAAAAUUUCAACUUACAGUUCUAUAAUCAAACAAACCAACCUCAACACCUGGAGUCAUCCUGCACCCCAAGAUCAACAUAUCUCCCAAUAUAACAAUUACUAAACUAAAAUAAUCUCACAACCAACAUCAUACAAUUAAUAAUUUACUACACCAACACUCGGAUAAGCACACCAGGAGAUUGACUCGACGCCAUAGAAAGGAAAACCAGACACCGUGAAGGCGGCGGAGCACGGCAGCGCACACAAGAACUCGUUAGGUGAGGGAUUUGCCGGAACUCAACAAUUCACCGGAGAAUUGAAAUUGGGGAUCAGGGUUUCGAUUUCAAAGAAUUUAAGACAUGCAAUCGAAGAAGAAGGAAGGAGGAGGAGAACCUUACCCCUCACAGUCGUCGUCCCCGUCGAAGCUUGCCGGAUUCUGAUGAACACAGUGGUGUUCAUCAAUUUCGAUCUCCAAGGAUCCGGGGUUGUUUAUGGAAUUUGAUUAUUGGGUUUUGAAGAGAAGAAGGAGGAGAUCAUUUUGGCAGUCAUCUCGCCGUGAGACAGUGGCGUCGUGCGGAGGACGCUGGAGGCAGGCGAAGUUGGGUGAGAGAGAGAGCUGGGCUCGGGUCAACGCCCGAGUGUGGCUUUUAAGAAGUCAACCCAACUUAUUUCCCUAUAUACCCAAGCUAAUGGCGAAGAUCAAAACCCUACUUAAUCCGACAACCAAGAUUAAAUGAGCUAUUCUAAUUUCAGAAAAUAAAUUUCUUUUACCAAACCUUCAAAAAAUCGUAAAAAAUACUUCAAAGCUCUAAAAAUAAACCGAAAACACCGUAAAACCCGUGUUGACGCGAACUACGACACCGAGACCUUAAAAGAAGAAUUUGACAUUUCCAAAAGCACUCGCAAAUAAACUCGAGUGUUAACUUACUAAGUUACCGAGCACGGUUAAAUUCCUCAGUAACUCGUAGAAUACCCAGUAAAUAGGUAAAAUUGGGUACGGGGCGUUACAAUAGAAUCUCUUUAUACAGGGAAUUACAAAGUAUCAAUAUUGUAAUGAUAAGGAAUACAUAGUUAUAAUCUAACUACAUAUCAUAUUGGCAUAAGGCUAAGACACAUAUAAGAAAUAUCCUAGAAAGAUGCAGAAUAUCCUAGAACAAUUUUGCAAUUAAUAAAAACAGAUUUUUUUUAAUAAAAACAAAAAUUUAAAAAUAUUAGAAAUCAUACUAUAUUGACGUGGGUAUGCCACGUUAGUUGUCACAUAAGAUGGACUCUAGGUGGUUCACCAAAAGAUGGUUCAUCUAACGUUACUCAAGCAGAAAAGAGGUUCGAGGAGGAAGAAUAUAACGAGAAAGGAUUUAAUUAGCUCUUCUGCCAUGCGUAGGUUGUGAAUAUACUGAAUUACUCAUUUCAUAAAUCGCGACCCUACGUUUAUUGUAACGAUCAGCAUGACGCAACAUUAGCUAAUACCCUGUUUUGCUAGUUAGUUUCUAUCAAUCUAGCGUUAGGUGACUUAAGUCCAUGCCAUUUUCUCCGUCUCUCGUGUUUCUCUUCAUUUGUUCUCUCUUCUUUCUGUUUCAUCUGCAUAACGCUAGAAACCCAAUUAUUCAGACUAAUGGUUGCUUGAAUUUAAAUUCUAUAACAAAUCCCGACCCGAGUGAUAUAUAAGAGCUUUGACUCUUCUCUUCCUUAAGCUCUUUAACUUUUUAGAGGGACAAAUUAAAGAAACCAGGAACUACUUAUGUGCAUUAGCACUUUCUCCAAAAGUUUGUUUCCAGAAUAGUGUUGCCUUGUCACAGAACGCACUCUCCGAAGCAACUUUGCCUUUAGAGAGAGGAGAGCCUAUUUGCGGCGCACAAGGAAAUUUAACGGGGAGUGGGUGGCACGCGCUAUCUGUGCUAUUGGGGAAUUCUUGGCCUAACUUCUUCCUUCCUAUCUCUAACACAACGACAACAACCCUUCUAGCCUCCUUCCGUGUUCGUUUUGGUCUCCAAGAGAAAGAGGCGACGCUGGGAAAGAGAGGGAGGGGCUGGAAAGCCUCGCUGGAGACUCGCCGUGAAAAAAAAACCAUAAAAGAGAUACUAAGGAUUCGGGCACCAUUCAAGGAAACAAAAACAUAGAAUUGAACAAGAAGAGAAGAGGAGAGAAACCCUACCCACCACUGUUACAGUCAUCGUCGGAGCUCGCCGGAAAUUGAAGAACACAGUGAAGCAUCCUUGAAUUCGAUCUCCAUUGAAUUGGGUUGCAUGUUUGAUAUAUGGACUGGGUUUUGUAGAGUAGAAGAAGAGAAAGAGUUUGGUGGUGGUCUCACCGUCUGGGUGGUCGGAAUCGGGCGGAGAAGAUGGAUGCAGCAAAGAGAGAGGAGGAGGAGAGAGACAGACAGGUCAAUGCCCAAAAUGGGCUUUUGACCGAGGUCAACAGUCUCUUCCCUUUUAUAGGGAAAUGUACAACCAAGAUUAAAAGGAGGAAAACAAUCAACGGCCCAGACUUUAAAAUGUUAUUUCCUAAUUUUAGAAAAUUCUAUUGAUUCCCGAAACUUCGAUAUCGUAAAAAUAGCUCGAUUCUCUGAAAAUUUAUCCGAAGACAGCGAUGAACUCGUCUCACCACGUACUUUGACACCGGGUCCUUAAAAGAGGAAUAUGACAUUUCGAGAAAAACUCGAAAAUACUCAGGAGUUAAUUUAGAAAUUAACCGGGCGCGGUUACUAACCUUCGGUAACUCAACGAACGCUCGGUAAAUUUCUUCGGGACGUCUCAAUAAAGUAGAAUUCGAGCAAAGUUACAACUUCAUUCAAGUAGAAGUAAAUGCAGAAGAAUGUGAGUAAGGUUCGGGAUAUAUCACAUACUAAUGUGGUGACUUUUUCAAAUAAGUUAUAUACAAGUGUACGUCUUUAUAAACCAACUAUAUCGAGAAAGUAAAAUUUUCAAAAAUCUUGUCAAAUAGAAUGUGACUGGAAUGGUGAAAUACGGUUAGGGUUGAAAAAUCAUAAAUAUGUGGCGAUACGAAGUCAUAAAUAUGUGAAAGUAAAAAUUCCACCGUCCGAUGUAGACAUGGUGAUUAAAUAGGUCUACUGAAAAAAAUUCACCCUGUUUCGGAUUCGUUAGACCCCCCCAUCGAACCGGUCAACCUAAAUUCAACAUCAUUUUUUACACGAAAAGCGGUUGACUGGCAUCGUGCGAAACCCUAUUUUUUUUUCGUUUUCGAACCUAAAACUCAUAUACAUGAGAUUUAGGAACGCAUGAAAAAAAAUUGUUAAAUUGGCCCUCCGGUGGUUAGGCUCCCAUUAGGAGCGCCUAAGCGUAUUUAGAGUUGACAAGAAGCAAACGUUACCGAAAGUUUGUGAUUUUUUAACCCUACAUGUAUUUCACUAUUCCGGUCACAUCUUAUUUCAUAAGAUUUUUGAAAAUAUUGUUUCUUUAGUAUAGUUGGUUCACAAUGAUGUACAAGUCAUAUAACCUAUUAAACAAGUUAUACCGCUUUAGUAGGUACGUGGCGAUCUGAGGUCAUAAAUAUGUGAAAAUAAAAAUUUCACCGUCAGAUGUAGAUAUGGUGAUUAAAUAGGUCUAUUGAAAAAAAUCCACCAUGUUUCGGAUUCGUUAGACCUCCCAUUGAACCGGUCAACCUAAAUUCAACAUCAUUUUUUACACGAAAAGCUGUUGAAUGGCAUCGUGCGUAAACCCUUUUUUUUUUUUUUUUGGAACCUAAAACUCGCAUUCAUGAGAUUUAGGAACGCAUGAAAAAAAUUGUUAAAUUGGCCCUUCGGUGGUUAGGCUCCUCUUAAGAGCGCCUAAGCGUAUUUAGAGUUGAAUGUUUUUAUCGGGAAGCAAACGUUACCGAAAGUUUGUAAUUUUUUAACCCUAUAUGUAUUUCACUAUUCCGGUCACAUCCUAUUUCAUAAGAUUUUUGAAAAUUUUGUCCUUCCAGUAUAGUUGGAUCACAAUGAUGUACAAGUCAUAUAACCUACUAAACAAGUUAUACCGCUUUAGUAGGCAUGUGGCGAUCCGAGGUCUUAAAUAUGUGAAAAUAAAAAUUCCACCAUUACAUGUAGACAUGGUGAUUAAAUAGGUCUACUUAAAAAAAUUCACCAUGUUUCGGAUUCGUUAGACCCCCUAUCGAACUGGUCAACCUAAAUUCCACAUUAUUUUUUACAUGAAAAGCGGUUGACUGGCAUCGUGUGAAACCGUAUUUUUUUUCAUUUUCGAACCUAAAACUCGUACACAUGAGAUUUAGGAACUCAUGAAAAAAAAUUGUUAAAUUGACCCUCCGAUGGUUAGGCUCCCCUUAGGAGCGCCUAAGCGUAUUUAGAGUUUACUGUUUUUAUCGGGAAGCAAACGUUACUGAAAGUUUGUGAUUAUUUAACCCUAUAUGUAUUUUACUAUUCCGGUCACAUCCUAUUUCACAAGAUUUUUGAAAAUUUUGUCUUUUCAGUAUAAUUGGUUCACAAUGAUGUCCAAGUCAGAUAACCUACUAAACAAGUUAUACCACUUUAAUAGGCGCGUGGCGAUCCGAGCUUAUAAAUAUGUGAAAAUAAAAAUUUCACCUUCAGAUGUAGACAUGGUGAUUAAAUAGGUCUACUGAAAAAAAUUCACCCUGUUUCGGAUUCAUUAGACCCCCUAUCGAACCGGUCAACCUAAAUUCAACAUUAUUUUUUACAUGAAAAGUGGUUGACUGGCAUCGUGUGAAACCGUAUUUUUUUUCGUUUUUGAACCUAAAACUCGUAUACAUGAGAUUUAGGAACUCAUGAAAAAAAAUUGUUAAAUUGACCCUCCGGUGGUUAGGCUCCCCUUAGGAGCGCCUAAACGUAUUUAGAGUUGACUGUUUUUAUCGGGAAGCAAACGUUACCGAAAGUUUGUGAUUUUUUAACCCUAUCUGUAUUUCACUAUCCUGGUCACAUCCUAUUUCACAAGAUUUUUGAAAAUUUUGUCUUUUCAGUAUAGUUGGUUCACAAUGAUGUCCAAGUCAUAUAACCUACUAAACAAGUUAUACCGCUUUAAUAGGCACGUGGCGAUCCGAGCUUAUAAAUAUGUGAAAAUAAAAAUUUCACCUUCAAAUGUAGACAUGGUGAUUAAAUAGGUCUACUGAAAAAAAUUCACCCUGUUUCGGAUUCGUUAUACCCCCCCCCAUCGAACCGGUCAACCUAAAUUCAACAUCAUUUUUUACACGAAAAGCGGUUGACUGGCAUCGUUUCGGAUUCGUUAGGCCACCCAUCAAAUUGGUUAAUUUUAAUUCAACCUUAUUUUUUAUACGAAACGUGACCGACAUCGUGUGAGACCCCAUUUUCCCUCAACCAUUUUCUUGAAAUGUUAUAUUCCUCUUUUAAGGCCCCGGUGUCAAAGUACGAAGCGACACGAGUUCACCGCUAUAUUCAGAUUAAUUUUUGAGCAUCGAGCUAUUUUUUACAAUUUAUAGAAGUUUCGAGAGAAUCUUUUGAAAUUAGAAAAUACCAUUUUGAAAUUAGAAAAGUUGAUUCGUUUCCAACUUUUAAUUUUGGCCGUCGAUUUCCCUAUAAAAGGAAAGAGACUAUUGACCUCGGUCAAAAGACCUAUUUCGUAGAGUUGACCGGUUUCUCUCUCCUCCUCCUCCUCUCUCUCUCUCUCUCCGCCGCAGCCAUCUUCUCCGCCGCACUCCGCCAGAUUCCGGCCACCCCAGACAGAGAGACCACUACCAAACUCUUUCACUUCUUCUACUCUACAAAACCCAGUCCAUAUAUCACAUAUGCAACCCAAUUUAAUUGAAAUUAAAUUCAAGGCUGCUUCACUGUGUUCUUCAUUUUCCGACGAGCUCUGACGGCGACUAUAACAGCGUUUGGUAGGGUUUCUCCUUCCUUCUCUUCUUCUUCUUCUUGUUUGGCCGGUAUUUUUGAGAUGUUGGCGUGCCAAUUCUUCUAGGUUCAACGUAACCUUCUUGAUAUGCUAUUGUGCGCUCUUUCUUUUGACUUCUGCUCCAAGAAACUGCUGGGGCCUUUUACCAAACCUAAGAUUGCUCUUAGGAUGCUUAAACAACGAAAAUAAAAGUAAGAUAUUUGCUAAGGAUCGCUCCUUAACAAUGGGAUGGACUGUUGCUCGUGAUGAGGCUUUAUGAAGUGGGGGUGGACUUUUUGCUCGGGACGAGGCUAGUGAGUGAAGCGGGAUUUACUCGGGACGAGGCUUUGGUGGUGCUCCCUGGAGAGGCUUUUUGGUAGAUUGGGUGCUCUUGGGGAGGCGUCCAAUUUGCAGUGAUGCAGAGUUUUGUUGAAUUGUCGGGGGCAUUCCCUCAUUCGCUUAGAACCUCUUAUAUAGAGAAUAGGUUUCGCGAAUAACUUGCAUACCAAGACAAAUCUUCCACCAGUAAUUACCAAAUAAGAAAUAAAGAUAUUUACUGAAUUGAACCGCAUGUAUCGGUUCACGUAUCAGACUAGAUACGAUGUCUAGGUAAAUAUAUUUACCUCAAAUAUAAUAAUUCUUAAAGAUCUUCUCGAUGUCACCUUCUACACAGAGAUAUUGCUUUAUGACUCUUCCAACUCGGACGUGCAUGUAUAUCACCUUUAUGCAUUCAAGCGUAAUUAAGGAAUAUGACCAAAUAUCAUGCACGUAUUAGGCUUCUCCUGAGAAACAAAGAAUCAAGGAUGAUUAACUUCCUUCUUAGAUAACACCGUAUGUCUUCCUUAAUCACAAAGUUAACAAUACCUUCCUUACUAGCAUGGCACACGUCUAAGACUCCUUGAAUGCAAAUCCUUCAUUCUAACUCAAUCUUUGUAACCAAGCAAUCUUCCACUAAUCACCGGAUCCAUGAUAUAUCGAUAAUAUCCUGGAUUUACACCAAAAUGGCUUGGUAGGCUCGAUUUAGCUUUGAUAGCGAAUAUCUCCAAAGAUACUCGAUCAUAUCCACGACGAACCACAUAACUGGUUCGAUAUGCUACAAAUGCAGGGGGUGUAAAUUUACCCUCAAACACUUCUUCUUCAAUUCUAUAUCUUUGUUUUGUUGAGUCGAGCCCGAAUCCUUAAUACCUCUUUUUUGCCUUUUCUGGAUUUUUUCACGGCGAGUCUCCGACGAGGCUUUCCAGUGCCUCCAUCUCCUUCCCGACGUCGCCUCCUUCUCCUGUAGACAAAAACGAAAACGAAAGGAGGCUAGAAGGGUUGUUGUCGUUGUGUUGGAGGAAACCCACAUCGUCGGGAAGGAGAUGGAGGCACUGGAAAAGUCAAGGAAGGGCCCACAUCGUCGGCGGUGGUGUUUGGCGCCAAACCAAAAAAGUCAUUAUGAGGUCUGCAUUGAAGAUGGAUGCACACCCAUUCUCUUCCCUUUCUCCCCCUCACUCGCCUACAAACAUCCUCCAAACGCCCAAUUAACGUCUUUGAUCCACGCGUCAAAAUGGAUGGUGGUUAUUCCGGGUGCGCUGUAUAAUUUUCGUAGAGAGAGAGAGAGAGGNNNNNNNNNNNNNNNNNNNNNNNNNNNNNNNNNNNNNNNNNNNNNNNNNNNNNNNNNNNNNNNNNNNNNNNNNNNNNNNNNNNNNNNNNNNNNNNNNNNNNNNNNNNNNNNNNNNNNNNNNNNNNNNNNNNNNNNNNNNNNNNNNNNNNNNNNNNNNNNNNNNNNNNNNNNNNNNNNNNNNNNNNNNNNNNNNNNNNNNNNNNNNNNNNNNNNNNNNNNNNNNNNNNNNNNNNNNNNNNNNNNNNNNNNNNNNNNNNNNNNNNNNNNNNNNNNNNNNNNNNNNNNNNNNNNNNNNNNNNNNNNNNNNNNNNNNNNNNNNNNNNNNNNNNNNNNNNNNNNNNNNNNNNNNNNNNNNNNNNNNNNNNNNNNNNNNNNNNNNNNNNNNNNNNNNNNNNNNNNNNNNNNNNNNNNNNNNNNNNNNNNNNNNNNNNNNNNNNNNNNNNNNNNNNNNNNNNNNNNNNNNNNNNNNNNNNNNNNNNNNNNNNNNNNNNNNNNNNNNNNNNNNNNNNNNNNNNNNNNNNNNNNNNNNNNNNNNNNNNNNNNNNNNNNNNNNNNNNNNNNNNNNNNNNNNNNNNNNNNNNNNNNNNNNNNNNNNNNNNNNNNNNNNNNNNNNNNNNNNNNNNNNNNNNNNNNNNNNNNNNNNNNNNNNNNNNNNNNNNNNNNNNNNNNNNNNNNNNNNNNNNNNNNNNNNNNNNNNNNNNNNNNNNNNNNNNNNNNNNNNNNNNNNNNNNNNNNNNNNNNNNNNNNNNNNNNNNNNNNNNNNNNNNNNNNNNNNNNNNNNNNNNNNNNNNNNNNNNNNNNNNNNNNNNNNNNNNNNNNNNNNNNNNNNNNNNNNNNNNNNNNNNNNNNNNNNNNNNNNNNNNNNNNNNNNNNNNNNNNNNNNNNNNNNNNNNNNNNNNNNNNNNNNNNNNNNNNNNNNNNNNNNNNNNNNNNNNNNNNNNNNNNNNNNNNNNNNNNNNNNNNNNNNNNNNNNNNNNNNNNNNNNNNNNNNNNNNNNNNNNNNNNNNNNNNNNNNNNNNNNNNNNNNNNNNNNNNNNNNNNNNNNNNNNNNNNNNNNNNNNNNNNNNNNNNNNNNNNNNNNNNNNNNNNNNNNNNNNNNNNNNNNNNNNNUACUUCAUUCCUCCUCAAGGCUUCAAGUCGCAGAACAACCUUUGAACCUUCUGCACCCACUUAUGACCGCAUAUACAACCAAACAUAAGGAGCUGCAUAUUCCUGUAUAUCAAAAAUAGAAUUCACAGUCAACAUAAAUGGCUGCUUAUUCCUGUCAGCAUAAGAAGCCUGCAUACUCAUGUAUAUCUAUUUAUGUUAUGUUGUUAUGUUUCUGGUUCUAGUAGUGUCAUAGUGUCCCAUCACUGUCUUAGGAAUGCAGAAAAUAGAAUUGUAUACACUAGACAACGCCCGGCCGCGUCCUGCUGCAGCCUAUUUUUCUUUUGAAUUCUAAACAUAACAAAUAAUCCUCGUAUGUAUUUAGAGAAAUUCAUAACUAAAAUAAAAAUUACAUACCAAGUAUUUAGCCAUCGCUUCAUUAAAUCCUAACUGAAUUGACGUUGUCUAAACCUGUUGCUUAGGCUCCAAAUAACCCCGAAUAUCGACUAACUUAAUUAUGCUUGUUACUACGUACAAUAAUCAAUUGGAUUGGUGAUCUAUGUUCUUCCUUCAUGCAUGUCUUUUACUGCGUAGAUUCCAUUAUCAUUAAGAUUAAAUCUGAAGUAGUGCACAUACAUGUUAUUCAUAACUUUUAACACCAGCUAAUUUCACCAAUCCACAAAAUCCACUUCUGUAGUAAUUUUAACACCAGCGAAUAACCUACACUUCUGUAGUAUUAUCAUUUUUUUUUAUCAUAUUUGCUUCUCAAUUCAAAUAGUAAAUCAGACCAAACAUCUACAUUCAUGCUCCAUGCAAGCCUUUCAUUAUUCCACUCAUUUUAAGACAAGAUACCCCUCUGAACCUCAAAAUUUCUAGACCACAGUCUACUGCAUGUACACAUAACCAAAACUUCUAUAGCUACUGACAUAGAAGUUUUAAAGCUAAACUGAUCAAUCUAUUGUAAAAGAUGACUGACCAAAAAAUAAGAACAAGAAUGGAGCAAAAAGAUCAAUAGCUAGUCCUACAAUUUGAAGAGUAAAGCUAUUACUACAAAUUUGAAGAGUUAACAUAUCACUUCAAUUCACUUGAUCCGCAAGAAAAAAUAACGACAAACUUUCUAUCAUGAAUUAUAUAAACUUUUUUGUUUUCUUUGAGAAACAUGUCAACCCAUCAGUCGUGAAUGAAGAUAUAAAAUUUGACAAAUUGCUGAAUAUAGUAUGACUAUCAUAAAGCACAAAUUUAAUGCAGUAGAAAAGCAUGAAGCAGUUUGAUAAAAAGAUGCUUACGAUUCCUGCAACCCUUUCUUUACUUGGUCAUUGCUUUCUUCAAGUGCUCUGUAAGUCACAAAAUUACACACAUAUCAGUAGACAUAAUUGUAAGGCCAAAUGUUCCUGUUGUUUUGGCAGUCUCAAGAACACAAAACAGAUUCUAAUUCAAAUAAAAAGCAACAAAGUCAAGAACUACCUAAAUGAAUAAAUGAUAUCACGAAUCACAAUCUCCAAGGAGGAUACCACUUUCCAGUAGAUGGGGCUUGAAUUUAAAGCCGAUCGAUUGCAACUGUUGAAAAUAAUCCACUGGUAAAGUCGGAAACAGUUUUAAGAAUUCGUCUAGGGUUUCUUCCAAAGACUGAAAAAAUAUACACAUAUACAUGUCAAAACCAUUUCCGCAAAUUCAAAUCCAAUUUACUUGAAAAUAUUAGGAAAAACGUACCUUAGCUGUCUCAACUGUCUCAACAUAUUCAUUGAAAUGGUGACAAACUGUUUUACAACAGUUUAGUAGACCACGAUAGUUGUCUGGAAACUGGCCUGGAGUUACAUGGUCUUUAAAAUCUUUAUAGUAUUCCCACUUUUCAAAUUUUCGUUCAACAUCCAGAUAAGUUUUUCUAAGAACAGUCUCCAAAGCACCAUAUAAAGGCGCUAUAAUAGCCAAAUCCAACAGAAGGAAGGCUGUGUCCGCCUUGGAACCCACAGCCGGUUGGAAGUACAACUCAGCAAAGUUGCUUGAAAAAUAAACAUAAAAAAUCAAUGGAGAAUAAUCAGUAUUAAUUAAGCCAAAUGUUAAACUUUCAAUAACCCUACAAAUACCCCUACAUCAAAAACUCUUACACCAAACACAAUUUGAUAUGUGAAGGAUAAAAUAGACAAACUAUAAAUCAAAAAAUCUCUCAAUUUGUCAAAAAAAAAAUCCAAAAAUCUCUCAAACUGCUGCAACUGACGACCAAAUUUUAGGAAGAGAAGAGGAGUUGCCAACUCCCACUCAAAAUCAGUUUUUUUUCAGUAUCUUUUAAAUCUAUUAAAACCGUGCAGAAUACUUAAAAUUUAUGUAUAAUACUAUAACAAUUUUUUGAUCAAGAGAAUUAACUACAAUGCAAAAAAGAAUAAUAUACUUACUCCUCAGUCUCGCAAUACUCAAUGCUAUCUAGAAAAUACUCAAGCUCAGCACUUUCUUCAUAUCCAGGAACUGCCUUAUAAUUUUCAAGAACUUUCUCUCUUAUUACAGCCUCGAGUGAGCGCCAGAGAUCAUUGUGCCCAGCAUGGAUUUGGAUAGUGGUUACAGAACCCACUAUUUUACAAUCCUCCACCCUGAAGUAACCAGUUUUUUUUGUGUUGCUUGAUGGAUCUGCUGAUAAUUUAGUAUGAUUAUAACAAAUUAUAAUCAUAUCCCUUCAAAAAAAAAAUGAAAUUCAUUAGAAAUAUAACAAAAUAAAUCAGGUUAAUUCAGUUCAAGUUUUCCUCAGUUUUUAAUUCAGUAAGAUUAGAAAAGAACCAACAGUUUAUUAUACUUCGAUGACCUAGAGUUGUGGUUAUUCAAUAAAAAUGCUCAUCAGUCAUACGCUGGGUUGGAAAUCAAUACCCUCUUUGGAAGCCAAAGACUAAGCCUAUUGUGUUUUUGGCUCAUUGAUACAAUCUGGAGAGUUAGGAUUCAGUAGGCAAAUCCAAGUCUAGAAUGGAAAGAGGACAGUGCUGUAGCUUUUCUAUAAGUUCUAGGAAAGUUAGUCUUUCAAGUUUCUAUACUUUUUAGUCUUAUCAAUAAUUGAAGAGAAGAAAGGGAUUCAAAUUCCGCAUCUUAAAUGAACCGGGCAGACUAGAAUUCGCCGUAUUCUAUGAAAUACGAUAGUAUGGUAGAAAGAUUCAGAUAUUUCUUUCUACCAUACAAUCUACUAUUGUUAUUGUAGUGUAUAUUUGUAGUGUAUAUAUUAAAAUUUUUAAUAGACAUAUGUCUAUUAGGUUUAGGGUCCUAAACCAUGUUGUAUCAGCAGCCCCUAUUCACUAUAAAUAGGAGCUGCAGGGGAUUUUCUAAGGGUAAGAUAGAGAGCACAGAAAACCGAGAGCAAAGGGUGAUAGAGAGAUCUAGCAAAGAGUUGGGGAUUAGCAUAGGGAUUUCAAGUUGUUAUUCUCCAUAGUGCUAGUGAUUCUCUCAAGCGAGAUCACAAAGUGGACGUAGGCCAGGGUUUUGGCUAAGCCACUAUAAAAUUAAAUUGCUGUGUGAUGUGUUUCUAUCUUCAAGUUCAUCUAUCUACUUUGCUUAAGUCAUAAAGUACUAAUAAAGACAAGAAAAGAUCCUAGGGCGCUAACCACAAUAAAGCCCAACCCUUUUUGGUCCAAAGGAAAGUCUACUUGGUAGUUUAAGGGUCUUGCCAAGUUUAUUUUCAAUAAUGAAAAGAAUAAUUAUGAGUCUAGUGUUUUUAAGAGUCUUUGGUGUCUUUAUUUCUAUUUAGGGUAUUUUACACCAACGGUGUCUGAACACUUCAGGGUCUGUUAAAAUGGUACCUAUGGUUCCUGGACUCUUAGGUAUUAAUAUGGUUCCUGGACUCUUAUUUUCAUUUCAAAAUCAUACCUAUGUCAAACUUCCGUCACAGUCCUGUUAAAUCGAGCAUGUGCGACUCACGUGAGUCACUAAGCGAUUCCAAAAUGACACAUUUUCCUUGAAUUUGAUCUUUAAUUAUUUUUAAUAGAGAAAGAUACCUAAUUACCUUUUAUUAUUAGGGAAAAUGCCCAUUUGCACAAAAACAGCAAAACUAGAACCCAAUUCAAUGAAAAUCUAACUCAUAAGCCCAUUCCAAUGAAAAUCUAACUCAUAAGCCCAUUCCAAUGAAACUUGAGUAAAAGACAAAAUUACCCUCACUUCUAUUCAACUAACCCUCUCUCCUUUCCUAGUUUCCCGAUCUGAAUUCUUCUUCUUCUUCUUUUCUACCUCUUUCUCUCUCUUGUUGCAUAGAUGCCUUCUCAAGUCCUCAACGACGAUGCUGCUGCCUCGGAAGACAAGAAUUGCCGGAAUACUCUACAGAUCCCCGGCGUCUCAUUCCUUCCUGGAGACCGAGGCCUCUUCACUAGUUGGCGGUCGCCGCUCGCAGCUCGUCGCUCGUCGGUGGCCGCUAUCUCUCAGCGCUCAUCGGUCCCCGCUCGUCUCUCGACGCUUAGUGCUUGUCGGUCGCCUCUCGACGCUCGGCACUCGGUGCUCGUCAGUCUCCGUUCGGCGCUCGUCGCUUGUCUAAGCCCAGUCGAUGUCUCGCCUGAAGCUAGCCGAUGAAGAUCAAGACGUGUAGCGCUUAUAUACUCCAGCGGUCUCAAAUUAAUCACCUCUCAUCUCUCUUUCUUCGAUCGCCAACCUCAGAUCGAUCACGGCCAGCAAAUCACCAGGGAAGCUUGGAUUGGUGUUAACUUGUAUUCUCAUUUUGACUUCACUGUUAUUUAUCAAUACUUUCAUUGAAAUUAAAGUCAAUAUUUACCUUCUUAUUCUUCUUCUAGCUUCUUCUUUUCUCUGUGUUUUGACUGAUAAUUGAGGGGUAGUAAUUGAUUACUGAGGAUUAGUAACUUGAUUAUUGAAUGCCAAUAAUGAUUACCGGAUGUUUGUAAUUGAUUACUGGGGUCAGUAACCAAGUUACUGCAGUAACUGAUUAUUAGGUGUCAGUAACCAAGUGAUUAGGGUUAGUACCCGAUUAUUGGGGGUCAGUAACCGAGUCACCGGUGAUCGGAAUCCCGCGACGAGAGGAAUCUGGCGACGAGAGAAAUCCGGCGGCCGGCGAUCGGAGUCCAGUGAGAUUCCGGCUAAGUAUUCUCUUUUCCAUUUUCUCUAUCUAUACAUGUUUAAAGAAUGGGGGCAAAAUAGUCUUAAAAUAAUAUGGUUUGUUAAGACUUUAGAAAAGAUUUGUGUAUUUGGGCAUAAAAAAAGUUACCUUAUAUUAGAAUGGGCUAAUGAAAAAGAUUGUCAUGGGGAAUGAGAGGUUUAAAUUAGUACUAAAUGGGCAUUUUCCCUUAUUAUUAAUUUUUUCUUAUGCCUUACAUGAGUCCAUCUCUCGUCUUCUCCCUCUACAGUCUAGACCUUAACUCCUUUCUUCCCCCAUUAAAGCAGCUCAAUCCAUUAAUUAUCCUAUCAAUAACCUCACCUAGAAUUCAGCACACGUAACUUAUCUCCAUCAUUCCUAAACUUCCACUGAGUUUACUAUCCCCCUUACAAAGAUUCGAAGAAAAAAGAGAAAUAGAUGGCAAUUCCACGUUCAAGAAUGAAUUUAGAUUGGAAUUGAAAUCGAAACUGGGAUUGUGCAAAAUCCCGAGCAAUGAGAUCUGAGAAGCCACCAAUCAAAUUAUACAUAUCAACCCAAUUAAACCAAAAAUGACCAGAUCGAAGGAGGAGAAUAGAGAAAAUGAGUAGCUUCAAUUUGAUGGAGGAAUAUUUUAAUUCUUUCUAUCCCUUACAAAUUGGAAACAAAAAAGACAAAAAGAAAUCCAGAAUUGGAAGAAUAAGGAGGAGAAGAACAAGAUGUAAAAUGGAAUGCAGUUAGUAGAGUUUUAUUAUUUAUGGGAGAGAGCAAUUGGUUUGUUUUCUAUUUGGAAGAGAAAUGGAGUUAGAGAUCAAUCAGGUUAGGUUUGAUUCAAAAGCAGAAGUCGUUUUUGCCCUCAUGUUUCUGCCUCAUAUGCAUCCUAGGUGAAAAACUUAACGAAGCCAUGACAGAAAUUUGACAUAGGUACCACAAUGAAAUGAAAAUAAGGGUCCAUGUACCAUUUUAACAGUCCUUGAAGAGUUCAGACACCGUUGAAGGAAAAAACCCUUCUAUUUAGUUCUAUGUAAGAGUCUUAUUAUUAAUAAGUUAUAUUAGUCUUAUGGUAUUUUAGGAGUCCAAGGCUUUCUAAUGUAAUCCGAAGAUCAGAUUAGAAUGAAUUAUGAGUUUAUCUUAUUGAAGGCUUGGCCUUGUAUCCUCUCCCAUAACCUCCCUCAUUUUAUUUCUCCCUUAUACAGCUAAGAAACUCUUGUUUCUUCGAAAACCCUUCAGUUUUCUUAUUCUCUCAACAUUCUCAGGCCCACCCAAUUCACUCUCUCACCAUUGUCCCUCCAUGCAUCAUCUUUCUGUUUAAACCGCUUCAUGGUGGAUAAUUUUUGUAAUGAUUUCUGAAAUUAUCAACAGUCUUAAAGAUGAAAGUUGGUUUUUCCCUUGCAUAUAUUAUAUAAUUUAGAACCGAAAUAAACUGUACCUAAUCAGCUGUUGUCUAACUGGAUCUAGUCGCCCUUUAACCAACUUUGGUUCCCCUAACAUAUUUAAAUGCGCCUCUAAUAAUACUUCUUGAUCUGGUGCUGGUUCCAAGUUGACCCUUUGUGACGUCUGGAUAGCUAGAGGAAUAUCAACCCAAAACAGCCCAAUAUUUUGACAUUCGUAUACGGGUACCAACUCAGCAUCACCUGACACAAUAAAAUAUAUAAUUAUGUUGCAGUAAUAAUAUAAUAUCCCUAGAAUGCUAUCAUCACUAGAGUCAUAUAUCACAUAUCUUCAUAUAUUUAUAUACAGAACUAUCUCUAUGAUCCUAUACAUAUAAAUAUGGGUAAGCAUUCUGAUUUAAAUGCACUAUCGACUACAUCUAUAACGCAUAUCACCUUUAAGCAAUUAGACAAACUCUAAGCAAAAUCUUGAACUCAAAUGCAAUUAGACAAAAUCUAAGCAAACUGCAUUCACAACAAAACAAAAUCAAACCAAAUGAUACCGGUUUUCCAUUUAUGGUUAUGUAAUCUGAAGCCUGUACACAAAACUAAGGUCUGUACACAUAACUAAGGCCUGUACACAAAAUUAAAACCCUGUGGUCCAUAUGACCUGUUACCCGUCAGAUUCAAAGGUAAAAAAAUGAUAUCAAACUGCAUCACAUUCAGAACUGUGUCAGUUUGAGUGUUUGACUGCCUUUCACUGAUUCAAAUGGUAACAGAGCGAACCCAGGAAGUAAAGACAACAAACAUAUUUUCAAACUAGCGCAACCUUAAAUUUGGAUCAAAACCACAAACUAUGAUCCAUUAACCAUGUUUAACAGUAUGUGACACGAGAAACAUGAAUCAAGGUAAAAACAAUAAGAAAUCUGGAGCUUCUGCAACGAAGAACCAAAAUGAGUAUCGACAAUGAGAAAGAAAAUUAGGGGUGUACAAUGGGGCUGGUUGUAGUGUAUUGGGGGAAAAUGAAUUUAGCUAACUACUAGGACAAAUUAUACAGAAGCUAAAGUGAACCAAACUAGCCAACCACAUCAAAAGUGUGAAAAGGACACAAAAGAAAUGGACCAUCACAAGGAGCAAACUUAAAAUAUUAAGGUUACUAUUAACUUAAAGCCAGACGCAUUAUUAAUGUCAAUUUUGAACUAAUCAGUAUAUAGCAAAGAAUCAUUAGGCCAUUCCCAUCUACAAAUUGAUUAAACCACAAAUUGAUUAAACCAUCAAUCAAUCACAAUCACAUAUAUGAAGAACAAAGGCAUCCAAGAUCAUGCAAGGCAUCAAACAUUAUAAAAUUCCGAACAUCAAAACCAUUUAACUAGUAGCAGAGUAUGUUACUGUGUAUAAAAUCAUCCAUCAAACCACAAAGCAUAAUCCACAUCCUGUUCAAAAGACCGACCUAAAUAUCACCGACUUAAAAUUCCAAAGAUAAUACAUCAAACCCCACUCAAAUUCAUAACCAUUCUUGUUUUCUUGAAACAAAAGAUGCUGACCCACAAAGCAACCCACACACACCAAGGUGCGUUGGGAAAACCCAUACUUGAAAAAGGGAACCAACAUUCAUAGAACCCCGGACUCUAAAACGACACAGCAGAUAGUAAAAAUAGACCGAAAUUUUAGAAAUGAACAUAUUACCCACAGAGACAGAUUUAACUCUUUUAGGACACUCCCUUGCAAAAUGACCAGAUUCACCACACUGAUAGCAGCCGCCAGAAGCACCGCCGCCUCCACCGCCACCAGAGUACCUCCCACCGCCUCCACCGCCUCCGUAGCCACCUCCGGAUCCCCUUCCCUGGACGGGACCAUCCUCCGGACCGAUGACAUCAACGGCCUUGGAGCGGCCGUGGUUGUCGGUCCUGAUCUGGAACUCGACCGACUCACCGUAGCCGAGAGUGCGGAAGCCUGCGGUUCGGAUCGAGGACUGGUGGAAGGAGAGAUCUUCGCCGCCGUUCUCCGGGGUGAUGAAGUCGAACCCCUUCUGGUCAUUGAACCACUUCACCUUUCCGGUCAACCGGUCACUCAUCCUCACAGCCCUUUUGAAAAAUCUGAAACCCUGAAACGAAAAAGAACAAACCCACACCCCACACCCCACACCGAUUCCAAUCUCUCUUCUCUCUCUAAAGCACAGUAUGCUUAUUUCGCUUUAGAAAUAACUUGGUGACCAACUAGAUAUUUAUGGGUGACAAAUAAAAGAUAGAAGUGUCGAUAAUAAUUAGGGAAAAUAUCAUAAUACCUAAAUAUUUGAAAACUAAAUCUCAUUCUAAUUGAUUUUUUUCCCUUAACUCAUUCUAAUGAUUCUUAUUAAAAAAACAAAUAUACCCUUAUUUCAUAUAACCAACCAUCUCUCUCUCACACCCGAUCUCUCUCUCUCNNNNNNNNNNNNNNNNNNNNCUCUCUCUCUCUCUCUCUCUCUCUCUCUCUCUCUCUCUCUCUCUCUCUCUCUCUCUCUCGCGAUCUAAGACGCGCCGACGAGGGGGACGACGACCGCCGAUGAGAAGGACGACGACCGCCGACGAGGAGGACGACCGCAUCGAGCAUCCAGAGAUCUCUUCCGAAUGGGGGGCCACUAACAACGGCGAUCACCUUCACCGCCUCCUGCUUCUCCUCAGCUCCCUUGUCCCCGAUCUCUGCGAUCCUCUAGUACUUCGUCAUUAGAGCUCGCCGAUCUCCGCCUCAAGAUCCUUGUCCUCUGGAUCGGAUCUGACUUCGUCCUCUCUCCCUCUCAUCCGGUCAUCCGAUAUGACUUCGUCGUCAGAGCUUGCUGAUCACCUUCACCGCCUCAAGAUCCUUCGUCGGAGAUCGUCGGGUCGGAUAUGGGAGGGAAGUGAUGGUGGUGGCUCCGGUAGGGUUUCAUAGAUGAAUUUUUCUUUUUUUUCUCUGAAAAAAAAAGGUUAUUAGGUGGUAAAAUUUUGAUUACUGGAGGGUAAUAAAUUUCUUAUGGCUUUGGAAGCUAUUCGUUGGUGUGAGGGUGAGGACAUCUUUCUUAUCUUUCUUCUGCCGUCUUUGUUUUUUUGUGUUUUAACUAAUUUCUAAGGGUCAGUAACUAAUUUUUGGGGUCAGUAAUUGAUUACUGGGGGUUAAUAACUUGAUUAUUAGGGGCCAAUAACUAAUUACUACGGGUCAGUAAUUGAUUACUAGAGGUCAGUAACUCGUUACUGGGGGUCAGUAAUUCGAUUAUUAGGGGUCAGUAACUGAUUACUAGGAGUCAGUAACUGAUUACUGAGGGUCAGUAACUGAUUACUACAGGUCAGUAACUCAUUACUGGGGGUCAGUAAUUCGAUUAUUAGGGGUCAGUAAUUGAUUACUGGGGGUCAGUAACUAAGUGAUCGGAGAAAAUCCGGCGACUGAAGUAUGACGACCGAGUUACUAGUGAUUCCGGUGACAGCCGGAGAAAAUCCGGUGACCGGAGUCCGGCGGCUGAUGACCGGAGUCCGGUGGCUGGUGACCGGAGUCCGACGGUCGGUGACCGGAGACCAAUGAGAAACCGGCAAAGUCUUCUCACUCUCACUUUCUCUCUCCUUAUGCAUGUGAGGGUAAAAUUGUCUUAGAAAUAUACAAAAAUUAUUUUUUAUUAUGACUUUAAUAAAUAUUUGUGUAUAUGGGCACAAAUAAGAACACAUUGUAUUGAAAUGGGCUCAUGUCUAUUAAAUUCAUUAAAAUAGGCAAUAAGGGGUUUAAAUUAGUGCUAAAUAGGUAUUUUCCCUAAUAAUGAUAAAUAAACAUAUUAAAUACCCAUAACUCUCAUGUUAUGUCCUUAAAUUAUAACCAAGCCUUUUAAAAUGGACACGUGUCUCAUGUUUAUUAGUUGUGGUCACUUUAAGAUGACAAGGGCUUAUGGAUGGUAAAUAUGGGUAGGAUAGGGUAGGGUCAGGGGAUCAAAAUACCAUACCCGUACCAUUUUUCAUUCGUCAUUCCCGGACCAGCCUCAUUCCCCAUAAUUAGAUAAUGGGGAUUCCAUGUCCCCGUCCCCGUCCCUGUCCCAUUUAGGGAUUACGUUCUCAUACCCGUCCCGAUCCUCGUUAACAAUUAUGUAAUAAUUAAUUUUUUUAAAAUAAUUACGAAAUAUAGAAAUAUGAAAAUAAAAUCAAAUACAUAUAUAAAUAAGUUUCAUGAUUCAAUCCAACAAAAACGAAUAUAAGUCUCGAUUAAAAAGAACUUUCUAUGAAUAUUAAUUAAGAGAAUCAUAGUAAAAAAAUAUUACAAAAGAUUUUACAUAAAUAUCUAUUUAUAAAUAAUAUAUAUUAAAAUAUAUAUAUAUAUAUAAUAAAUUGUAUGUAAUAAUAUUUCCAUCCUAAAUAGGUGGGGAUAUGGACAAAUAACCAAAUAUCAUACCCGCCCUAUACCCGAUUCAAAAAUCCGAAUACUGAGAAUAUUCAUACCCGUUACCCGUUUAUCCUCGUAUAUCUACCUCGUUCGGGACGAAUACCAGUGGGUACCCUACCCAGUGAGGAUUAUUACCAUCCCUAUAAGGGCUUGUCACCGAAGUCGGGUUCUUUGGCCUUGAGGGUUUGAAAAUCUCUUAAAAGGGUAUGGCUACCAAGUUAGCCCCAACUGAGGGUCCCCUAGGAAAAAAAAACGUUCUGUUUCUAUGAGAAGAUGAUAUUAUUACAAGCAAACUGUUGUUCCUAAUCAAAAUGGUAGUAGAAAGUAGUAACUAGAACGAGGCUAGAAGAUCAAACUAACCAUAAUAAAUAUAGGGAACUGAAAUUUAUACUUCUAAUUUACAAUCCACACUCUCACUUUCCUCUUUUAGUAAUUUAAAUCUUGUUACUCAAAAAAGAAAGGUGGAAGUGUAGAUUGUAAAACAAGGAGAGUAAAUUUCACCUCCCUAAAUAUAAGACGAUGCAGGCUAGGAGAAAUAGAAUAGCUUCUCGUUUUGUGUCUGUAGCGCGUUUGAACCGUGGUUUUUCUUAGGCUUAGUCUAAAGCUUUAACUUAGUUUACUUCCAUAGUCUAAAUCUGGAAGACUGGAACAUAUUUACUAAAUCUUUCUCUGGGGAUUGGAGGAAUAUACUGAUCUUUGAACGUUAAGCUUAACUUUCAAGUCAAGUAGCUAUCGCCAUAGCUACAUAACUAUGAAAGUUAUCUUCCGAUGCUUGGCAAGUGCCUUACACUGCAGGGAGUAUUGAACAGGUUGUCUCGUUCUUCAUAUGCGAAGUUUACUGUUCUUGUUAUUGACACUCGCCAAAAGUAUUACACUCCAAAAUAGUCCACCUCAUAUGUAUAUUAGGCUGUCUAACUAAUGAACAGCCACAAAAUGCCAUGGAACCAUGAAUUUAGAAUUCAGUUGGUUGCUAGAUUUAUGUGGUUCCUCUCUGCCCUUCUCUAUACUACCAAGGCUACUAGGCUUGACACAGUACGCUAUAACGUCCCCAACCUGGUAAAGAAAGUUUUCAUUUGAGUAGUGGAAGAUUGACUUCCAUUGAGGGUGUUGAGGAAUAAAAGUUGGUAAAGGGUUAAGAAGGAAUUCGCACGGAGAGGUCCAUGUGAAUUAAGAUUUAUUCGCUGAAGAUUAUCCGCUAAACCUGUGAAACGAAUAAAAUGGUUAAGGGAUUGCUUCGGACAAUCGCCCUCCGACGCUUAAGUUAGACAUUUUAGCGGAUAGUUUGUAACUCAAAAAGGGGGAAUCAGUUGGUUACAUUUGUUUGUGAGGCUAGGUGCUUAUUUAUAGAGGUUGAGCGAGGCAGAUUAUCUUCAUGGCUGCUGACAGCCUGGCACGGAAGGAAUCUUCCAGAGGCACGCAUCGGAUCAAGCCGCACACGCAUGUCCAUGUGUCUAAUCGAAAUGCGCUCUGGGUCAGGUUGUUGUUGUGAGAACGCACGUGCAAGGCUAAUGAGAGCGCUUGACAUUGGUUCCCUCAACAAGUCCCCCAAAUCCCCAAGUAAGGAUAUUGAAAUCCCUAAUGAGUUUAAGCAAAGAUGUUUAUAGAAAGCGCUCGUACAUUUAGCGUUCAAAUGCAUUCGAACGAGUUUUGUGUAUAAACCCUUCCGGAGUCCCCCAACUCUCUAAGCGAGGAAUUGUCCUGCCUUGGUAACACGCAUCAUGCGAAUCAAAGAGUUAAAAAGACUUUGUAUUGUGCGGACAUCUGUGUGUCCGUGCGUAUUUUUCAUGGGUGAUGGGGAGCGACCCUAUCUGACCGUUCGCGAUGGGUAUAAUCUUUUACCCGCAGGUGUCAUGUUUAUCUCAUUUUAUGUGCUUUGUUAUAUUCUGUGCUAGCAAACGUUAUUAUGAGCGGACAAGCUGGGAAGUGAUUUUUGACCCGUAGGUGUCACUUUUAUUCCCAGGUGUUAUGUCGCUACGUUGUUCAUAGCCUUGGCUGUAUGCAGCUUGACGAUUUUGUAUUUUGUCCGCACGUGGGGCACGUGUGGCCUUUUGGUUUGUUCACGAAACGGCAUAAAGUCAUGCUAGCGCACGUUUUCGAUUGUGGGUUUGAAGUUUUAAUUUCAGGCUUUCGAACCGUUUUGCAUCGUGAUCUGUAACUUGAUGUAAUUAAGAUCUAACGGUUGUGAUCGUGUCUGAUGGACGGCCCUGAUCUGCUUGCGCUAGUAUAUAAGUCACACUUCGUCCUUCAGUAGAAUUUCUUUUGCAUUCUAACUAUGUGAAGGAGUUUUACGAACAUAGGCAGAAGAGAACUCGCUUAGGCAUAAGAAAAUUCGCUCUUAUGUUUGUGUAUUCCUUGAGAAGGAUCUUUGCAUAUCUAACCUGUAAGUGUUAUUCCUCCUUCGUAUUUUGAUUUUAAAGUGACUUCUCUAGAAAAUUGUUUUUGGAUUGUUCUGGGUUGUUCUGACCGAUUAGGAAUUUAGGCAUAAAUAUUGUUGUAUGCGACGAUUGUUGCAUUCGUUGUGCUGGGUUGUCCUAGAAUAGUCGAAAGAUAUGUUCUUUAGGCCUUGAUUUCGAUGUUUUAUGUUUCCAGAUUUGGAAUCUAGGUUUGUGUUCAUCGUGUUCUUGAUGUGUUCUUGAUGAACUUUUGAACUUCUUCUUGGAGGGCAUUGUUAGAUCCAAAACUGAUAGACAUUUGUUUUGUCUAGGUGUUUAAAGAAUGGCAGCGAAGCCAAUUAAUUUGUCGAGCGAUAGCGAGUGGUCAUGAGAGUGAUUAUGGGAGUUCCAAUGUUAGGAAUAGAUCCCGAUCAUCUUUUAUAGAUGUUGAAUAUUGUACUAGACAGUUUAAUGUAACUCCUCGUGAAUGUUGGGAAAAAUAUUGUCGAACGAAUGCUUCGUCGAGCGAUCCUCGUGUUCCGCUCGAUUUUCAAUCUUUGGCUCAAUGGAUUCCGUCAGAUGAUGACGAAGAAGCUAUUUGCCCGGAUGCUGGUUUGUAUAGGGCUGACUAGGAAGCUUUGGUCCCACCACCUAUGACAACAUUGGAUUACUUUUUGACCCAACCUAAAAAUAAACAGCUUGUGUUUUCAUCUAGUAGGAAAAUGACGAGAGGCAAGAGAACAUCUGAGGAUCAGGUUUCCCAGUCGCAUGAUACCAAUCCCAGCGGACAUAAACUUCCUUACCACAAUCGCUCGGAACAGGAUUAUAUGGGGACCAUCAUAUACCAGGGUAAGGAGAAUAAUGUCUCUUACCCACUCAGCUCGUUCACUCGGGACGAGUUGACUUGGAUUAAAGGGAACUAUCAUAUUCCUGAUGUUAUUCCCUGCAAUAUUCUUUUGGAAGAAGAUGGCCCCCCCCCUAUGGACCGACCUUUCCACUGCACCCUGUCAUGCAUUUCUUAAUUUACGGAUUAGGAGUUCGGCUGGGGCAGAUGGCUCCAAUGAUGCUGAAGUGCAUCUUGGUGACAUGCCUCAUCUGGGAGAUCUGUGGGCUUGGCAUCCAUCUAUUGCCUGCUACCUUUUGCUGUGGCGUCCCACGAUUGUCGAUCAUGCAGACACUAAAGGGAUGAUAGCAGACACAUUGAUCUAAAAGUUAGUUAUGGAUUACACAUUUACCUAAUUUUUUACUUUUCAGAUUCGGAAAAAAAACCAAUAUAUAUUAUAAAGAUACUAAAAUAAAUAAGUUAAAUGGUUAGUAGGGUUGGUUAAGGUGGUAGCCUUGUACCAACCUAAGCAAGGUUCGAAUCCCCGCGAUAACAAAAUUGUUCAAUUUUGUGCUUUGACUUUAGAGUCAAACAUUUCGGCUUGGUCUUUGGAGACCACGUGCAGAGGCAGAGUCAAACAUUUCGGCUUUGACUUUGGAGACCACGUGCGGAGGCAAGGGGCGGGAAAUAAUUUUAGGUAGGAUUUGAAACUAUCUCCUGGGUUUCGAAAAUAUCACGAUAUAUCAGCGAAAUAUCGAGAUUUUUGGGUGAAAAAUUCUGGGAAGAGAAAGAUAUAUCGGUAGGUGAAAAAAACAAAAAUUUCGGCGAAAUAUCGCCAAAACUUUCGAUUUUUUCUUCCUUGGUUCAAACUUCUUUAAGGCUGAUUCAUUCUCUUCUAAGCUUGUUUGAACAAAAAAUCUUAUCCACCAGGACGAGCUUCGCAAUUUGGCCUAUGAAAAUCAUUGUCAAGGUCAAGUUUAGAUCUUCACAUUCUAUAUAUUAAAACAAUAAGGGGAAAAACAUUGUUCACUACUGUUUAUAACUUUGGUGAAUUGUGUUUUUGCCCCAAGUUGUUGAAUGGUAGUUUUUGCCCUUUAAUGCGAUUUAUUUACGAAUCUACCAUUAUACUGACCAAAAAAACUGUGUUACCCCGUUGUACACUCCUCUUAUUGUUUUAGUAUAUAAGAACCCAAAAAGAACCUUAAACCCCUAAAAUCAAGAAACUCAAACAAUGAGAAGAGGAAAAAGGAAUCAAUAACCAACCCGACAACCUUCGUCGAUGGGUGAGAGCAGAAAGGCACAUAUAGCUAGCGGCGAAACUUAUUGUCGGCACCGGCGACGUUGAUAAAGGGCGACGUGUCGAACUUCGACCGAGAUUGUAGAGGAGAGAAAGCACUUUGGUAAUUCAAAAACAUUAUUCACGACCCCUUAUUUCCAUUAAAUAAAAAGCAGAAUAUUACUAGGACCUCCCCCUCUAUGAAGUAUUUCAUACCAUACAGUUUCGUAAGAGAUACCACCCGCGCGUUGCUACAGGCUAUGAUUUCUUGAUGAUGAACAAUAUUCAAUCCCCAUCUCACGUCUCCCAUGCCACCACCUUUUCUAAAUCUACCGCUGAUUCCCCCGCUUUCCCCUAUUUUUCCACAAGCACAUCCAUCUUCCCUAAAUCCACCACCAUCAUGGCCUCCAUACCUACAAAAUCCACCGCUCACCACCAAUUCUACCACCUCAUAUUCCGCCACCUGCACAAAAUUCACCAUCAAACCCAUAGCCUCUACCAUCCUUUUUUAAUUCCACCACCAUACCAUGGCCUUCCCCUUGCCAAAACUCAUCAUGGACACCUGACCCCAUGCCCAUAACGAAAUAAAAAAUGAAAAAUGACAUGAAAGAAGUAACAAAAUUUUCAAGGACACAAACGUCUUUCUGAUCAGAACAAUCACAUUUGUAAAUAAAUUUGCAUUAAGGGGUAGCAUAGUCUUUUUGGUUAGUAUAAUAGCAGAUUCGUAAAUAAAUUACAUUAAAGGGCAAAAACGAUCAUUCACCAACUGAGGGCAACAACACUCGUGUUUCUAUGAGUGGGUGAUUGGUUUUUAAUCUGACUUCAUCAUCCCUUGUCUACUGUAAAAUAUCUAUCCUCUUUCCUUUUUCGUUCAUCCCUUAUCUAUUAGUUCGAUUUUGUGUCGCUUGAAUUUCCAUUCUGGGUUUUUGUUUGAAUUCAUAUUUCGAUUAUAAUCGUAGGUUUUAUUAUGUUUAUUACAACUCUAUGGGUUAAUGAUCGAGCAUCAGUUACUGUGAUCAUGUAAUAUCUGCCAUUGUACAAACCUACGACAACAAAAACUAUGAAAGUAACAAAAUUUUCAAGGACACAAACGUCUUUUUAAUCAGAAUAAUGACACAUUUAUAAAUAAAUUUGCAUUAAGAGGUAGCACAGUCUUUUUGGUCAGUAUAACAGCAGAUUCAUAAAGAAAUUGCAUUAAAAGGCAAAAACGACCAUUCAUCAACUGAGAGCUAAAACACAAUUCACCUGAACUUGAGGCAAAAACACAAUUCACCAAAGUUAUGAACAGUAGUGAACAAUGUUUAUCCCCUUCUUGUUUCAGUAUAUAGAAUGUGCCAUUGUUCUGAUCAAAAAAACGUUUGUGUCCUUGAAAAUUUUGUUACUUCUUUCAUGUCAUUUUUCAUUUUUUUACUUGGUUGUGGGCAUGGUGUCAGAGGUGUCCUUGGUGGGUUUUGACAAGGGGAAAGCCAUGAUAUGAUGGUAGAAUUAAAAAAGGAUGGUAGAGGCUAUGGGGUUGAUGGUGAAUUUUAUGCAUGUGGUGGAAUAGGAGGUGGUAGAAUUGGAGGUGAGCAAUGGAUUUUGCAGGCAUAGAGGCCAUGAUGUUGGUGAUGAAUUUGGGGAAGAUGGAUGUGUUUGUGGUAAAAUACGAGAAGGCGGGGGAAUUGGAGGUAGAUUUAGAAAAGGUGGUGGCAUGGGAGGCAUGAGAUGGGGAUUGAAUAUUGUUCAUCAUUAAAAAAUCCUAGCCUGCAACAACACGCGGGUGGUAUCCCGUGUAUAAUAGAAAGGUAAGAGUUCCCACAAACUGAUAUAGAACAGCUUGCGCAAACAUCUUGCGCAAACAUUUAAGACACAGCUUGCUAGGAAGACAAAGAAAACAAACUCAAAGCAACAGCUUUGAAUCUGCAACGCCAUAGCUUUGUUCCUGCAUAUUUUCUUUCAGCAUUACGAUUAUUUUACUUUCUAUGUUUUCGUUAGGACUUAAGUUUUAUUCAGAAUAAAGGAUUCCUAGACUUAGUCAGGAAUUAGUUCCUAGUUCUAGUAUGAAUAGGUUUAUUUCUAUGCCUAUAGAAGGCCGUUGCUAGAUUGUAUUUUCAUUCAAGUUAUCAAUAAGAAAACCCAAAAAAAUUAGAGUAGAAACUCUUGUGUUUUAGGCUUGUGCCUGUGUUUCGCUAGUGGAUUCUAGCUUAUCCCUUCAAGGUUUCAACGCUUGACGAAACCUUAUUUCUAUUGUGAUUUACGCUUCCGUAUCAUUUGGUAUCCAGAGCGAGGAUUCACCCACUCAAUGGGAGACGAUUCAAGGGAUGAAAUCACCAUCACCAACUUCGCCGACGUUGGUCGUGCGACUAAAGACAUUCAAAAGGAUUUACGGGAUCAUUCAAAACUUGUACCUAACCAGUUCGAAAUCUUCUGACAGUAGACACAAGAUUUUGUGAGAGAAUCUGUGCAAGAUGCAACGAAGGAACUUUGACAGUUAAUUAUGCAGACGAACAUAAAUCAAACAGGAGAUGCUCAUCACACCAACGGAUUUGCCGGAGGUUGUGGAUAUCGCCGAGAACAACGCUACAUGGGAAUUGAUGAUCAAUGUGUUAUGGGAUUCGCCCGUAGAGGUGGCCAUCAACAAGGAGAUCGACGUAUCGGAAGAUUUGAACGUGACCAAGACUUUGAAAAAACCGCACAACGAGAACUCAUUGAAUUUGCCAACUUUAAUGAAAGGGAACCUACUUAUCUACGACGUCAAGGAGGCGAAGACUUUAAGAAUAAGGUUGAUAUCCCUAACUUUACUGGAAAUUUAAAAAUUGACGAGCUCUUAGAUUGGCUUAUGGAAGUUGAGAGGUUCUUUGAGCUUAUGGGAAUCACUGCAAACAAGCGUGUGAAGUAUGCAGCCUAUAAACUAAAUGGUAUUGCAAGGCUUUGGUGGCAGCAAGUACAAGAAGAGCGAUUCGAGUUAGGCUUGGCUCCAAUUGUAACCUGAGACGUUAUGAAGAUGCUCUUGGAAGAAAGAUUUAUGCCUAGUGAUUAUGAAUAUACAUUAUUUGAGCAGUACCAAGAGAUUUCUUAAGAGAACAGAUCAGUACAGGACUUCACAACUGAUUUCUAUCGGCUUGCAGAACGAAACAAAUUGAAAGAGACUAAAGCUCAACAAGUUGCAAGAUAUAUACGGGGAUUAAAUCCUCAAAUUCAGGACAAAAUUGGGUUACUUACGUUCAAGGAUGUUGGAGAAGCUCACAAGAUGGCCUUGAAAGCUGAAAAGCUUGCAAAAAGCACCAUUGCAACAACAAGCAAUCGACGGAGCUGAAAUGACACAACAACUUUCACCAUAACCAAAAAAAGCAUUACAACCAAGCCUCUUAGUAUUUCCAGCAAACCCAUAGAGGGUGGCAGCAAGGUUAGCAGUUAGACCAAAAUGUAUUCUCAAAGCAACACACGUAACUCAGACUCGUACACUAGGCCUCGUUUGGAUGUAUGUUUUAAAUGCAACAAACCAGGGCACAUCUCCAGUAAAUGUCCCCGACAGCAAACUGAAAAGACUGAAAAGACUGAAAAGUACCUUCAUAAAAGGAGAUGAUGAACAACACGAAGAAUAAGAAGAAGACGAGGUGGAGGAAGAAGCAGAAGAACAUUCUAGAGAUGACAGAGAGUACAAUUUAGUUACUCAACGGCUGUUGUGUUCAACAAAACAAGAAAACCAGCGACAUAGUAUCUUUCGGAGUACCUGCACUAUGAAAGAAAAGCUUAUGUCAUUGAUAAUAGACAGUGGAAGUUGUGAGAACUUCGUCUCCAAGAAAGUGGUGGAACACUUCAAUGUUCUUACUAUGAAACAUAGGGCUCCAUAUGCCAUUGGAUGGAUCAAGAAAGGCCCAGAAGUUCACAUCACUGAAACAUGUAAUGUGCCAAUUUCAAUUGGGAAAUUCUAUCAAGAUGAAGUUGAAUGUGAUGUGGUAGACAUGGACACCAGCCACAUACUUUUAGGCAGACCGUGGCAGCAUGAUUUUAACACUAUCCACAAUGGAAGAGAAAACACAUUAUCGUUCAUAUGGGAAAAACACCAUAUUACUUUGAAGCCUAAGACCAAGCCUACGAAUCUGGUUUCGAAAGAGUAACUUUCUUAUUGUUGCUGAAUCUGGUGAAAAGGUGGAAGAACUUGUGAAGGAUGCAGAAGUUAUUUAUCCUUUGGUGGUUAGGGAAGUAAUGGUGGUUGAGAACAACAAAGAGAGAAGAAAAUUCCAAAAGAAGUCCAGCAAUUACUACAGGAUUUUGAAGAAUUAGUCGUUGAUGAUCUCCCAAAUGAACUACCUCCUAUGCAAGAUAUCCAACACCAAAUCAAUCUUGUCCCUGGACCUAGUUUACCUAACCUCCCUCGUUAUCGGAUGAGCCCUAAGGAGAACGAGAUACUUAAAUAGAAAAUUGAAGAGUUACUGCGAAAGGGACACAUUCGAGAAAGCAUGAGCCCUUGUGCAGUGCCUGUUUUGUUAGUACCAAAGAAGGAUGGGAGCUGGAGGAUGUGUGUGGACAGCCGUGCAAUCAACAAGAUCACAAUAAAAUAUCGGUUUCCAAUUCCUCGACUUGAAGAUAUGUUGGAUGUCCUCGGUGGCUCAGUAGUGUUUUCUAAAAUUGAUCUAAGAAGUGGAUAUCAUCAAAUUCGAAUCAAACCAGGCGAUGAAUGGAAGACGGCAUUUAAAAGCAAAGAUGGGCUCUAUGAAUGGUUAGUCAUGCCGUUUGGAUUAUCUAAUGCACCUAGUACUUUCAUGAGUGAUGAAUCAAGUCCUAAAGCCUUAUAUUGGGACGUUUGUGGUGGUAUACUUUGACAACAUACUAAUCUACAGCAAGAGCAAGGGAGAACACUUGCAACAUCUGCAUCAAGUUCUUGAAGUUCUACAAGAGAAUAAGUUGUACAGGAACUUGAAGAAGUGCAGUUUCAUGACCAAGAAGCUUCUGUUUUUAGGUUAUGCGGUCAGCUCAGAAGGUAUACAUGUCGACCAAGACAAGGUAAAAGCAAUUCAGUAGAACAGCUUGCAUAAACAUUUGAGACACAGCUUGCUAGGAAGGCAAAGAAAACAAACUCAAAACAGCAGCUUUGAAUCUGCAACGCAGUAGCUUUGUUCCUGCAUAUUUUCUUUCAGCAUUACGAUUAUUUUACUUUCUAUGUUUUCGUUAGGAUUUAAGUUUUAUUCAGAAUAAAGGAUUCCUAGACUUAGUCAGGAAUUAGUUCCUAGUUCUAGUAUGAAUAGGUUUAUUUCUAUGCCUAUAUAAGGCCCUUGCUAGAUCGUAUUUUCAUUCAAGUUAUCAAUAAGAAAACCCAAAAAAAUUAGAGUAGAAACUCUUGUGUUUUAGGCUUGUGCCUGUGUUUCGCUAGUGGAUUCUAGCUUAUCCCCUUAAGGUUUCAACGCUUGACGAAACCAUAUUUCUAUUGUGAUUUACGCUUCCGUAUCACAAACAUACAACAAAAGCAGGCCAAUGAAAACUAAUGAUUGACAUUUAAGGUUUCCAUAGCAAUGAAAUUCGUUAUAUGAUCAAAAAUUGUUACUUACUGGACGGCCAAAUUUGGAGAGCUCUGCAACUAUAGCUCUUUGUUGGCCUGGAUAACCUACAAAUGAAAAUGGAAAGAGAUCAUUACUCUCUGCUUUAUUAAUACAGGCAUCAGGGUUUAUUUUCCCCUCACAGUCAACUUCAAAUCAACUAGCUAUCAAUAGAUGGUUUUCUCAAAUCAUAUUUCAGCCAUUCAUCAGAGACCAUUCAAUUAUUGAGCUCAUGGUAAAGCAGAUUUAGGAAGAGAGAAAUUUGAACAAUUUUCACAGGUACGAAUUAAUUGUUCUCCGUUUCUGUUUGUCAAAUGCACUCAGCUAGUGGAGACAGAUGAUUGUUGUUCAAGUAAUUAAGUAAAGAUGUCACAUUUGGGCACGUCAAAAUGAAAAUGAAAAAUGCAAGUGUAAUAAGAAAAUUUUACCAGAGAAUAUAAUUACGCCAUCAGCAGAUACCCUUGCUAACUCUGGAAGAGUUCUGUUGAGGUACUUAGGAGACAAGUAAUCUAAUCCAUCUGAUACUAUUACCAGAGAAAAUGAUUUUGCCCAGUAUGGAAGAGGAAACUUUAUAUCAGCAGCACACACAAUGCCUUUGUUCACAAGACUCUUGCAAUUUGUAUCAACAUCUUCCAAGUCAUAUGGUUCCACACCCCAGGCUUCAGUCUCCUCCUCUUUUAAUAAUUUAGAUACCACUGAAAACGUUUCAGCGCCUACAUGCAUGCUAUCACCAUAUGCCUUCUUUAGUAUAGGUAUUGCUCUCUGAACUUCAAAUGUACAUGAAACACCACCUGCAUUUACAUUUCAAACUGUAAAUAGAUUCUCUGACUGAGAAAAACCUGCAUGCUAAUGGUCAUCACAAAAAACGCAGAGAACUAAUCAUCUCUCACGGCAAAGGACUGAGUGAGUGUUAUGUGUUACCUGAUAAAUUCUACAACAUCCUUGUACCUCUAGGACCAUGCAGUAUACAAAUUAACAAAAUUUAAACCAUCCUAUCUUCCACUACAAAUUCUGACAUACUUCUUCAUUAUAAACAAAGAAAAAUAUAUGAAGUGGGAAAUAUCUUCUGAAAGUUAACAUACACAAUAAAGGAAUUCUGACAUUCAUGUUAAAUCUACACUGCAUGCAUGGUAAUUUCUAAGGAAGGGCUAUGAUUGCAAAUACGUCAGUAGAGAGUUUACUUAAAGUAUGAUCCCAUCUACAGUCCUUUAAGUGUAAUGUACUUGAAAAUGGCACGUAGUAAUAAAAAUGAUUUAGAUGCCAAUGAAUCAUGACUAUUACCAUCAAGUUUAAUCACAGCGCCUUUACUGCUCACUCCACCUAUCAUACAGAAAAGUAAUAAUUGUGAACAAUUGAGCUGUCAGUGUAAGUCAAUAGAAGCAAAAGAAAAUAUACAUUACUUUAACCCUUCUCAAUGCACUAGUGAUAGAGUUGUCAAAUGAAUUACAAACCUGACCCACUAAAAGCAUAGCAGACAAGAAGGACUGUACACUGAAAUUAUUGAAAUAAUGAUCAGGAUUUAAAAAGAUAGAAUGACAUUUUAGUCAUGUAUUGUGCUCAACUAUGUUACGACUAUUUUCUUUUUCGGUUAUUCUAGGAUUAUCUACUGUCUAUAUAAGGAUCAGGAAUAAACAUACAGCUAUAUGACUAUUUAAUUUGAGGGGUCGGGAUAAAUAGCAAUAGAUGGUAAGAGAAAGUACCAGAAGCACAAGCGCUACAGAAAGUACAGGUGAUGAGCGUGCUUUGGCCUGCACCGCACCCACAAAAGGGAUGCUUCCACCAUCUCACUGAUGCGCCUAGCAGGAUUUACUGGCCUCCUGGACAUGCUUAUAUAAUAGCAGCGGACCUGCAAGAACCAAAAUCAGUUGAAACAGAACUUAACAGUUAACAGUAUUUCCAAGUGCCUAGUGUGAAACACUUCUCCUCACAAUUCACCACUUAUUGAACUCAAAAUUUCCAUAUAAAUUCAGCUAAAUUGAGAUCAACCAUCAAAGAUUCAGCCAAAGAGGAAACCACAUUUGAAAUGUAACUGAUGUUAGCUGGGUAUCUAAAUCAAAAUCGGGAUUAUUCAAAUUUCAGACUUUACAUUGAAGACUCCCCAACUCUUCAAGUUUGGUUCCAUUUUAUUAAGUAAUAGUAAUACCUCUCUAACAUCAUACAUCUCACAUAAGAUUCAACCUUUCCCAGCAUCAACUCAAUCACACACACACACAGAGCCAUCUUUCUAAUUCAAAUUAGUAUUCAACACUAUUUUCAAUCACAUAGAUCAGCAACACCCACAACCCAUUUCAGUAAAGCUUUUCAAAUACUAUAUUAAAGAAUCGAACUUGAUUAAGAAAUUGAAACAUGCAUGAAAAACCAAUUGCCAAAAGAAAAUGACAACUAUUUCAGAUCGAGUAAGCUAAGUGGGUGAACAAAGCUGAACUGUUUCGCAUUGAAAGCGUAAUAGAGACUGCUGACAAAGGAAAGCAAAGAGUAGUAGUGUAAGAAGAAGCAGGGACUAACCUUAAGCGCGAAAAAGUGGAAUAUGAGAUCUAGUGGAAGGCCCCGAUUCAGAUCUGUGCUGGACUGCUGGUCUUACUCUUUGGAGAGCUUAGACUAAGUUUCUAAUACUGAACUGACUGAAGAGAGUCGUAGCUUGGGACACACCGAUAUCUACAUCUAUAUAUCUACAACUUACAUUGAAUAAAUGAAUGGAAUCUAGCCAAACUGGUCUUUUUUCUUUUUUUUUUUUUUUUUUUACAAAAGUUGUGACAGACACUCAAUGAUAUGAUAAGAUUAAUCGAGCAAGUUAACAUACAACAUUCAUAUCUAGCGUUCAAGUUUAAGCUCUUACUAAUUUUUGACCAACAUGUUUAAGGGGUUAUUAAGUCUGCUACUUGAGACAUGAAAUGAGUGUGAUUUUAUUGGGACACCCUUGCAGACCUUCACCCGAAUAGUGACCGAGUAUACGUUAACGGAACUUAUGUGAAUUGGUACCUAGAGAUACAUGCUAGCGUACCCACCAGUAUCUAAUACAUAUUUUUUCUUUUUAUUUGCCCAUUUAGAUUCUAACACGUGGUAUUUUUAUUUUUUUUAUUUUACAGAUUUAACAACACAUUUACACUAAUAUAAGUAAAUUCGUUCAGAACACGUAAAUGUGGUUCAAAAUUCGUAAUUAUAACAUAUGGAUAUGUAUUACAAAAGUUUCAACCAAAUGCCCUUAUAUUUGUAAAAGCGUUGUGAAAAAUGUAAUUAUUAUCUUAAUACAAAAAACAUCACUCAAUUAAAAAACCGAGAACCAUAUUACGUGGACGAGGAAAAAUGAUCUGUUUAGUCCAAAUCUAAAAAUUUAUAAUUUCGACAACACAUUUGCCUUCAAUUUUGUAAAACAGGUCAUAAAUUUGUAAAUAUGGUUCAUAGCUCGUAAUUACAACAUAUGAACAUUUAUUACAAAAGUUUCAACCAAAUGUCAUUAUGUUUGUAAAGCAUUGUGGAAAAUAUAAUUAUUUUUCGAAUACAAAAUACACCACACAAUUACAAAACCGAGAAUCAUAUUACAUGAACGAGGACAAAUGGUCUAUUCGGUCUAAAUCUGAAAAUUUACCAUCUCGACAACACAUUCGUCCUCAAUUUUGUGAAAUGGUCCAUAAAUCUAUAAAUUUGGUCCAGAUCUCGUAAUUACAAUAUAUGAACAUUUUAUUACAAAAGUUUUGACCAAAUGACCUUAUGUUUGUAAAAAAUAUUCAAAAAAACCACGGUAUAGAAAACUAGUGGUACUCUAGAAUUUUUCAACCAAUUAUGCCAGUCUUUGUGGUUUGAAGGUAGGUAAGGCCAAAACUGAGCAAUGCAUCUUGCUAUUGCCCAAGUUGGAAUCCUGAUUACCUAUAUACUACAGGAUGGUCUACUGUUCAUAAACACUGUUCACAUCACAUGAAUAGUGCACAGACGAUUUUGCCCUUACUUUUGGUGGGUGUGAUUCCAUUUAUGCCUUAUGUUUCUAAAAAACCACGAAAUUACCAUUAACCCUAGAUAUAUAAUUGUUUUCUAUAUAAUUAGUUGUUGUUGAGGAUGUUGUGGGUUGGGAAGUAACUUUUGAACUCUUAUCUUCAUUAUCGUGUCUCAAAUUUAUUUUUUUAUUUUUUUUCAUAGAUCUCACAAAGGGUAUUGUCAUCGAAGUCAUCUAAAAUAGGGUAGUGUUAUCAUAGACCAAGGUUGAGUAAGUCUAUUUUCUUAAUUAUUAAUGUGAAACAAUUUUGGUUCUAUUUUAGCAAUGGAAUAUUAAUUGAAGUACAUACAUCUUUGAUUUGGCCAAAGAAAUUAUCUGGUUGCAAACCAACUCCUAAUUAACAAAACAUACUAAGUUAAUUUAAAUAUCGUGUGAUGAAGUACUGUGUUACAGUGGCGUACCCACAAUAGGGCCAAAGGGGUCAAUUGACCCUUCUCAAGUUUUUAGUUUUUUACCAUGUUUCUGCUCAUUGGUUGAAUUUUGUACUUCUUAUCAUACAUACUAUCAUAACACUACAUAUUUGACUCCUAUGACACAAAGACAAAGAUAGAAAUAUAAGCCAAUUUAUCUUCAUUUUCUUAAAACACCGAACUAAAAAAUAAUAGAUAUGUCUUUUGCCAAACACUUACAAAUCUACCUAAAAGGCUAAAUUCUAUCAUGUAUUUUUUUUCUUUUCUUCAUUUUUAUUUUCAACCAUCUUUUUCUUAUUUUUCUGUCUUAAUAUUCCAAGACCACGUACAUCGUCGCAUGUCAGCCUUUGUCUCUAUUCCAUUUCCCAUAAUUUAGCAUUAGCUAAAAUUGUUACUAGCCAUGCGAAAUAAAUUAAGAUUAUGAGACUAAGUUAUACAACUGUCCAAAUCUACUAUAUAUCUCAAGCCCUGUUUUCUUUGUUGUUGAACAAAUUUUCAGGUUCCUCCCCAAUAAUAGCUAUAGAAUGACUGUUAUGUCUAAGAAACCAUUAUCUAUAAUUUUAUGUGGUAUAUGAAAAGUUAUCUAAAAUUUGACCCUCUUGUAAAGAGUUUCUGGCUACGCCACUGCUGUGUUAUAUAUACUAAUGCAAUAUAUUUGGUUUUUGUUUUGUUUACUUUUAAUUUACUUUGUUCCUCAUCUUUGGUUUUAGUUUUUAUGUCAGGUUCUCAUCUUUGACAUUUUGAGAUAAGUCUCUUUAGAAGCUUGAGAUAGAUAUUCUUUUCAGUUGCUUAAUUACUUGCUUUGUGUGGGUGUGUGUGUGUGUGUUUGUUUUUUUUUUUUUUUUUCCUUUUCCUUCUGUAGUAUGAAAUAGAUUUUCAGUUUGCUAUAUGUGAGAGUUAGUCUUCUUCUUUUUCUUUUCUUUUUUCCUUUUCUAUCUUUAGUUUCUUAGAGAAAUUGCACCGAUGGACUGAUUGGUUGGGCAAUUGCUGAGACCCACCAUAUUUCAGCUAAAAAUGCAAUGCAGCGGAGCCAAAUUGCCCGAGCAAUUUGCUGAGGCCCACCAAACAAGGAUUGCCCAGGCAAUUGGUUUGCCAAUUUUCGACCAUCCUUUUGCCUGACCAAUCAGUGGAGCCCACUAAAUUUAACGGUUGGCCACUCCAAACAGCUUUUUCCCAACAUAUAAAAAUAUGUAAUGGUUAUUUAAUUACAACCAUUAGAUUUACAUCUUGUGGCUAUAAUUAAAUAGCAAAGGUAAUUUUUUUUUCUGUUUUCACUUAAAAAUUUAUUUCGUAAGUAAAUAAAAAAAUAUCAUAAUACUACUCGAACAAAUUUUAUAUAUACUCAUCAUUUUUCUAUAGUUUCUUACACCAAAACUUUUGAAAACUUUUGAAAGUUUUCCUUCUCUUUUUCUCACACCAAAAAUAUUAUAAGUUUAACGUUUUUAAUUAUUAAAUUAUUCAAAAUUAAAAUAUGAAUAAUGAAUUAACAUGUAAAUUGCCUUCAACGGGUGCAUUGAUAAAUGAGAGGCAAUUGCCAAUUUGGGAUGAAUAGUGAAUUGACAAGGGCAAUUCAAUUGACAAAUCAGCAAUUGCCAAUUGCCUAUGGGUGCAAUUGCUCUUAUAAAUCAAGUUUUCUAAACUUCACCGAUUAUUAUUGACCACUUGCAAAAGAUUCAAGUUUUAUAGUCAAUUCUGGAAUGAUCAUGCAUAUCUGAUUUCUUUCUUUAAUCCUUGAUUGAUCUUUAUUAUCUUUACAUAUUGUGAACCCAAGCAAGGAAAAAUUAUCAUCAAGCAAGGAGCUGAACAACAACUAAAUAUCAAUCACUGCAGUAUUUUAUCUAACUCUUAGUAAGCUAAGACUGCGUUUUUGGUGAAAAACAGUUAAACAAAUAUGAGCAUUUUGUACACUCAAAACUGGAGCUAUAUUUUCGAUCAUACUGCUUUAAACAAGUUGUUUUGCUUUGUGCACUUAUAAGACAUUUACUAUUUUGGGUAGGACACAACACUAGAUGUUUUGUUAUGUAGUAUUGUUGCUUUUGUAAUAGCUCUAUUAUUAGAAUCAUAUGUAUAUGUGAUAUACAAUGUAUUGAAGUUCUAUGAAAUACAUAUCAAAAACAUUUCCAUCAAUCAACUGAAUCAUUAACAAACUUCAUAAAUGUACACCGCGUCAAGGCGCGGGUAUCAACUCUAGUUUGCUACUACUGAUUGCCUGCCAGAGCUAUCAUUCUUGGUUCACAUGGGCUAUGGAAACACAACAUUUCUUGCAUGUGUAAAUUAUUGGAUAUAAAAUCAAAGGUUUUUUUUUUAAUUUAUUUUCUUUUCUAGCAGAAUUGAUCUACAACCGUUAAGUUUUUUUUUUUUUUUUCAAUAGAUAACCGUAAGUUUGAGAGUGGAAUGAAGAACAAAAUCAGACUGAUUGCAGCAAUGUUCUAGUUAGUAGAACAACUCAUGAACAUGUUUUGUAACCCAAUCUAAACUCCUUGUACAACACAACAUGACCUCGUUUCUUUAGGAUCCUCUCGAUGAUUGUCGACUCAAUGUUAUUUUUGUGCGGAAAUCACGAACCACCACACUAGGAUUCAAUGUGGCAUAAGGGUGAGCGAAAUAGCGAUAGCGAGUGUAAGUGCAGCCUCUAUCUUAGAUAAGGCUUAAUGGCUUAUAAUCCGGAUGAACUUUGGUUGAAAAUGCACCAUAUUUGUGACCUCUAACUUCUUAACACAUGAGAGACACUGUAAAUCACCUCAUUGGAACGAUCAUUUAACCAUCUUUUGCCAAACUUUGAAGGCAUAUUUCUUACUUGAACAUUGAACAUUUAACAUUGUUUUUCGAUGAUGACCCCAGCACUAGAUGGGUGAUGCUUGCCAUAAACAUGGGAGGACAUAUAGGAGAAUUUUCCUAGCCUAAAGAAGCCAAAAGCUAGUUGAAAACAAAACUUACCAGGAUGCCCCACUGCCUUGCAGGUCUUAAACUUACUGUUUAUGUGUUUCCACACCAGCUCUCUCUGCUUACACUCUCUGACUCUCUGACUGUGUCUCAAGUCUUAACAAUUUCCUAGAUAUCUGUUAUAUGGGCCCCACUAAACGUGCAAUCCCAAGCCAAUCUUUCCCGUCUUUAAAUUCAACUUCCAAGUUCCGGAAUUUCUCCACAACAAACAGACUCCAGUUUUCACCCUUUCAAUGAGUUCAAUCACUUUUGUGAAUUGUGAGAAGUGUAAAAAAAAAAAAAAAAAAAAAAAACUACACCUAUGUGCGAGGAAGUUCAAUCACUUUAGAGUGCUCUGUGCUCCUAGAAUGGGAAACUACCGUUGAUAACAAUUUGUUACAUACAUUAUAGAUCACAAUAAGAGAUAAUCAUGAUAGAUCAUUUGAUCCAAACAUGAUAGUCCGGAACUAUAAAUGCAUGUAAAAUUACCCGAAACUAAAGAAAUGUUACUAAGGGAAAACUAUUUUGUUUUUUAUGUUUACUAAGGAAAAACUUAACUUCUUUAAAUUAGAACACCUUUUUUUUGUCCUAUUUAUAUCUGGACCAUGUAAAUCACUGAUAAUUUUAAUAAUUAAAUUCAUUAUAUAUGAUACACCGUAAAAAAUGACUAAUCUAACAACUUUAAAUCCGCCUUAAACAAAACAACUUUGAAUCCAAAAACAAACAAAAGAAACUUCACAUUUUCAUAGCUGAUGGAUCACGUUCAUCACACAAGUCUCUCAAAGACUACAAACAGGUAGGUCAUGAGUUUCCCACUUGUCUCCGUUUGGCCUCUCUCUCUCUCUCUCUCUCUCUCUCUCUCCCCCCCCCCCCCCAAAGUCAAAGUAUGAAGACUGUGAACAGCGUUAUAUUACUUUCUAUCCCUAAACGCACGCCACAACAUGAAGUUUUGACUUGGACUCAACUUUGCUUUGUUGAACCACUUCCCCCUUCGGUUUAUAUUCUCAAAACUCCUCCCAUUUCCUUCUGCUUUUGUUUCUCUCCAAAAAUGACUUCUUCUUCUUCUCCUCUCUCCCUCAUCUCUUUCUCUCUAACCUUCCUCUUCUUCCUCUCCCCUGCCUUGUCUACAAACUCUGAAGGUACCCACUUUACUUGAUCCCCUCUACUGGGUUUGCUUUCAAUUCUGUUUUUGUAUAGGGUUUAUAGUUUUGUGGGUUUUGAUAUGGUUUCCAGGAAAUGCUUUGCAUGCUUUGAGAAGUAGGCUCAUUGAUGCCACCAAUGUUCUUCAGAGUUGGGAGUUGGGACCCAACUCUGGUCAAUCCCUGCACCUAGUUCCAUGUUACCUGUGAUGCCAAUAACCAUGUGAUCCGUUUGUAAGUUUCUUCUCUCUUUGAUUUUGAAAUAGGGUGUUCUGUUGUUUGAGUUUGAAUUCGUUAGUUAAUUCCUUUUUCUUUUCUUUUUUUUGAAGUUGUUGUAUAUUUUUGUGGAUUGAUUGACUUUCUUGUCUUCAAUUUCAGGGAUUUGGGCAACUCUAACAUUUCUGGGUCUUUGGGGCCAGAGCUUGGGCAGCUGAAGCACCUGCAAUACUUGUAUGUUACCCUUACUCAAAACGUAGUUGCUUAUGCUUUGUUGGGUUUGUUAGAAAAGUAGCCUUCAACUUUAAGAAUAUGUGAACUUUCUUAAUUAGACCAUAGUGAUUAUGAGCAUGGUGUCAAGAGAAAAAGUUCUUUAAAUUUGUUACUUGAAGCUACUCCUACAUGAUUGAUUGUACAAUUUGUGAAUUGUAUAGGUUUUGUGAAUUUCAGGGAGCUUUAUAGAAAUGAUAUAGGAGGUAAAAUCCCAAAGGAGUUGGGGAAUUUGAAAAACCUUGUUAGCAUGGAUUUGUAUGGCAACAGAUUUGAAGGGAAAAUCCCAAAAUCUUUCUCCAAGUUGAAGUCACUGAGAUUUCUGUGAGUACUCUUACACUAAUAAGCUAGAAUGUUUUAUCUUCCGCAAAUCCCAUAUUGAGCUCAUUUGAGAGUAUGGCUAAAAAUGUGCAGGAGGCUAAACAACAACAAGCUUUCAGGAUCUAUCCCAAGAGAACUCACCGCCCUCUCUAACCUCAAAGUUUUGUAAGUUUCUAAUUUUAUCCGAGUGUUCUUUUAUUUUUGAAGUUAAAUGUUUUGUUUUUACUGUUUCCUGGAAGUCUUACGAAAUUAUAUUGUGCCAGUGAUGUUUCAAACAAUGAUCUAUGCUGAACUAUUCCAGUUGAUGGCCCAUUUAGCACCUUCUCAAUGGAAAGGUACAACUUCUAUCACUUUCCUUUGCCUGAUGCUCCCAAUUAUAUGGCAUCAAUGCAUGUAAAUUAACUCGCUAUUGUUUUCCUAGAAAGAGACAGAAAGGAAUCAAUAAUUUAGAAUGAAAUUACUAGUCGUUUGAUAAGAAUUAAAAGAUAGGUUUAGUGUUCUUUCAGACUGAAAAAAGGAACAAAAUAAAGGUUUAGCCAUCUUUAGAGGCAAUUGUUUCAGCAUUGCUAGGUGACUUGGCCAGUCAAGAUCUGUUCCAUGCAAGCUUCUAAAAGGCCCCGCCUAGGACCGCCUAGUCCCCGCCUAGGCUCUAGGCUGCAACAAGCCGCCUUGCUUUUCUUCCAGGCCUUUGUGCCAGGCUGUGGGCGAUUAGGCGGCCGCCUAGCUUGCCUAAAUGCCGCCUAGACGCCGCCUUGCCCGCCUAGGCUGCUAAGCUCUCCGGCUAAUUUUGUUUUCUUUUUAUGGUGGGAUUGUUAUAUUAUGGGGAGUAUGAGAGUAUAAGAGUUAAUUGUGUGUUUAAAAUUAGAAGUGUAUAUGUUUAUUGUUGUUGCUGCUCACUUUUACGGGAAGUUAUGCUAAAUUUUAGUUAUAAUUUAUUUUAUAAAUGGGUAUGACUAGAUUAUGUUGAAUAAUUUAUCCAUAUUUGACCGUUUUCAAAUAUUAAAUUACAUAAAAAUAUAUUUUUAAUUAUUAAAUCUUAAAAAAUACAAAUCGCCUAGUCCCCGCCUAAUCCUCGCCUAAGCUGUCCAGGCUCUAGGAUGUGGGUUACCGCCCGCCUAGCGCCUAGCGCCUUUUAGAACAUUGGUUCCAUGACUUGGCAUUUCAAAAGUUCUGUGAGGGAAACAAAAGAUUCUUUAAACCCAUUGCCUUGUGCAGCCCAUGCUGAUUCUGUGAGGCAAGAUGGUAGUGUGCUCGUAGAUGUGAUCUGAAUCAGAUCCUAAGUUUUGGCAUGCAAAAACUUUGUACCAUUAGAUGUAUCUAGCUAAUAGAUGGCUUUAAGUCACAGAUGCUGGUGUUUAUUCAUUUACCCCUUUUUCUUCAUCAAAGGGGGAGAGUGGAGUUGAAUUACGGGCUUGUUCGAGUGCUUAUUGGAGAGAAAUGCCUUACCACUCUACCAAAUGCUAGUUGGUUGGCUAUGGUGAAGUUACACUGUUGUUUAGAGUAUUAAGAUAUCAUUGAUCAGAAUGAUUCAUAAGCUAUCAGCAAACUUUAAGAUUAUUUUUCAUAGUUCAAUCAUGGUUUUAAAUGUCACAUUAAAGUCAUCUGAAAAUCAUGCAACUAUUUAUAGAAAACAUGACUGAACUUAUUCCAUGGUUGGAGUCUUUUGCAAACAGGCUUCUACAUCCAAAGUCUUAUAAUGUGUAAAGCAACUAUCUAUUGUAUUGCGAGUAUUCAAUGCAUUUCCCUUCUGCUUCUGUUUCAGUUUUGAGAACAAUAGGCUAAGUGGCCCAGAGCUGCAAGGACUGGUACCAUAUGACUUCGGAUGCUGAAGAAAGCUGGAAUUCGUUGAUCAUCCUUAAACGACAGUAAUAUUGUACUAUAAAGGAAAAUGUUUGUAUGUCUAAUUAUAUUAUGUAUCUGACACUAGCGCACUGUUAAUGUGAGGAUACGAGUAAUGAGUGUAUCAAAUGUAUUAAUGUAACAUUAGCAAUUGAGAAUAAAAUGAUUCUGAGAUUGGACUCUUUGGUAUAUCUUUGUCCCGUAACUUCCUUCUGUGCAGUGAGCCACAGCAAAACUAAAUAUAGACCACUCCAAGGUUUCAGUUCUCUUCGUCCUAACCAGGCUCUUGCUGCUGAAACCUGGUUUUGCGAGUUGGGUUUUGAGAAAUUGCUCAUGUUCGUACAGAACUCCAGCAAUCUCACAAAAACAUACAAAGUGCUCAGACCAUUAUCUACAAAAGUGCAUGCAGUUAGACUCCUAUUUCUUCUAACAAGCCAAAACUGAGCUGAACAUAUAGUAAAUAAACACUUGCAUUCAUGAUUCAUACCAGCCAGAAAUGGCAUCAAGACUAGUUGGUGCGACCGUGCGAGUUUCAUAUUACAGACUUUAACUCUCAUUAAUCAGGACUACCAAUUACUUGUACCAUAUAGAGCUUGAACGUUCUCACAACUCAUUCUCACAAGUCACAACUCACAAGCUUCUCCACCUUUUCAACCAAAUGCUGUUAUCUCCGAGCUUGCAGAACCUCUGAGACAACCGCCGGGGACUGAGAAUCACAUCCAUUUAUAUUGUAGUUUCUAACCAUUUGUGAAGGAGGUCGUCGGAGACGGUCCAUAUGAAUAGAAUGGAACAUCACAUUACGAAAUCUCUAGGAGAAUUGCUCUCAUAUCCUUCUGAUGGAAUGCAAGAGAAUCCGAACUAUUGAUCAACGUUGUUACCGGAAAAUACGAAAUUCCCUGGCAGCUUAACUCUAUCAUUCGAGACAUUAGACAAAAAACUUCUACCUUCUCCUCUAUUUCCUUCAUUCUCAGAAAUGCAAUUUUUGGGGCUAAUGCUAUCGCGACCUCGAGGUAUGCAUCAGAUGAGCUUAUGUUAUGAAAUACAUCAUCUUUAACUUGAUUUCAUAUGAUAUGUCGAGAAACACACCUACUAGACGAUCAGACUAAUAUGAAAUGAUUUCAAAAUGCGAAGUCUUGUAAGGACAAUUACGAUCGUAACAGAACUUUUAAUUUUUGUUUUGAUAUCACCACUAUUAUGACCUAUGUUUAUCGAUGGAUAGCUACCAUCAUUGCUUACCUCAAAGUUAUUGACAAUCUGGCUUGAUAACAGACCAAAAAGUAAACUUAAUUGUUAACAAUAUCAAAAUUAUAGACUAUGAAGUAUGAACUAGCAUUUGAUCAGGCCAGAGCCCAGAGGAAGCCUCUCGGAGUAGAGUGGUCCAAAAGCGAUAUUAAUAAAUUAAGAAGGGAUCAUUUUCUGAUAACGUCGUAUUUGGUUACUUAAUUUGUCUUAUAUCAAACUCUAAGAAAUCUUUACAAAAAUACUAAUAACGUCCGACAUGUCAUUCAUAAAACGGGUUAUUGUGUGAUAUUUCCUAUACCCAUUCCAAUGAGGGAUCCAUUUUUUUGUUCAUUUCUAGGGAUAGAUCAUUUGACGAACUUUUCGAUCACAAAAUCAAAUCUCCAUCGUUCAGUUCAUUGGGCUAUAUGAGUAGAUCAUUUCUACAAAUUUUCAGAAAAUUUGGUGAUCCUUAAGUCAUCCAAAUGAGGGAUUUAUUUUUAAUAAUCUUGAACGGUGUAGGUUUAACAUAAAUGUUAAGUUUUUUUGUUUUAAUCUCAGUCAUCCAAGCCCAUUAAAAAACAGAUCUAUUGGUGUGAACAUAUCCCUAAAAAUAACAAAAAAUAGGGAUCCCUCAUUGGAAUGACCCUGUUCCUCUAUCAACUUUGAUAUAUUGACACCCCAAUUGAUAAAAAAUAAAAUGAACUAGCAUUUGAUCUAGUGAAAAAACAAGUCAAUAGCCAAAACGAGAGAUACACAUAUAUACCUGUUGGGAUCCACCCCGAAUUUCACCCUGAAACCCGAAGUAAAUUCUGCGGGGACCACCUCCAAGGAAAAUUUACCGAAAAAUUCGGCAUAACCUCCCUUGAAAAUGGACAACCCUUUCUAGUGAAACCUGCAAACAUUUCGAAAGAAUCCAUUUAUAACCCUCUACUCCUGGAGCCUUCGUGCUCCCCAAAUCACAACAUCUCCCAAUAUAUUUACUGACUUUAAUAAGAAUGAUCUCACUACCAACAAUCACAGUUCAGAGCAACUCUAUUUGAGAGGAAAGGAAAUGGAAAUAUAGAAAUGAGCAGAAGCUAUACUAUUGACUAUGCCUCUUCUCCAUGUAUGCCCGACCUCAACUAUGCUAACCUACAUACUGGGCAUUUUUUAAAAUGAAGGGCCCAGGGGAGAAGCAAUUGAAAAACGUUAGAGUGAGUGGACAAAAAUAAAUUUAAAAGAAAUAAUCUUUAUGCUUUCCCAAUUUAAAUUUCAUAAAAAAUAUACUGCAUGCGGCAGCUCAAAAGCUCUUAACUCAACAAUUGGCAAUCUCAUGACUAGCACCGGCUAGUCUCCAAAACUUACUAAAAAAAGAGUCUCUCAGGCUACACUAUAUAUAAAUAUAUAUUUAUGUAUGUAUUCACAUUCGUCAGAUUCCUUGUACGAAUUCUAUGAAAGAAUAAGAGAGAUAGAAAUUCAUACAAGGCUACAACGCUUGCGUCUAACGCUCACGUCGCGCCAUAAUGGAAUUUUACCUCAUUAUGACGGACCUAAACAGAUGUAUAUACGUGCAGAUCCCCUAUAUGAAAUCCUAGAUGAAAAUAUAAGAAAGUAGUUUUCAUAUAGGGCUAAGACGCUUGCAUCUAACGCUCACGUCACGCCAAAAUGAAAUUUACCUCAUUAUGACAAAACAAGCACGUAUGGCUAGCUAGCAUUUAAUAUACAUGCUACCCUCAUAAUAUCCAAAUACAAAUUCACCGAAAAUCUCAUUUUCGGUUAGUCUAAAAAAUGAUGAAAAUUGUCAAAUAUUCGAAACAACAAUAAAUCCUAGCAGAAAAAUAACUGCUCAACAAAAUAAUACAUCGCAUGCUUUUAAAUUAAAACAAAGUCCACUCAUAGUAUUAGGCCUAAGCCUUCCAAUGCUCGGAAUACUCCUCGAGCGCUGCCUCCAACUAUUCACACUCUCUAGCCAAACCCACGUCUGACAAUAAACAGAAGAAUAAAUUGGUCAGACCGGACUCCAAAAUAAUCAUUGAUUCGACUUCUUCCUAAUUUGACUAGGUUUCUUAGGUUGACCAAGAUUAACCAACAUAAAAUAAUAAUCAUUUUUGACCAACUUCGCAACUAUAACUUAUUCGGUUCCAUACCAAACCUUAACCUGGAAUCGAAAUCACCAUCAAUUUCCAUGCCUUAACACAUCAGCCAAAAUACUUCCAAAAUUAUUUUAUUGUCCCUUACGCUCAAGCAUGCCCAGAAACAAUACCAACAAUUUCCUUCGUUUCCUCUCUACACAACUUCACCCCAAAAUUUACUAAGGGCACCCAAACGGGUUUCCAUAAAUGGAAAGUUUCCCAUAAUAGGAAUUUUUUCCUAACUUGGCAAUUUUUCCAAUUACAACUCGAAUAUUCCCUUUUUCGGAACUACAAUUUAAAUUAGAAAAAAAGUCCUUGAAAACUACCUAAUCGGCUACUGCCGGAAAAACUGCUCCUUUGCCGGAAUCAAUCGCCGGAUUUCGGCCACUUGCCGGAAAUUUGCCAUGACCUCCCUGCAUUCUCCUAAGUACCAAGUUCUCAACAGCAAGCAACAAAAACCCAAUAUUAACCACCAAUCCACCAUAACACAAACAUAGAACAUUUCAAUCACCCAACCGAGUAGAAACAUAGAGAUUUCUCACCUUGCUACAACCCUUGCCGGACUGAGUUCAUUGUCAGCCAAAUACCGCCGCUGCAAACCGUGGCUUUCAACAACACACAAGCUCACCAUCGCCUCCAACACCACGGCAGUAGCACCCUAAGCUUCUGCUCCGCUCCUAAAUCACGCAUGCUACUCUUAAAUCCCUCCAAGGCGCGACUGAGCUCCAUUCAACCGCUUCUAGACUCACCAGAGCUCGAAACUCCUGCUGGAGCUCUAAGAACAAACCCACCGGAAAACCUCGACGAAAACCUAGAAACACAAAAAGGGCUUUCCGAAUUCGAACUCGAUUUGAAGAGUGAAAGGCAUAGAAAGAAAGAAGAAGGACAGAGGAGAAGAACCCUACCGAUCGUUGUCGUCGUCACCGCCUGAGCUUGCCGGAAAAAGAAGAACAUUGUUGUACUUUAGCUUGUUCGAUCUCUCUCUAAUCUGGCUUGCUAGGGUGAUUUGCUUUGGGGGUUUGAUAGAGUGUGAGAAGAGGAAGAGAUUGGUGGUGGUUUCACGGGCUGGGGUGGCCGGAGACGGCCGGAGCAUGGCGGAGACGAAGGAGGCAGUCGGAGAGAGAGAGAGAAGUCCGAGCUCGAGUCAAACUGAGUGUGGGCUUCUUUGACUGGGUCAACCAUCUCUUUCCCUUUUAAGCUUAAUCCCACAAUUGAUAAUGAAACCCUAGAUCCUAUGGCACAGAUUAAAAGUUAUACUCUAAAUUCAGAAAAUUAAUUCUUUUUACCAAACCUUCAAUAAAUCAAAGAAAAUAACUCAAAGCUCCGACAAAUAAUCCGACAACACCGAUGAACCCGUGCCGACACGUACUACUACAUUGGGGCCUUAAAAGAGGAAUUUAACAAUUUGAGAAAAACUUGAAAAUAAACUUGAGUGUUAAAUUACCAAAUUACCGAGCACAGUGAAAUUCCUCAGUAACUCGUAGAAUACCUAGUAAAUAGGUAAAAUUUGGUCCGGGGUGUUACAAUACUAAAGAAAGUAAACUUAACGGAAGUCGUCAGUCAAAAGAGACUAGUCGUAGUCUAGUUCAGCAGAAGUCCAGAUGCAUCACAGCAACGACGAGGGCAACGUGUAGAUUUGACGUACACGUGGCGAAACGAUGUUGAAAGAGAGAAACACGUGUCAGGAUGUGGGUGGCACCACCUGACUUUCUGGAAACUGCUCCAAAUGAAACUAGAAGAGGAAAAUUCAACAGGAAUACCCAAACUAUGUUGCCAAGGCUAAAAUGGUACCCAAACUUUAAAAUAUAUCAAUGUGAUACUUGAAGUCUUAUUUUGACAUCAACAAGGGGUUUCCGGUUAGUUUUAAGAAUAUUCCGUUAGACUAAAAAUCUUUUCUUUUGGGCUAUUUAUUAGUAGGUUUUCAGUAAAUCAAAAAAUUAACGGAGCAUGGUGGGCUUAAGAAAUUGAAUUUUUCUAUCUAACAUACUGUAAAUAUAUAAAUCUAUCAUCUUUACUCAAAGGUAAACAAUUAAUUUUUCAUCAUUGAUACUAUAUUAGAUUAUCUAUCAGAAGUUAGACAAUCUUAUAAAGAAUUGCAAGAAGAAAAAGAAAAAUUAAGAAAACUAAAAGAAUUUUGAUCUAAGCUUCAUAGAAGUACUAAAAAUUAUUGGGAUAUUAUCUACCAGAUCUAGAAAAGGAUCUAUCAAGUAGAAGAAGAGGUAAAAAUUCUCAAAGAAACAUUUGAAGAAGAUCAAAAGCAUCAUGAUUAUUUGAGUAUCGGUUAGAUCCGCCGUAGCUGGUAUUAGAGCCUGUUUUGCUCAAAAACAGGUAAAGAAAAGGCUUAUGCCACAAAGUUGGCUUCUCUUGACAAACAAAAGAGAAUCUAAACUUAAAAAUUAUCAGUCCUAUUGUACUGCAAAAAGAACUGAUAAGUGGGAAGUGCGCUUUCAUACAAGGCAUAUAUUCAAGAAAAUCAAUACUCCAUUGAAUACGUUUGUAGAGUAUUAAAUACUCUUUACGACGAACAUAUUCAUCUCCAAAGAGAGAUCGGAGUAGAAGAGCUUGAUCCAACAAGACCGAGCUUAAUCGAGUUCCUAGAUCAUUUAUCCAAGGAUAAAACAUUUGAAAAAAUUACAGAACAACUCGAGAGAUUUAAUCUAAGGAUUAAUCAACUUGAGGAAAUAAAUUCAAAAAUCGCUAGGCUUGAAAUCAAGCUAGAUUAUCUCAAAGUAAAUAUCUGACAUAUAUUGAAAAGAAAUUAGUCCGCACCGAGAAUCUUGCAAACAAUAUUCAUCAGCAAGCAGCGGAACUAAGAAAUACUCAAGAAAACUUGAAGAAGCUUUUAGAAACUCUUGUUUCCAGGAUAUGAUGAAUCAAAGAGUAGAUUAAAAAGUAAAGCAGGAAGAUGAAAAAGCUAUAAGCUUCUAUCUUCCUACAGAGAAACUUGCAGAAAAUGUGGAAGCAAUAAUUCACCAGCAGAAUUACAAUAUCGCUUAUCUCCAAGAGAUAGGUACCGACCUCGAAAUUCAAUUUCGAGAGUUACAUAGCAAGAUCUCCAAUUUACAAAAAAAUGUAGAAAAGAUGAAGGAAGGAGAAAGGUAUGAGAGAAUCAAUGAAGAGACGCUAGCUCAAAAUGUAGCUAGUAAAAUCAUUAUACAAUCUCCACCCCCAAUGGGAGAAAGUAGACUACGGUUUAGUGAACCAAAGGUACUUGAAUGGAAAUCAUUGAAAACAUCAAAAUCUACAACCAAGAGAGAUGUAAAGAUGCUGAGUAGAAUCCUCGGUUAAAAGAACACAGUUCUGGUACAGUUAAUAAAUGCUAAAGAAUUUGAGUAUAAUGAAAUCAAAUCUAGUGUGCGAGAAACAUCUGCUCCUAGAUUUAAAUUCAAUGAGAUCUAUAAGAAAGGAUCUUUCAUUAUGGAUUUUCACAGAUUCAAGAUACUAGAAUUAACUGUUCCAGCCACAGGUGAUGAAACAGACAUCAGAUUAAUAACUCUAAAUGAAGUAAGUGAAGCUUUCCAGAAAAAAUAUUUCUAUAUGCAUAUUAGAGCAAUCCAAGUAGGAAUAAAACUCUUAGCCAGAGAUGGAAUUGACUGUUCUGUUUUAUGUGUCUUGCAAGACGAUAGAAUAACAUAUUUUAAGAAAAGUCUAUUAGGAACAGUAGAAGCUUCCUUAUGCAACUAAGUUGCAUAUUUCAAUGUGUUUCCAAACUUCACAACACAUCUCAUAGAUGCUUCUCACUAUCUAAGAUUAAGAAUUAAGACAGAUGGGAUUUCUAUGAAAAAAUGAAUGAUGGAACUUGCGAUAGAUUAUCGAAUCUAUUAUAAGUUGAUGAGUUCGAAUGUAACUCCUAAUACUCGGUUUCUAAAUAGCUCUGGGAUUACUACGUCUGUUCUCACCAACCCAAAAAAUAACUCUCAGCAAAAACAUGUCACAAAAUGGCAUGAAGUAACAUUCCCAAGAGAAUGGAAUCUGACCCCUUCUGUUAAACAGCUUGAAAGUACCAAUGCUUCAAUUUAUGAAGACAUGGGAGGACAAAUAAGGUUGGGAGGACAAAUAAGGUUACAGUUUCAUAGGCAUUCAUUUGCUAACUAUGAAGAAGCUAGCUCUUCUGGAACCAAAUCAAUUUUUCAUGAAGAAUCUUUUAAUGAAGAAGACACUAAAAGACCUAUGAAAAUGUUUAGAGCAGAAGAACUAAAAGGAUUGUAUACACAAGCCAAGAAUUGUGAAUCCAUAGAAGAAUUGGAGAAAAUCAUGAAUAAGAUUUCUCAAAUUCAACUUGGAAAGAAUAAGAGGAAGAUUCUUCCUUAUCAAGCAGCAAAAGAAGAGCCAAAUACAUCAUCCUUUAUGGAUACAGAUGGAGGUGAAAGGCAGGCCCCUCCAAAAGGUGGUAAUACCAUAGUGCAGAAUAUUACAAACAAUCCGACUAAGAUCAUUCGAGAAAAGAAUAUCAAGCUUCCAAAAAGACAAGCUCCUGUAGGAAGAAGUGGAGAACAAAGUUCUCAGAAGUAUAUCCCUACCGAACCCAUCAGUGUCCGAAAGAGAGGUUUAUCUGGAUUUAGACCAGGUAGGAGAUAAAAGAAAGACAAUGGAUAACUGGGUUUUUAGUUUAAAGUUAACGCAGACUCCAGUGUUAUCAAAAUAUGCCUACGAGGAUGCUCAUGCAUAUUAUGAGUCAACCUUAAUUGGAAUAGUCCAGAAAUGGUAUCAGUUCUUUAAGAGAAGUUCAAAAUAGGCUGAUUGGGCAGUCAAGUUAGCUCAGACUAAUAGUCCUUUAGAUUUUGGAAUGCCUAUCUAUGCACAAUUAUGUGGAGAUAUCACUGGGCAGAGUGAGAAAUCAAAAGAAAGAGCUAAGACAAAUAUUCAAAAAUUGAGUAUUUGUAACAUGAGGUAUUUUGAGGAAUACAUCAAUGAAUUUCAAAACUACUACUAUAUUAUUGGAGACAUUGAGAAUGAUGAUCUCGUUAGAACAUAUUAUAGAAGUUGCCAGAACCCUGGAAUGACGCAGUAGCACAGUCCUUGGAAGAAAACCUUGUUCAGUACUUUACUGUAGGAGGAAUGGCAGAAAGAGUUAGGGAUCUCUUAAGAAAGCAAUGCACAGAGAACAAAAAAUCUAAAACUGCCAAGAAGCAACUCAGGGGAGUUGAAAAUAUGUGUCCAAAGAUACUAGAUACUCCAACACAAUGGGGAUGUCAUAUUUCUAAAGAAAGAAAAUACAGAAAGAAGUUCUCUGGCAACAAGCUUGGUGGAAAAUUUUCUUCUAAAAAAAAGUAUAAGUUCAGAAAAAGUUUUAAAUAUAAGAAAGAAAAAUCUUCUCCUAGAAAGAGAUUUUUUUAGGAGGAAAAAGAAAACAAAUUCUUCCUCCAGAGAAGCAAAGAAAUGCAUAUGUUGGCUUUACAAGGCAAAGGGACAUUAAGCAAAUGAGUGUCAUAAAAAGGACAAGAGGUUUUUUAAAGCCUUAAUUGCUGAAUAUGAUGAAGCAAUAAAAUACGCUAAUCUAAAAGGCUUUGAAGUCACUUAUUUAGAUGAAGAGAAUGAGUCAAUAUAUUCUCUUGAGUACCCAUCAGAAAGUGAGACUUCAGAAAGUUCUGAAGAAGAAGAAGAAGAAGAUAUAUGAUAUUGUUAUAUAUUUUUAUUACAGAUACAAAAUUGGAAUGAUGAAACCUCUGAUAUUAUCAGUACCUUCCAUCCCAAUCCGGGAAAGUUCACAUGUGACUAUUGCAAAUGUGAUGAUAAUAAUACAAUUCUCAUGUACUGUGAAAGUACAGGAGAAACUUAUCAUCGAGAAUGCUUUAUUGUAGAGUUAAGAAGAAAAACCAAGGAUAAUGAUGCUCAUAUCCUGGUAGAAGAGGAAUAUAAUGUAUUACAUAAAAGAGAACAAUAGAAGAACCUUGAAGAAGAUAUGAAAACGAUGAAGUUAGUGACUUCAUUAAGCCAAAACAAUAACAUAAAAGAAUCUCUUGAUUCCAUAAUUAUUGUGAGCAAUGUCAAUCCUCUUGAUUCCAUAACUACUGUGAGAAGUGUCAAUCCUUUCACAAAAUUACUUGAUGCUCCAAGAAAGCAAGAGCGAGUAAUGCUAGUCCAGACAAGCAUAUACAGCAAUCAUAUUACCAUAGGACUCAAAUUUCCCAAUUACUAGAAGUAUCAUCUACAUGCAUUUGUAGAUGAUGGUUCAGGGUACACUCUUGCUAAAAGAUAUGCAAUCCCUGAAGAAUAUUGGGAAAAAUCUCCAAGAUCAGUUACUGGAAUUGCAAUGGAAGAAAAUGAAAUAGUCAUGGACACAAUGGCCCGAAAUGUAAAAGUUUCCCUAGGAGGUGGAAAUUUUAUCAUCAAGAUCCUCUGGCAGUAUGAAGGCCAGAGCGCUGAUUUUGUUGAUUGGAAAUGACUUUAUUCUUCAAUAAACAGUAACUCAAACACCAUAAAUGAUUGGGUUUGAGAAAAAUCGAAAAUUCUAUUGGGAAUCUCGAUUAACAGACGCGGUGCGCGUUACAAGUAAAAGAUUUACAGACCAAUAUCAGAAGUCGCCAACGAAGAGUGGUGAUUAUAAGCUAGUUUUAGAGCCAGUUUUACUGUUACAAGACCAGCUUAAAGGUCACACUGAAAUAUUGAUAAACGAAGCAACGAGUUCAGAAGACUUUAAAUCAGAGGAAAAUUCUGAAUAUCAAAUUUCUGAUAAUGAGAAUUCUGAUGGAGAAGAAGAAUACAUCAGAGAGCAUAACUUAAAUGUAUAUGCUAACAAGGUAGAACAAAAGAAAAUCCCGACUCUCUUAGAAAUAGAAAAAUUGCUGAAACCAGUAAUCAGUGAAGAUCCUCAGUUGUUUUAGGAAAGAGACACAAUAUAUUGUCAGCUAAGAAUGCAUAAUGCAAAUGCGAUUUGCCAUGUUAAGGCCAUCCCUCACUAUAGAGAAGAAGAUAGGAAAUAAAUGGAAAGUCAAAUCCAAGAGCUUCUUGAAAAGAAAUUAAUCAGGCUUUCAAACAAUCUUCAUCAUGCUCCAGCUUUCUUAGUAAGAAAUCAUGCUGAACAAUUGAGAGGAAAAGCCAGAAUGGUAAUCGAUUACAGGGAUGUAAAUAAAAAAACCGUUAAAGACAGUUAUCAAAUAGCUCAGGUGAGGAGUUCUCAUCAACAUGCUUAAAGGAGCAAAAAUCUUCUCCAAAUUUAAUGUAAAAUCAGGCUUCUGGUAGGUUAAAAUGCAUUCAAAUUCCAUUGUUCUGAUGGCUUUUGGAACUCCUCAGGGGCAUUAUCAAUGGUUAGUUAUGUCAUUUGGUCUUAAGCAAGCCCCGCCUAUUUUCCAAAGGAAAAUGGAUAAUAUUUUUAAGCCCUACUCAAAUUUUUGCAUAGUUUAUAUAGUUGACAUCCUUGUCUUCUCUAGAACUAUGAACGAACAUCUAAAGCACCUAGAAUAGAUGUGUAAACUUAUUGUCAAGAAGGGAAUUAUCCUUGGAUAGAAGAAGAUUCACCUCAUAAAGGGAGAAAUUGAUUUCAUUGGCAUUCAUGUCAAGGAUGGAGAGAUUCGUCUCCAGGAACUUCCCUUCUUCACUGCACUUCCCUCUUCAAAAACAAGUUCUAAAAAGAAAUGGUCUUGUACAGAAAAUGACAGUAAUACUGUCAGAAAAAUUAAAGAAUUAGCAAAAAAACCUUCCUCCUUUAUAGUUACCUGAAGAAGGGGAUUUGAUCAUCUUGCAAACUGACGUAAAUGAUUAUUACUGGCCAGGAGUUGUUUUAGCUGUUGCUCCAGAUACAAAUCAUGAAAAGAUUUGUAAAUUUAUACCAAGAAAGUUUAACGCAAUAGAGUUAAACUAUUCUACUGGAGACAAGGAAGUCCUUGCCUUAAUUAAAAACAUUAAGGGUGCAGAGGCAAUUUUAGGAAACAAAUUUGUAGUUAGAAGUGAUAACAAAAGAGUUACAAAUUUCAAAAACUACAAAUUAACUGAUGCUGCUGAUAGAGGAAGAAUUUUGAGAUGAUGUUUUUAACCCAAUAUGAAUAUGAUGUUGAAAUGAGUGACAAGAACUAUCUGUCUGACACUUUUACAAGAGAAAUGACAAUGUUUGAAAGAGAAUGUCACAAUCCAAAAAAUCGGAAACUGGUGUCAGAGGAAAAGAGUCUUUGGGAAAAAUACAAGAGCGGUGAUAAAACCGUAGGACCUCUCCAUGAUGGACCAGGUUAUCAAUACAUUGUUUCUUAUGGAACUGCUGAAUCAAAUCAGUCUUCAGAAAAAAUCAAGACAAGACCAGAUUAUAGAUGGGAUGAACAUUCAGACCAUUCUAAAACCACCUUGAAAGAUGAAGAUCAAUUUGUUGCUUCCAAUGAAGAAGAAAAACUCGUACAUGAGUUCUUGUUGUGUCCGAAAGGAACAACCUCAACAGACCAGUCUCAAGGUAAAAGACCAGCUAGCCUGUCUCAAACGGCAGACGGUAAAAGCAUGUCAAAUCCGUUUAUGGCUGCUGCUUUGCCAAAAAGUAGAAGAGCCCCUUUUAGUGUAAAUAAACUACCCUUGGUUACUGAGAAGAAGGUUAUUCAUGAUUAGCCUUUAAAGAUCUUUCAUAAACCAGUAUUCAGGACAGAUAGGCUAUUGGCCUUUAAACAAAAGAUUAUUGUGGAUAAUAUUCUGCAUGUGUUUUACGAGGAGAAUGAAGUUCACUUGCUUCAAACCCUUAAGGCUUUAACUGAAGAAUUGUAUGGAUUCCAUACAAAGGAAAAAUGUGUUCUAGUAGAAAACUCCAAGGUUUCAUGCCUUGAAAAUCCUAAAUCCAUACAAAGGAAAAAUGUGUUCCAACAGAAAACUCCAAGGUUUCAUACCUUGAAAAUCCUGAAAGCGCUAAAGUCCCUAUUCUAGCGCUAAAAGAGUCUGAAUGGUACAACUUCCAUGAUCUCUUAGGAGGUUUUGAAAGUAAAGACGUCCUUCGACAGACGUUAUCAGUAGUUCCUAGCCCAUAUUAUGGGAGAUACUUGGUGAAUGUUCAAGCAGAGAAUCCUCAGAAACACAAGUUAUGGCUUGUGGAAAAUGGUUUUGUUCAUAACCUUUGGACAAAGACUAAUGAAGAUUUGAAGGGUCUUCCAGAAAUAAUAUCUGAAGCAGUUAAGAAUAUUAGACCUGAUGGAUGUAUCCUAAGGCUAAAAUUCAUAUCAACUCCACCAGAGUGGACAAUGGUAGAUGGAAAGAUGAAUUAUAUUUCUCCAUAUCAUUAUGUCAGGUUAAUCCAGAGUCUAGUUCAAAAACCAGCUGUUGCGUUGCCAGUGGCAAUGGUAGACCAAAUCAAGGGGCAAUAGUAGACCAAAUCAAAGCAUCUCAUGGAUGAAGGCUAUGCCUAUAAUGAUGUCACACCCCUGACCCGGUGUCGGUGGUUUCCAAGCACCUGAAGUCGAACUCGAGGCGUGAGUGGGAAAAGUAAAAGAAACUAAAACAAUUUCAAAUACUUUUUCAGAAAUUAUAAAAAUAAAACGUUUACAAAUAAUAAAACAAAUACAAAGACAAAAAGAUGAGCCCUUGCUAUCUAUCUCACUUCUAAUCUUCCGUAACUUUUUCUACUCUCGUACACGUCAGUUAACGUCACAAUUAGACUUCUCGAAAGACGUGUCGUACCUUGUAAGCACCUGAACAAAAUUCUAUAGGGGUGAGCUUACGCUCAGUAGGGCCUAACAUCUUUAGGUUAUUCUUAACUACGUUGCACAAUCAAGUUAUCAAACAUCAAACAUCAAACAUCAAACAUCAAACAUCAAACAUCAAACAAUACUUUACAUAAAUCAAAACAAAUUGAUGCAUAAAUGCUAAUGCACUCCAUCCACUCUAUUACUGGCUAAUUAAUCCAUACACCCAAGACAUAUGUACAUACACGUCCCAUACAGUGUACCGUGUAGAUGUCUCGAAUAUACGACCUAACAAAUCAGUAAUAUAUAAACUCAAGUACCUCUUUUGCUAGUCUUUUAUUAACCUCAUGGUCCCCAGUCCCGAAACUCGAAAGAUCGUUUUAUCGACUCAUACGUCGAAGGGGCAUACUUUCCCCACUCAGAAAUCAUAGCUACUGAAAGUCCCCAUGAAGAAACUCAACUACACAAAAUGUAUCUAUUCUAAUAAUCUCAUUCUCAUUCUCCUCUCCAGAAUCACCAUUCUCACUAUUCUCAAGUUUUCUCACAAUGCAUUAUGUAUGCAAUCAAAUAUCGAUGCGCGUAAUAUAAUAUUAAACAACAUGCUUUUCAAAGAAAGCAAUAACAUCGAUCAUAUAUUCCAACGCAUGCUUUUAACAAAAACAAUAACAAUCAAGAGUUAAUCAUUCAAUGGCACACAAUUCACCAAGUUCAAUUAUAAUCUAAUUAUCAAUUUAAAUAAAGGUUCCCCGAGAAAGACCCUACCUGAAAUCCAAGCUUUGACUCCGACGCUAACUAUAACUAGUAACUCAGCGACACACUUCUGAAAUCCUUAUCCUUCUGCUCGUGAAACUGCAAGCGUGCGUUUAAUUCCUUGUGUCGAUUCCUUGUUCUGAGAAAAUCCAUGAACCUCUUCAAAUCAUUUCCAUCAAAUCCUUGUAAACUACUAAGGACACCCAAUGUUACUUUGUAUCCAAAAAUGGCUCUCCACUCCACCAUCCCAUACCAAGUUUCCAUCAUUUAUUAACAAAGCAAUACAUUAUGCUCCAUCUUCUCCAAUCCCUCAACUCUGUAACUCUAAUAUAUAUCUGAUCAUAAAAAUCAUGCUUUGAGAUUCAUAUCUGGUCAGAAAUUAAUCAAACAUUGAUCAACAACCAACACCAUCGUCAAGCAUAGUAGAGCAGUAGAACCUCAAGUAACAAAUCUUGCAACUCUCUAACGAAUUUCAGAACCAAGCAAGCACAAGCUAUCGCUGCCGCGUUUGCUGCCGAGCACAGUGACCACAUACGGUGGUCAACACAGCCUAAAACCCAAAUUUGUCAUCUCUCAUCAAAAAUGAAAUUCAAGCACAAGAACAUCAACCAAAUUCUUUUCCAAAGUUUCUAUCAAUAACCAAAUAGAUAAUUUGAAGUCCAAAAGCAUCAUCGUCGCCGCCGUGCACAGCGGCAGUCCUCACUGCCCUAAACCAACUUCAUCAUCUCUCAACCAAACUCAAUUCAAAUUAUACAAACAGGUAGAGCUCAAAGAGAAGAUCAACUUUGAUACCUGAGUCGGACUCAGAGGUUGCCGGAAAACACCCAAGAACACAGCCUAAAACCUAGAAACUCCUCCUCUUUGAUUCUCCCUCACCUGACCUCAUCUCGACAAGCUGAAGACACAGGGACGUCGAGGAUGAGGAGACGAAGCUAACCACACAGGUGAGAGGCUUCGACGCUGCCAGAAUCGAAGACUCGCCGGCGAACCCAGCCUCUCCCCUCUCCACUUCGAAUCUCUCUCUCUAGACCUCUUAUCUGAAAACCAAAGACAUGGACAUGACUAGGAUGUCGAGCUGAAGCUAUCUCCACCGGUCUGCCACCACGCCGUCGCCGGAGAAGGAAGAACCAGUCGGGUCGCUCGUCGCUGCUAUUCGGGUCGAGGUUGACCCGGUCUGGGUCUGAGACUGAUCUAUUCUGAUCUGAUCCCAAUAUGUAUAAAGCAAUGGACGGCUGAGAUUCAGCUGUUUAAAAGAUCUGACGGCCCAGAUCAACUCCCUUUAUUUUCUAUUUUUAAUUAAAUUUUUAGAUAAUAUCAACUUCUAAAAAUCAUUAAAGAUAGCUUUGAUGUCCAAACGAUGUUUCGAAAAAUCCUACGAACUCGUAACGAUGUCUAGAUUAAUCCUAUGAGCUCGAAAGACAAAAUUUGACAAACUAAAAAAAAUUGAAAUAAUUUUCGAAAGCUACAAAGAAUUGAAAGAAUAAUAGAAAUCGAAAUAAAAAAUAGCUUGAAACUAAUUUUCCUUUUUAAAAAAUAGAAAACUGAAAUUUCGGGAUAUUACAUAUGAGUAUCAAAAAUGUGGUCCUAAGGGAUUAUGUUUAAGUCUUCUGGAAAACGGAGAAAAAUAAUGGUCACUUGCUAUAAUCACCCACCUCUAGAGAAUUGUGAUUUUUUCACGGCUCUCAUGAGAAAAGAGGUUGAUUGCACACUAGCUACAACCAUGUGGCUAGAAAAAAUCGAGACGAAUGUGAAGUAUAAGAUUUUUGAUCCUUGUGACUCAGAUCUCGAUAAUGAAGAAGAUAACACAGCAUGUGAAUGGGAAUAUAGUAGCCCAAAUUCGUCGGCAGGAUACGACGAGGAAGAAUAUCAUAAUCUCACUAAUAGGAUGGAAGGAUGAGUGGUCGCCAACGCAUCAAAACAAGAAAGUUUUUCUUUCUGAUAAGAAGUGUGUGGCUGCCGACGCAAGAAGAUAAAAGACUUUACUUUUUCAAAAGUAAAGUUAUUAGGAUAAGAUACUUUUAUCGUCCACUUGGUUUAUGUGAGUUUUAAUCUCAGUUUGGAGGAGCCUUAGGCGUCAGUAGGAAGGCAUCAGAAACUUGGAAUAGAAGUUCUCUCAACCUUUCUCAAGAAGUAAGAUAGCCAGAAUACAGUCUUUUCAGUAUAGUGUGAGAAUAAGAGAGUGUUGUGUGCUGUAAUCAUCUGGUGUAGAGUGCAUUUUACUUACAAGUAAGUGUUUAUCUUGUAAUUAUAAGUAUGAAUUUAGUUGUUUACCUGAGAGCGAGGCUCUGGGUUUUGUAUUUGUAUUUAUGUUGGAAUAAAUAGAUUCUAUCUUGUGCCCCAUAAUCCGUCACACAAAAAAAAAAAGUUGUUAUAUUCAUAUUUAAGUUUGCUUCGUGUUUUGUUAUAAAUACUUUGCUUUUGUGAAUUAAGGUUUUUCCAUGCUAAGACAACAGUGAUUCAGCCAUAAUUAGUAACCAUUUAGACAUAAGGUCGUUAGGUGAAAUGUUGGCAUGUUGAAGGUUAGUUCUUAGGAUAGAGAAUUUUAGAGUCAUAAAAGUAAGGUAAGGUAAGAUAAAAAAUAAGUAAAUAAAUAAAAAAUAAAAACAAAAAAAACUUAACAUAAUAGUUACUAAAAAGUAACGGAGGUUAGUAUCUCAUAGAUAACAAUUAGGAGUAUAGGUACUACAUUGACUACUUUAAAAGUUUAGAUAUCAAACUGACAUGGACACAAGAAUUAGGGGACUAUUAAUUGCUGAACUUUUCUCAAAUUAGAAUCCAGUUUUGGUUCAGAAAGGUAUGUUGAUGAUCAAUGUUGUGACGACACUCUUCUUACUUGCUGCGUCCGCACAAACCUAACAUACUCGCUGCCUCUUUGGUUAUUCGUCGCUACUCUUUGCUCCCUUAUACACACUGUGCACUAUUUUUCUUCAAAAUAAAUGUGAGAAAAACAUAACACACUUUCACCAUUUGGGUUCACAAAGAAAACUAUUUGGGUUUACUCCGGGUAGACUGAUCUCAAGGCAACGGGUUGGAACAAGAUCACUUGAAUGCUGCCAACGGGACCCCGAUAAUGCUGGGCAUAUCCCCUCUUCCCCAUGAACUACUCCUUCAGACAAAUUCUCAUCCCGGGCAGAUUUUCGAAUGUUGCCGGUGAAAGUCACCGGGAUAAGAGGAUGAUCAGACAUCGGGAGGAGUGGGUCGUCACCGGUGAAGCUCCGAUCGACCUAGCUAAACUAUUUUGGCGAUUGCGUGAACUCCAGGUCCCGAUGAAUCAUCUCCGAGUGUUGUCGAAGCGUCGCUCAAAGCUAGUUGGGCUCUUGGUGAGGACCCGGUGAUAAAGGGGACCUGGGCGGGUCAUGCUAUGCCACCUAAUGGCUUGGGCCUAUAUAUCAGACACCAUGAGCUAACCUUCCUCUAUGAGCUUGCUGGUUGCUCUGACUCCAUGUGCUUGCUGGUAAGAACACAACUAGCCAUAGGGAGACAAAGAUAUAGUGGUUCACCAUGUCAUCGAGGGACAUGGCUACGUCCACUUAAGGUUCCACUAUCAUGGCCAAUAUGUCUUUGGUGUUACAAGAGCUCUCUAAGAUGGAGUGAGUAGUGAUUGAGAUUCAUUCUACAUAUGGGAAGCCUUCCUUUUAUAGCUAAGGAAAGUUCAUUCAUAUUACAUAUUUUUGAUGUGGGACAAGGUGCACAUAUCUCUUAUCAUGGUGUCUUCUUGUGGAGCUUGGAGGAGCACCUCCUCGACGUGGUACCGAUGAUCUUUCACCAUGGCGAGGUAGCCCGGAUGUUGGUCUACCAGAAAUAUGAUGGGGGCGGGGCCUCCGUGGCCGGAAGACGGUCUACGAGAUCAUUGCUUAUGCUUGGCGGUAUAUCUACUAUCAACAGAUAGUUACAUAGCAGGUUAAUGUAGUUAGACAAGUGUAGAAUGUAUGUAACUACCCAGGUAACUAUCAAUAUGCAUGAAUAGUUACAUAGGCAAAUACAUAAGUGUAGCAUGUAUGUAACUACCCAAGUAACUAUCAAUCUGUAGUUGUGUAAAUGUUCUGAUAACUGUUGAUAUAAUAUGUUAUGAACUGGUCACUUGAGUUAUUUGGCUUGAAUUUUUAUUGAAAAACAGAAUGGCUUGUGGGAUUUUCGUAGUUACACAAGUGUAGCAUGUAUGUAACUACCCAGGUAACUAUCAAUUUGUAGUUACAUGGAUAGUUACAUGAAUAGUUACAUUGAUAGUCACAUGCAUAAUUACAUGGAUAGUUACAUAGAUGGAUAGUUACAGGGAUAGUUAUAUUGAUAGUUACAUAGGUAGGUUAAUGUUGUUACACAAGUGUAGCAUGUAUGUAACUGCCCAAGUAACUAUCAAUCUGUAGUUACAUGGAUAGUUACAUUAAUAGUCACAUGCAUAGUUAGAUAGAUAGUUACAUAGAUGGAUAGUUACAGGGAUAAUUACAUUGAUAGUUACAUAGGUAGGUUAAUGUCGUUACAUAAGUGUAACAUGUAUGUAACUGCCCAAGUAACCAUCAAUCUGUAGUUACAUAGAUAGUUACAUAGGCAAUUUAAUGUCGUAACACAAGUGUAGCAUGUAUGUAACCACCCAAGUAAUUAUCAAAUUGUAGUUACAUGGAUAGUUACAUUGAUAGUUACAUUAGCAGGUUAAUGUCGUUACACAAGUGUAGCAUGUAUGUAACUACCCAAGUAACUAUCAAACUGUAGUUACAUGGAUAGUUACAUGCAUAGUUACAUGGAUAGUUGCAUAGUUACAUAGAUAGUUGCAUAGAUGGAUAUUUACGUGAAUAGUUACAUUAAUAGUUACAUAGGUUGGUUAAUGUCGUUACAAGUGUAGCAUGUAUGUAACUACCCAAGUAACUAUCUGUUUCUGCAAGAUCCCGCAGACCUUUUAGAAGUUUUAGCGUGACCUCUGUUCCUAGGCUUCGCUGACUGGCUACCUGCAACAGGAGAUUUACCGGGACUUACCAGUCUUUCUCUCUCAGAUGGUUAAGUCAGUUGUGUGGUUGGUGAAGUAUAUUUAAUGCUCAGAAUUAAUUAGCUCUUUUGUUGACUUUAACAUUGCAUUUAUAACCCCGCUUCGACUUCUUUCUUGCUUGCCAAUCAAUGUGGGACAAGUGUGAUGUUGUGAUUUGUUUAUUUAGCCCUCUGUUGUGUGCCUCCUGCCCGGCCCAGACUGCUAUGACCUCUAGGACGAUGCCUGCUUGGUCUACCUCAUGGUGGGUUUCUGGUAGCAUCGUGGGCCGAGAAGGUAUUCAUCUACUGCAGACUACAAGUCCCCCCAAGUUCCCGUUCAAGACACGUCUUAAGUGGGGACUUAGAGAAAUGGCCCACGAUUUAGCAAAUUACCAACGGGUACCCGGUCCCAGUCCCCUCAAGUUCGUACUCGGGACAUGUUUGAACAAGUUGUUAUUGCGAUGGAUGAAGGUAGCGAGCCUUUCAAUAUCAUGUGUUUCUGUUCGAGCGCGGGGUAUGAUCCCUGCGUGGGUUAUCAUGCCACUAUUCUCCGUGUGAAGGGAAUGAUAUGAACUGCCCCACUCCCACUCUCUGAGAGCUGUACAUGGGACUUACGGUUCUCAUGGCUCUAGUUGUUUCGCUCAUGCUUCCCGGUGAUACGUUUUCAGGGGUGGAUUCAUGCCCAUAGGGUUUGAAAACAUACCUUUCGAAACUUCAAACACUUGAAGAAGUCGAAAAUUGUAGUCAAAGGAAACCAAAAAUCGUCAGUGGGUGGCGGCGAAAGGAUUGGCAGCUGGUGAUGUCGAACGGCAGCUGGGAAAACAGGCAGCAGCGGCGGUCGGACAUAGGAGCCGAAAAACGCUUUUUUUAGUGUUUCGAAAAAUAAACGGUGGGCUAUUAGUUUUAGGAUUAUAACAAAAUGCAUGAUAACGUGAUGAAGUAUAAACAGUAGAGACAAAGAGAGAUAGUAAGAGAAUAGAUAAUCAUCUUAUUCAUUGAUAGGAGCCCGUUAUAUAGGGAAUUACAAAGUACCAAUAUGGUAAUGAUAAGGAAUACAUAGUCUUAUUCUAACUACAUAUCCUGAUGGCAUAAGGCCAAGACACACAUAUGGAAUAUCCUAAAACACUAUGACCGGAUUUUCGCAACCAAUGACCGUUGACCAUGACUCCGACGACCGUUGACCGGGAUCCGACGAUGUUGACCGAAUUCUGACGACCGUUGACCGGACUCUUCGGCUCCUAUGUCCGACCGCCGCUGCUGCCUGUUUUCCCAGCUGCCGUCCGACAUCACCAUCUGCCAAUCCUUUCGCCGCCACCCACUGACGAUUUUUGGUUUCCUCUGACUACAAUUUUCGACUUUUUCAAGUGUUUGAAGUUUCGAAAGGUAUGUUUUCAAACCCUAUGGGCAUGAAUCCACCCCUGAAAACGUAUUGAGGGCAGGAGGGGGUUCGUCGGGGGGUCUACUGGAGGCAGUAGGGGGGUCUAUUGGGGGCAGUAGGGGGUUAAACAGUACACAAAGCUGUUCGAGUUAAACAAUACACAAAGUUGUUCGUUUUCUAAAUCCACACUCUACUAUUCAUUAUUUUUAAAUUGCUCAAUCACAACUCAUAAACCACACAUGUCAACAAUCCGAUGCAAAAAUCUCACUAUUCAAACACAAAUUCAUGAAAACCAAAGCACGAUGGGAUUAGAAACUUACGUCACCAAAUAAGAGAUGCAGCUGAGGACGAGCAAGAUGUCGUCGUCACAAUAGGAUAUCUAGUCGAGGUCGUCUUCGACAGAAUUGGAGAUCCGGUCGAGGUCAUUGUCGGCAAAAUCAGAGAUCCAGUCAAGGUCUUUGUUGACAGAAUCGAAGAUCUAGUCGAGCUUCUCGUCGAUGGAAUUGGAAACUCAAUCGAGUUUGAGCCGGCGUCGUCGUCAGAGGUGAGCACAAUCGAGGUCGCCGUAGACGAAAUUGGAGAUCCAGUCAAGAUCUUCGGUGACAGAAUCGGAGAUUCACUCAAGGUCUUCGUUAAUGGAAUUAGAGACGUAAUCAAGGUUAAGCCGGCGUCGUCGUCGGAGGUGAGAGAGAGAGAGACUGAGAGAGGUUUUGAGUGAGAAAAAGAGGAGAGACGUUCUAAGAGGCACAAUUCUUGUAUCUUUCAAAAUAAGGGGUAAAAUUGUUAGAAUGAAAUAAUUUGAGCAAGCAAAAUGAAUUUGUGUGAGUAAAAAGAUUAAAAUGGACUUAUAAGCAACAAAAUGUUAAAAAGAGGACUUGCAUGAAAUUUUCGAUGUAUUCAAAUACGGAACGAUUCACAUUCAUCCACUUUCACUUUCAGAAAUUAUCGCAACCAGUCGGGGCCAUUAACUCAGCCUCUUUCCAGUACCGCUAAUCUUGACUGGUGAACAAACGCGCUUCUCUAAAUACCCUCUUCCAUUGCAAUCCCUCUCUCGCUUCUGCCGCUUAUUAGCCGACGACACUGCUCAAGGAAGAUCAAGAACAACCGUGCUCUGUUUUUUCUGUUUACCCCUUUCUUGCUUCCCUGCUCAACUAAGAUCAAGAACAAACGUGCUCGGGCUUCUUCCUGUCUUGUGUUUCUAAUCAAGGUUAUGAAAUCAGAUUCUGAUUUACUUUAUAUGUAGAUCUGGUCUUUUAUAUCUUAUAUGGAAUUCUCUGAUCUUGGCUUCCCUCGUGAUUUGUUCUAUUACACGUUUGUUGGAUCAAGUUGUCAUAAGAGAUACAUAAGUGUUUGUGUUGAAUUAGUCGCAAACACAUGAUGUUGUAAGAUAAAAUUAGAAGUUUAGAAAAUAGAAAUGCAGGCAAAUACGUUUUACAUCAUGUUUCUGAAAAUAAAGUACUUGAACCAAUCCCAUUAAUUCCUAUUUCUUGAACGAAUCCCAUUAAUUCCUAAUUCUGUCUCCCUUUGCUGCUCCCCUUAACUCUCCCACAUCCCAUCGGAAUAGCACACCUUACAUGUCUUAUCCACACACAAACUGCACAAACAAAAAAUUUCGUCAGUGUUUCCUUCCAAUUUUUUAUUUUAUUUUUUUAUUUCAAUUCUACCUGAAACGUGAUCUGUUCACUUUGUUCAGCCGAUCCAUCAUGUCGUUGUGAGUAAUACAGUAGUUGAAGAUGAAUAAGGAUAACUCUGGGAAAGUACAACUGAUUGCGCGCUCGAUCUCUUCAAAUGUAAGCGUGUCUCUAUUAUUGCAAUCCUGGUUGCAGUGGGUAAUGAAGUUCUUUGCCAACUCUAACAUUCCUAAGCCAUUGUCUUCAUAUGUUUUCUUUUCAUCCUCUCUCUUUUUGAUCACCCUUUUGAAGGCAUUUCUCAUUCUCACCGGCAAACAAUCGAUUCUAUCUUUUAUCUUAUCAUGUCUGUGAGCAUUAGCACAAGAUGCCUUGAAACUGUCUAGCCCAUCUUUUUCUUCAAUCAAAAACAACCAGAAAUGGUAGAUUCUCAUUAACCUUUGCCUCAUAAAUUGAACAAAUGGAUGUUCUCCCAUAUGUUUGAGAUAUUUCCUGCAUUGAACAGUAAAGUAUCAAAGUCUACUUCUCUGACAUAUCUAUGCUAUAUGCAUAUCAUACUUACUGAUAUACUUGUAUAUAUAUACUGCAUACUUAAUGACAUAGCCGUGAUAAGUUUCAAAAAUGAUGCUCCAAAACAUAAACAUGUUGUUCAUUAUAGUUUUAGAGGAAGUAAAGCUAUUUUCAUUGUUAUGGCUUUUAUCAAGCUCUAUGGUAUGUAUAGCCACAUACAUGAUUGUUGGCUAAUUGAGGCUUGGUGAGUAAAACACAAUUUUUGGAACACUCGAAUUGAUGGAUAUUGUACAUUAAAGUUUUGCCUUUAUCCAUACUGGUAUUGAGUAUAUAGGAUUGGUUGUAAAUAAAGAUAUUUUACUUUUGGUGUUGUUUCCAUGUAAGGAUUUACAUUUUCUGGACACUGACUAUUGAUCUUGCCUUCUAAUACAUUUUUUUUCUGCUUCUUUUGUAUUUUACUAAACCUUAAAAUGCAAACAGAUAUAUGUAUAUACAAGUUAAAUCAAUAAGUAGUUGUCCUAACAACUUCAGUAGCUCAAAACAAAAGGCUUCUUAUUUAUAAAGUAAUUAUAAUAGCAUAUAACUUGCUGAAAAAUAACCAUAUGAAGGUACACUACCAGAAAAGAACUUACCUCGAUAUAAUUUUAUUGUAUUUAAAUGCUUUAAAAGAAGAAAGAACAGAUUCUCUGUAGCAAAUGUACUCGUAGGUACUUAACAUAAUCUUGAGAUGCAAUUAAAACAAUUAAGUUGUUUAGAUCAAUGAUCUGUUGAUUUAACUUGUAUAUACAUAUAUAUAUAUAUAUAUAUAUAUAUGUUCCUUCUUAAUUCAUAUAUAAGAAUAUAGUAUCAUCUCUUAUGUUAUAUUGUCUACAUGUUCUAUUGAUCUUAUUUUAUUUAGCCAAAGUGACUCUUUAAUUCUUUACUUAAGUGAGCCUACAGGAAAUACAUAAAAUGAUGUGCUAAGGAACACAAAUGGAUAAAGGUCAUCUCAUGCUGAGGAAGAUGUAUGCAAUAAUGCAUAUGCUUUAAAUCAGCUAAGUUUUGUGAGUUGAUAUAUCAAAAGGAUUUCAUGAAUUUGAUUUGUGUUAUGAGAUCGAAAUCGCCUAAUUUAGUUUACUGUGUUUUUUGACAAAAUCCUUGCGUAUCAAAAUAUAUCUUCAUAUAUGCAAUUCUGUAGAAAAUUUUGUUAAAAACUACAGUCAAGAUUAAUACAGUUCUUGAAGUUAUAAUAGAACAUGUAGCAUUAAUCAAGGUUUUAUGAUCCAAUCACCUCUUUUUUUAAUAUCUAGAAAAUUUUCUUUACCCAAAAAUGUUGAAUGCUUCAUGGAAUAACAGAUUUUUUGCAUGUUGCUUAAGAAACUUAAGAAUGAUGAGUCUUAUGUCACAAAGGCAUUAGUUAUAUAUUACUGUAGUUUUAUGAGGUAAAGUUGAAAUCCUAUGAUAACAUACCUUUCCAAGUUGCGUCUCAACAUUUUAAUAAAAUGGUCAAGCUCAACGCACUGAUAGGUCCCUAAUUCAUUGUCCAGCUCAUGAAUGAAGUUUUGCAAUUCUUGCUCAUUUCCUUGUUCAAUGAGAUGAUACACUUUUAUCCUGAAGAAAGAAAAAAAAUAUAUAUAUAUAUAUAUAAUUAAACAGGGCCCUUCCAAUGAGGGAUCCCUAUUUUAAGCCAUUUACAGGGAUAUGGCAUUACACCAACUUCCCGAUUAUAAUUUUACAUCUCCACCGUUCAUAUCUUAGGUCUAUAUGAGUAGAUCACCUCUACAAAAUUUCAUAUGAUUUGGUGAUCGUUAAGACUUUCAAAAGUUCAAUUUAGUUUUAAUGACCUUCAACGGUUUUAGUUUGACAUAAGCUGGACCGUUCAAGAUCAUUAAAACUAAAUCAAACUUUUGAAAGNNNNNNNNNNNNNNNNNNNNNNNNNNNNNNNNNNNNNNNNNNNNNNNNNNNNNNNNNNNNNNNNNNNNNNNNNNNNNNNNNNNNNNNNNNNNNNNNNNNNNNNNNNNNNNNNNNNNNNNNNNNNNNNNNNNNNNNNNNNNNNNNNNNNNNNNNNNNNNNNNNNNNNNNNNNNNNNNNNNNNNNNNNNNNNNNNNNNNNNNNNNNNNNNNNNNNGGGGCCAUUAUUUUUAAUCACCUGUAUUUUUUGAUGCUUUCCUUUGUAAGCCUUGUAUCCCAAUGUUCUUCCCAUUCCAUCCUGUUAAACAACAUAAAGGGUGGAAGUUAGGUUCAAUUUUGUUUAGAGACUUUUGUUUAUACCAUGAGGAUAGUGUACUAGUUAUGGGAGUCCUAGUUAUGGAAAGUUAGGUUCAUAUGGGAACCUUGCAUUCUCUAAUUGUGUACUAGUUAUAUAAAAAAAUGAAUCUACAUGGCUUCAUACAUAGAGUUAUAUCAAGCAUCUGGGAUAUCAAAAAAUGUGAAUCUCUGAUAUAUCAAGAUAUGAAACGUGCUUCCUUCCGGACUUUUUUUUUUUGCAAAUUUUGGGGCAUUAGGAAGCUACACAGCACGAAUGCGCCAAGAACAAGCUUCGGCAGCACACUUGGCAAAGUUCAAAGUGCUGCGCAAUAAAAUUAUGUAUCCUCUUCCCCCUCCUCCAUGUGGGCAAAUCCGAAAACCAAACCAAAACAAUCACAACCACCCUUCUUCGCAAUUUAUGUGGAAUGUAACUAUAAACUUCUCCAUCUAACUCGAAACUUUGAAAUGAAAAUUUUCAUGAGAGUCUAACUCGAAACUUUGAAAUGCAUAUUUUCAUGAGUCUUUAAAUUUCCAAGCGAUACCAUUUAAAGCUCAUACAAACUGCACAAAGCACUAAACCUAGUUUAAAGUUGACAGCUUUACCACAGUGAAACCAUAAAUUAGUGAAAUUUGAGGCAUUUUGGGCUGGAAGUCAACCUAAAACUGAGAUAAUAGCAAAACAAAUUAUACAUGAAAAGAAACAUAAAAGAGCUAGAGCUUUGAGAUUUCAAUCAAGAACAGAGAACUACACAGCAACUCCACAGAGAAGUGGGUAUUGCUGACCUGUAGAAGAAGAAGAGAAGCAGGCGACGAUGGCGAUCAGAGCGGCAGUGAGAGAGAGAACGAACAGUUUGGGUAUUUCUACUAUUUCAUUUUAUUUACAACGUACUAUUUCAAAGAAAGUGAGCUGCUUCAAUCGUCCAAAUAAAAAGUGAGCUGCUUCACUGUCAGGGAAUCACCAUUUUCUCCCUGCUCUUUUCUUAUUUACGGGGAUGCCAUUGGAAACCUGGUGUGGACUUCGGUCCAUAUUGACCAGCAUCCACAAACUCAGAUGCCUGUCUUUAUGCCCUUGUGGCUCUCUUUUGUAAUGCAGUUGCUUCGUUUCGUUUCUGUUUUGGGGUGUGAGAUGGGUUAGCUAAAUUGGCUAAAACCACAACAAUUCCAAUGAAAUAUCAUUUCAGACCAAAAAAAGAAGAAGAAGAAGGUUUAGCUAGAUCAUCUACAACGCCCAACACCCCAUAAAUUGUAGGUUACAUAAAGUCUUAAUGAAGCAAGAUACCUGUUCAAGCUGAUAAUCUGGACUCAACCCAGCUCAAUCUAGGGUGCUUACUCUUUGUAUUCCGAUCUCUUGCCGGUUUAUAUGGUUUUCAAUUGUUUGCAUCCUAAAGUGUUUGUUAUCCAUUCAACUUGAAUGAAGUCACUAUAUGAUCAAAAUCCAGUUCAACCUUCAAGAUCUUAUACCGUUUCAAUCACGUCUAUCAUAUAAAAUCAAAUAGCAAAUCAUCUAUACUAUUAGUAAGAGAGGAAAUACAUCACACGCUCUCAUAUUCAAAGCAUAUGAUAUGCCACAAUUAGAUCGAGAAGAUAAUCAAUGCUGCUAGUUUAGUUAAGGACGAAUUUAUCUCUUUAGCUCAUGAUCGAGUUAUACAACUUAUAAUAAGAACGAACAUGUAAAUAGAGAGAGAUGAUAAUUCUGAUGUGAUGAUGACAAAUGGGGGAAGUUGCGCACACACGCAAUAUAGCCUUCACUGCCUUAUUGUCACACAAUAUUCAUAUGAUAUGCCACAAUUAGAUCGAGUAAGUUACGUACAUGUUUAUAUCGGAUGAUAUGUCACACUUAGAUCGAGUAAGUUCUUCAAAAACGUAGAGUCAAUCAGAACUUUCUAAUAUUCUUAUCAUAGACAUGCAACUGGAGCACAUAAUUGUGCAAGCAAUGCAACUUUUGGUCUGAUAGACUUUUUUUUUUUUUGGUUUAAACCUCGAUGAAACGAGGGUAAUUUAUUGAGAAGAAAAAAGAAGAAAACAUCAUAGUAGGAGGGACCUAACUCCACUCCUAACAAAAAUAAAAAACAAACCUAUAACUCACAACAAAACAACAAAAGUUAACAAAAACGAAAAGUGGGAAGCCCCAACCCAUCGUUAUUAUAAAGAGAAAUAACAAAAGUUGGGGGCAAGUCCCACCACAUCAAGCCUGAAGACUUUGUCCUUUCAUUUGCCAAUGCAUCUACAACUCUGUUACCUUCUCGAAAUAUGUGAGAAGAGUGAAAGUUCAUCUGAGAAAUUAGGUACAAGCAAUUGCUCCACUCUACACUUAGUUGCCAAGGCACCAAAGUGGGAGAGCGAAGGAAACUAAGAACUAGCUCUGAGUCUACUUCCAACCAGAUAUGCUUCCACUCUCGUACCCAAGCUAAUUCAAUAGCUUUGAUAACAGCCAUAACUUCAGCAGCAACAGAGCUUGGAAUGUCCAAGUUAGAGCAAAAAGCACCCAUAACUUUGCCACUGUAAUCACGAAAUACCCCGCCAUAACCAGCUUUGUUCGAACUACUUUUCCAUGCCCCAUCAGUGUUCAACUUAAUACACCCAUACGGAGGAGGAUGCCAGUUAACUUCGAUUACUCUUGGUGCACGCCGAGGCCGACAUUGAACCCCAACUUUCUUUAAAACCACAAGCUCCUCAGUAGAAUUAAACAUGCAUCCAGUGGCUAACUUAUUUGAUGAAAUAACAUGGCCUGAAAUGAGGGAACAUACACGUGUAGCAUCCACCCUAAGACCUUCAUAUUUAAUCUUGUUCCUUGAACUCCAAAUAAACCAUAGAGUAGUAACAAAACAUGUUGACCACAAUUCCCUUAAUUGAGGACUCCGAGUAGAGCUGAGGCCAAGGUUCAACAUAAGCAAAACUGAAUUGGGAGAGCCACUGAUGCCAAAAUUAGAGGUCAUGUAAUGCCAAAUCGUAGAAGCAAAAGGACAAUAAAGAAAUAAAUGAUCAAUUGACUCACUUUGCUGCCGACAAAGAACACAACAUGAAGCUAGUGACACCCCUCUUUUUUGUAGAAAAUCAUCAGAAAUAACUCUACCAUUUAACACCUUCCAAGCCAACAGCGACAUGCGGGGAGUUAUAAACUUUGACCAAAUUACUUUGCUCCAUGCCAGAGGGGGGUGGUGAAUACGUAAAAACGAAUAUGCAGCUCUUGCAGUGAGUAUCCCAGAAGCUGAAGGCAUCCAUACCAAGCGAUCAGGAGAAUCAAAUGCAAUUGGAAGACGACUAAUGAUCUCACAUAUAUCUGGAAAGUGAAGUUGAAGUAAGGGAGGCAAGUUCCAAUUACCAUCAUGAAUGAAGUCUGAAACCUUAUUCUCCAAGAUGUUAACAUUAGCUCCAACGCAUUAAGUUGACGGCCAAUAAAAUUAUCUUUCCAGAAAGCAACUUGCGAGUUAGAACCAAGAAGCCAGCAUCCAUUGUCAAUAACUUGUUGCCAAAAUCUCUUAAUACCUGGCCAUAUAGAUGAUGUUGCAUAGGAGCGUCGUAAGACACCAUUCCUCCAAAAACGAUUUCUCAAAAAAUUACACCCGUUCGAGGUAGAAGAAUAAAUCUCCCAUGCCUUCUUUAGGAGCAGGGAACGAUUAAGAACACCAAGUUGUUUCAGACCCAGGCCUCCCUCAUCCAUUGGAGCACAACAAGUUUUCCAAGCCACCAAAGGAACUCCACGCUUAUCUAUUGAACCUGACCAUAAGAAAUUACGGCACCAAACUUCUAAGCGACGAAGCAAGGUGACUGGCCACUCAUAAAUUUGGAAACUAUAUACCACCAUGCUUGCCAUAACAGAUUUAAUUAGCUGGAGCCGACCGGCCAUUGACAAAAGAGAACCUUUCCAACUUGAAAACCGUAACCGGAUCUUGUCUACAAUAUAUUGGAAAUGAGAAGCCCUCGGUUUACCCCUGAAAAUUGGGACUCCUAAGUAAGUAAAUGGAGCUGUGCCUGCAAGAAUUCCCAGAAGGUCUACAAUAAGAUGAUGCCUAUAAGAUAGAUGCUUGCUCAUAAACACUUGUGACUUUGCCUUGUUUAUAACUUGCCCUGAAUUGACACCAUACUCUCCCAAAAAAUCCAUUAUCACUGCCAAACUUCGUCUAUCACCUCGACAAAAGACAAUGAUAUCAUCAGCAAAUAAUGAAUGAGAAGGUGCACGAGUACCUCUGGGAGAAGAAAUAGGAUGUAACUGCCCCGAAUUCAUAAGAUAAGAUAUUCCUCUACUAAGAGCUUCCUCUGCUAAGCAAAAGAGCAAAGGGGAAAGUGGAUCGCCUUGACGAACUCCCCUACCACAGGAAAAGAAACCCACUGACCUUCCAUUAAUUUGAAGAGAAAGUUUUGCUGAAUGCAAAAGGUUUCUCACCCAAGUCACAAAGACAUGGUGAAAACCAAAAGCCUGCAACACACGAGCUAAAAAAUCCCAGGAAAGAGUGUCAAAAGCCUUGGUGAUGUCAACCUUAAUCGCCACAUUACCUCCAUAACAUUUAUUAUCUAACAAAUUGAAGCAUUCUGAUGUAGUCAUAAUGCAAUCAGAAAUAUUCCGACCUUUGACGAAGGCAUGUUGCUGUGGGGAGAUGAUCCUAGAGGCAAUUUCUGUUAACCGCAAAGAAAUAAUCUUCGGAAUGAUCUUGAAGAUAAAAUUAGCAAGAGCAAUUGGUCGAAAAUUCUUGAUACAAUCUGCAUGCUCCACUUUAGGAAUUAAAAUGAUGAGGCUGGAGUUGAAAGAAGAUGGUAACUUACCAGUUCUAAAGAAGUAUUGCAUUACAGAAACCACAUCUUGGCCAACAAUAUCCCAACAAGAGACAAAGAAGUGACCGUUAAAUCCAUCUGGACCUGGUGCACUAUCUGGAUCCAUAGACUUAAUAGCUGACCAAAUCUCAUCUGACGAAGGCACUACAAUUAAACGAUUAUUUUCUUCUUCAGUAACAAGGGAAGGAAUGACUCCAGACACUAGGCCAGUAUCAUGACAACCCUCGUCAUUAGCAAAAAUAUUUGUAUAAUAAUCAAGGAUAUGGUUUUGGAUCGAAGCACAAUCCUCAAACACCUGACUUCCUUCUCGUAGCAAAGUAAUGGAAGAUUGAGCCCUCCGAACUCUACACAUAGCAUGGAAAUAUGAAGUAUUCCUGUCCCCUUCAGCAAGCCACUGUUGUCUUGACUUCUCCCGCCAAAACAUCUCCCGGAUACGUAGUGAAUCUGUCAGGCUAGCUUGUAAAAAACUUUCCUUGGCUAGUAGAUCAUCAGAACCACCUGAAGUUGCAAUAUCAUGUUGAAUCUGGGCUAAAGCAUUAAGAUCAUCAUCCACCUUCUUAUGGAUUAUGGAUAUUCUCAAAAACCUCCCAAUUCCAUACCCGCAGCGCCUUGCGUAAUACCCGAAGCUUGUGUUGCAGCAUUGAUAACGGGCAACCAUAAGUUACAACUGAACCCCAACAUUGCCUGACAAAGUCUUUAAAUUUUGUAUGUUCCACCCACAUUUUCCGAAACCUGAAAAGACUUUGACAUGCACCAAAGUCCUUUGAGAAAGACAUGAUCAACGGGUUGUGGUCGGAAGAAAGGCGCGGCAAAGUAAAACAAUCAAACUGAGCCCAUGCAUCUAACCAAUCUAAAUUUGCAAGGCACCUAUCCAAUCGUAGUUCCACAUUACCUCGAACACCUCUUCUACGAGCCCAAGUGAACUGGGCACCCUUAGUAUCAAUGUGAACUAGCUGACAAAUGUCAAACAUGGCCUGAAAUUCUUCACAUGACCGAGCACAGACAGGAGCACCACCUUUCUUUUCAUGUGAGCCCAAUACAGCAUUAAAGUCGCCCACGACUAACCACGGACCAUGAACAAAUCUGUUCAUAACAUCAGCUAGAUCAAGCCACAAAGCACGACGCUGGGACAUGGUAGUCUUAGCAUAAACCGCAAUGAAGAUAGUGACAACUGAGUCCAAUGUAACCUGAAGAGAAAUAUGCUGAUCUGUUCUCGAGAGGACCUGAAUGGACUGAUGGAGAUAAAGUUUACAAAAGACCCAAAUAUUGGGACAAGACUCUCCUCUAUCAUUUGUGCAAACAUGAAUUAAGUUUAAGGAACGCCAAAAAGAACCUGGAAUAGCAGUCAAAUCCACAAAUGGUUCUGCAAGACAUAAAACUUCUGGAUUAUGGACCUGUACAAACUUCUUAAGAGCAUUUUGAGUGGGCUCAUUAUCGAUGCCCCGUAAAUUCCAAUACAUCACCUUCAUUAAGGAACAACUUUAGAACGACGAAUAUAAGCUUCUCGGUUUUCAACUUUCGAAGCUUCUCUUGAUGACUUACGUCGAGACUUAGAAACCACAGUGAAUUCAGGCUCACGUUCAGUUUCCUCAUACCAACUAUUGAUAGGGACAGUAGAGACAUUCCUAUUAGGAGAAGAACCUGAGUUAAGCUCACACUCAGAGUCAUAAACCUCUGUAACAGAAUUUUAUAGCAUCCAUGCUAUCCCCUCCACUUGAGCCAUUAUGUUCCUGAUCAUUUUGCUGUUGCUUGGAUACAUCCAAGGCAGCCUCCAAAACAACCCCCGCAGCUAGAAUCUGUAAGCGAUGGAUAAUUAUUUUAAGAGAAAUUUUAAAUACACAUCUUUAAUCUCUUAAUACACACCUUAUUAUUUUAUGUUUCUAUUGAGAUUUUAUAGGUAAGCUAAAUGACCAAAACAUACAUUUAUUAUUAAAAAAAAUUCACGCUAAAAGUAUUCUUUCUAACGUCUUUUACCCUAAAAUCGUCGAAAACAUGUUUUCUCCCCUAACCCCAAUUCUUCUCCACAAUUCAUUUGGGUUGUUGUUGUUGUUGUUGUUGUAUCUAUAUCAACUUUAGUUUGAUCUUACAGAUCAUAUUGUCAAAUAUUGUAUCUUUAUCAGCUUUAGUUUAGUUUGAUCUUGGAGAUCAUAUCGUCAAAUACUGCAUCUUUAUCAUGAUAUAUUUUAUCGAAUAACUAGCUAUCUAUGUUUAAUAGCUAAUGUAUUUCUACAGUUGUACUAGCUUGGGAAUUUUGAAAACUUAUAUUGGUGAUUUGGAGUUGGGAUAUAACAAUAAUCAUUCUACAGUUGUACUAGCUUGUGAAUUUUGAAAACUUGUAUUGGUGAUUUAGAGUUGGGAUAUAACAAUAAUCAUUUGAUUAUAAAUAACAAUAACCAUUUGAUUAUAGAUUGAACGAUGAUAACCAAAAAUUUCUACAAAAAAUUAGACGAAAUAAUAUGUAAAAAGAUAUACCAAAUAGUAAAUAUAUAUUAAUUGUAUUAAUAACGGAAUAUUUCAUAAAUUAAGGGCAUUUUAAGCAAUUUGGGAUGUGUAUUAAGUAUAAUACUGAAAUUAAAAACUUGAUAGGUAGUGUAUUAAGUAAAGGGUGUGUAUUAAGAUAUUAGGGGUGUGUAUUUAAAAUUUCUCUUAUUUUAAUUGUAGACUAUUACGUGAUAAAUUAUGUAAUAAUCUAAACUAACCUGUAGCAAAAUUUUUACAUGAUGACACAGAAAUGUAAAUUAGAUGAAUCAAAAGUGAUUGUUUUACAUUUGGACUAUAAUCAGGUUACUCAGACUACACACAAGUGAGGUGAUUGAGGUCGUCCGAGAUUAUAAAACACUGAACAACGUGGAGAACUUUUAUCCAUUUGAACUUUUUAGGUGCCAAUGGCGUAGCCAGCUAGGGGGCAAGGGGUUCAAUUGAACCCUCUCAAAUUUUCAAAAAGAGUAAUUAGCCUCCAUUUGUAUUAGAUAUCAGUGGAAAUAAAACAUAAAUUGACCCUUCUUCUCUAAUAAAUUUUUAAUUAGUCUUAAAUAUUCUUCAACAAUAAUGGAAUGAAAUAAAAAUUUAUACUAUUCAGAUACUUAAUCCAAUUAAUACAAAUCGUGUUAAGGGUUUUUUACCUUACUAAAUGGAAACAACACAUUAAUGUUUACCAUACAUCAACAUGCAUUAUCUCUUAAACAAAAGAAACGACAUCUUAUUUUUUUCCAAUAUUUAUCGUGUAUGAAAUUCUAAUCCAAAGUUUAUUAGAGAUGAUAAUGAUAGAACAAAAAUAUUGUUGAAAUUAANNNNNNNNNNNNNNNNNNNNNNNNNNNNNNNNNNNNNNNNNNNNNNNNNNNNNNNNNNNNNNNNNNNNNNNNNNNNNNNNNNNNNNNNNNNNNNNNNNNNNNNNNNNNNNNNNNNNNNNNNNNNNNNNNNNNNNNNNNNNNNNNNNNNNNNNNNNNNNNNNNNNNNNNNNNNNNNNNNNNNNNNNNNNNNNNNNNNNNNNNNNNNNNNNNNNNNNNNNNNNNNNNNNNNNNNNNNNNNNNNNNNNNNNNNNNNNNNNNNNNNNNNNNNNNNNNNNNNNNNNNNNNNNNNNNNNNNNNNNNNNNNNNNNNNNNNNNNNNNNNNNNNNNNNNNNNNNNNNNNNNNNNNNNNNNNNNNNNNNNNNNNNNNNNNNNNNNNNNNNNNNNNNNNNNNNNNNNNNNNNNNNNNNNNNNNNNNNNNNNNNNNNNNNNNNNNNNNNNNNNNNNNNNNNNNNNNNNNNNNNNNNNNNNNNNNNNNNNNNNNNNNNNNNNNNNNNNNNNNNNNNNNNNNNNNNNNNNNNNNNNNNNNNNNNNNNNNNNNNNNNNNNNNNNNNNNNNNNNNNNNNNNNNNNNNNNNNNNNNNNNNNNNNNNNNNNNNNNNNNNNNNNNNNNNNNNNNNNNNNNNNNNNNNNNNNNNNNNNNNNNNNNNNNNNNNNNNNNNNNNNNNNNNNNNNNNNNNNNNNNNNNNNNNNNNNNNNNNNNNNNNNNNNNNNNNNNNNNNNNNNNNNNNNNNNNNNNNNNNNNNNNNNNNNNNNNNNNNNNNNNNNNNNNNNNNNNNNNNNNNNNNNNNNNNNNNNNNNNNNNNNNNNNNNNNNNNNNNNNNNNNNNNNNNNNNNNNNNNNNNNNNNNNNNNNNNNNNNNNNNNNNNNNNNNNNNNNNNNNNNNNNNNNNNNNNNNNNNNNNNNNNNNNNNNNNNNNNNNNNNNNNNNNNNNNNNNNNNNNNNNNNNNNNNNNNNNNNNNNNNNNNNNNNNNNNNNNNNNNNNNNNNNNNNNNNNNNNNNNNNNNNNNNNNNNNNNNNNNNNNNNNNNNNNNNNNNNNNNNNNNNNNNNNNNNNNNNNNNNNNNNNNNNNNNNNNNNNNNNNNNNNNNNNNNNNNNNNNNNNNNNNNNNNNNNNNNNNNNNNNNNNNNNNNNNNNNNNNNNNNNNNNNNNNNNNNNNNNNNNNNNNNNNNNNNNNNNNNNNNNNNNNNNNNNNNNNNNNNNNNNNNNNNNNNNNNNNNNNNNNNNNNNNNNNNNNNNNNNNNNNNNNNNNNNNNNNNNNNNNNNNNNNNNNNNNNNNNNNNNNNNNNNNNNNNNNNNNNNNNNNNNNNNNNNNNNNNNNNNNNNNNNNNNNNNNNNNNNNNNNNNNNNNNNNNNNNNNNNNNNNNNNNNNNNNNNNNNNNNNNNNNNNNNNNNNNNNNNNNNNNNNNNNNNNNNNNNNNNNNNNNNNNNNNNNNNNNNNNNNNNNNNNNNNNNNNNNNNNNNNNNNNNNNNNNNNNNNNNNNNNNNNNNNNNNNNNNNNNNNNNNNNNNNNNNNNNNNNNNNNNNNNNNNNNNNNNNNNNNNNNNNNNNNNNNNNNNNNNNNNNNNNNNNNNNNNNNNNNNNNNNNNNNNNNNNNNNNNNNNNNNNNNNNNNNNNNNNNNNNNNNNNNNNNNNNNNNNNNNNNNNNNNNNNNNNNNNNNNNNNNNNNNNNNNNNNNNNNNNNNNNNNNNNNNNNNNNNNNNNNNNNNNNNNNNNNNNNNNNNNNNNNNNNNNNNNNNNNNNNNNNNNNNNNNNNNNNNNNNNNNNNNNNNNNNNNNNNNNNNNNNNNNNNNNNNNNNNNNNNNNNNNNNNNNNNNNNNNNNNNNNNNNNNNNNNNNNNNNNNNNNNNNNNNNNNNNNNNNNNNNNNNNNNNNNNNNNNNNNNNNNNNNNNNNNNNNNNNNNNNNNNNNNNNNNNNNNNNNNNNNNNNNNNNNNNNNNNNNNNNNNNNNNNNNNNNNNNNNNNNNNNNNNNNNNNNNNNNNNNNNNNNNNNNNNNNNNNNNNNNNNNNNNNNNNNNNNNNNNNNNNNNNNNNNNNNNNNNNNNNNNNNNNNNNNNNNNNNNNNNNNNNNNNNNNNNNNNNNNNNNNNNNNNNNNNNNNNNNNNNNNNNNNNNNNNNNNNNNNNNNNNNNNNNNNNNNNNNNNNNNNNNNNNNNNNNNNNNNNNNNNNNNNNNNNNNNNNNNNNNNNNNNNNNNNNNNNNNNNNNNNNNNNNNNNNNNNNNNNNNNNNNNNNNNNNNNNNNNNNNNNNNNNNNNNNNNNNNNNNNNNNNNNNNNNNNNNNNNNNNNNNNNNNNNNNNNNNNNNNNNNNNNNNNNNNNNNNNNNNNNNNNNNNNNNNNNNNNNNNNNNNNNNNNNNNNNNNNNNNNNNNNNNNNNNNNNNNNNNNNNNNNNNNNNNNNNNNNNNNNNNNNNNNNNNNNNNNNNNNNNNNNNNNNNNNNNNNNNNNNNNNNNNNNNNNNNNNNNNNNNNNNNNNNNNNNNNNNNNNNNNNNNNNNNNNNNNNNNNNNNNNNNNNNNNNNNNNNNNNNNNNNNNNNNNNNNNNNNNNNNNNNNNNNNNNNNNNNNNNNNNNNNNNNNNNNNNNNNNNNNNNNNNNNNNNNNNNNNNNNNNNNNNNNNNNNNNNNNNNNNNNNNNNNNNNNNNNNNNNNNNNNNNNNNNNNNNNNNNNNNNNNNNNNNNNNNNNNNNNNNNNNNNNNNNNNNNNNNNNNNNNNNNNNNNNNNNNNNNNNNNNNNNNNNNNNNNNNNNNNNNNNNNNNNNNNNNNNNNNNNNNNNNNNNNNNNNNNNNNNNNNNNNNNNNNNNNNNNNNNNNNNNNNNNNNNNNNNNNNNNNNNNNNNNNNNNNNNNNNNNNNNNNNNNNNNNNNNNNNNNNNNNNNNNNNNNNNNNNNNNNNNNNNNNNNNNNNNNNNNNNNNNNNNNNNNNNNNNNNNNNNNNNNNNNNNNNNNNNNNNNNNNNNNNNNNNNNNNNNNNNNNNNNNNNNNNNNNNNNNNNNNNNNNNNNNNNNNNNNNNNNNNNNNNNNNNNNNNNNNNNNNNNNNNNNNNNNNNNNNNNNNNNNNNNNNNNNNNNNNNNNNNNNNNNNNNNNNNNNNNNNNNNNNNNNNNNNNNNNNNNNNNNNNNNNNNNNNNNNNNNNNNNNNNNNNNNNNNNNNNNNNNNNNNNNNNNNNNNNNNNNNNNNNNNNNNNNNNNNNNNNNNNNNNNNNNNNNNNNNNNNNNNNNNNNNNNNNNNNNNNNNNNNNNNNNNNNNNNNNNNNNNNNNNNNNNNNNNNNNNNNNNNNNNNNNNNNNNNNNNNNNNNNNNNNNNNNNNNNNNNNNNNNNNNNNNNNNNNNNNNNNNNNNNNNNNNNNNNNNNNNNNNNNNNNNNNNNNNNNNNNNNNNNNNNNNNNNNNNNNNNNNNNNNNNNNNNNNNNNNNNNNNNNNNNNNNNNNNNNNNNNNNNNNNNNNNNNNNNNNNNNNNNNNNNNNNNNNNNNNNNNNNNNNNNNNNNNNNNNNNNNNNNNNNNNNNNNNNNNNNNNNNNNNNNNNNNNNNNNNNNNNNNNNNNNNNNNNNNNNNNNNNNNNNNNNNNNNNNNNNNNNNNNNNNNNNNNNNNNNNNNNNNNNNNNNNNNNNNNNNNNNNNNNNNNNNNNNNNNNNNNNNNNNNNNNNNNNNNNNNNNNNNNNNNNNNNNNNNNNNNNNNNNNNNNNNNNNNNNNNNNNNNNNNNNNNNNNNNNNNNNNNNNNNNNNNNNNNNNNNNNNNNNNNNNNNNNNNNNNNNNNNNNNNNNNNNNNNNNNNNNNNNNNNNNNNNNNNNNNNNNNNNNNNNNNNNNNNNNNNNNNNNNNNNNNNNNNNNNNNNNNNNNNNNNNNNNNNNNNNNNNNNNNNNNNNNNNNNNNNNNNNNNNNNNNNNNNNNNNNNNNNNNNNNNNNNNNNNNNNNNNNNNNNNNNNNNNNNNNNNNNNNNNNNNNNNNNNNNNNNNNNNNNNNNNNNNNNNNNNNNNNNNNNNNNNNNNNNNNNNNNNNNNNNNNNNNNNNNNNNNNNNNNNNNNNNNNNNNNNNNNNNNNNNNNNNNNNNNNNNNNNNNNNNNNNNNNNNNNNNNNNNNNNNNNNNNNNNNNNNNNNNNNNNNNNNNNNNNNNNNNNNNNNNNNNNNNNNNNNNNNNNNNNNNNNNNNNNNNNNNNNNNNNNNNNNNNNNNNNNNNNNNNNNNNNNNNNNNNNNNNNNNNNNNNNNNNNNNNNNNNNNNNNNNNNNNNNNNNNNNNNNNNNNNNNNNNNNNNNNNNNNNNNAAAAAAAAAACUAAACACGCUCUCUAAAAUAGCUAAAAAAUAAAAUAGAAAGUCUGCUAAAAUUGCUCUAAUUGUUUCAUCCUCAUAAAAAAGAGGGAAAAUGCCCAAAUACCCAAAAAUUAGAAAGUUAAAGCCCAUUCUAAUGAAAUUCUAAUCUCUUAGCCCAUUCUAAUGAUUCUUAUGCAAAAGACAUUAUUACCCUCUAUAGAAUUAAACCCACACAAAUUCUAAUUUUCUUCUUCUUCUCUUCUCAAUCUGCUCUCUCUCUCUCCCCUUUCCUCGACGACGGACACCGCCGCAGACUUGACGACGGACGCCUCCGUUGUAGACGAUCAUGAGGCAGCGCUUGCCGAGGCCGGUGGGGACAAGUGCGGCGUUGUUGCAGAGGUCGGAGGAGAAGGAGGCGGUGGAGAUGCGAUGGUGGGAGACGACGGAGGAGGAGAAGGAGCGGGGGAUGGAGGGGUGGGGGUCGGAGGGGGAGAGGCGGGAGAGAGUGGGUUGGAGGAUGAAGAAGGUGGAGCCGAUGAGGAUGAAGAUGAGGCGUUGCUCUUUGAAGAUGUAGCUGAGGGAUCUGGGGUGCUUCAAGGCUUUGGGGGAGUAGGAGGAGGUGGAGGAGGUGCGUCAGGGUUGGUGGAAGAGGAGGCCGAUGUGUCGCCGUCGGGGAAGGUGGGUGCCCAGAGAAGUCAGUUAGUUAGUUUUUUUUUUUUUAAUUUUUGGUAUAUCCUUACAUUAAUAUUGAGCUCAGUAAGUGAUUAUUGAGGAUUGAUAAGUGAUUAUUGGGGUCAGUAAGUUAUUAUUUGAGGUUUGUAAUUUGAUUAUUAAGGGCCAAUAAAUGAUUAUUGGGUAUCAGUAAGCAAUUAUUGGGUGUCAGUAACUGAUUAUUGGGUAUCAGUAACUGAUUAUUGGAGGUCAGUAACUGAUUAUUAGGGGUUAAUAACUGAUUAUCAGAGGUCAGUAAUUGAUUAUUGGGGGUCAGUAACCAAGUUAUUAGAGGUCAGUAAUUGAUUAUUAGGGGUCAGUAACUGAUUAUUGGGGGUCAAUAACCGAGUUACAGGCGAUCAGAAUCCGGCGGCCGGAGAAAAAUUGAGUUACUGGGGGUCAAUAACCGAGUUACCGGUGACCGAAACCCGGCGACUGGGGAAAUCCGGCAACCAAAGUCCGGCGGCCGGUGACCGGAGUCCGGUGAGGUUCCGGCCAAGUAUUCUCUUUCUUCCACUUUCUCUCUAUGCAUAUUUAAGGGGUGAGGGUAAAAUAGUCUUAAAAUAAUAUUGUUUUUUUAAACUUUAGUAAAGAUUUGUGCAUUUAGGCAUAAAAAGGUUACUUUAUAUUGAAAUGAGCUAAUAAAAAAGAUUGUCAUCAGAACGAGAAAUAAGAGGUUUAAAUUAGUUCUAAAUAAGCAUUUUCCUUAAAAAUAAUCACCUUAAAACAAUGGUUCCGACAGUCUUUACACAUAAAAAUAAUUACAGAUUAUGCCAUCGUCUCUCUCACAAAACUAGUUGAUCUCUCUCUCACUCACCGAUGCACCAUCAAUGCUUCAACUCCCUGGCCGAUCCCAUAGAUUUCCGAAACUCCGACGGAGACUGGUUCUCCGACGCCGGUAACGAUUCCAACCGAGAAGUCAGAUGCUUCAUCUUCGAUCUCUUCCGGUCGCACGGCGACGCUUGCGGCUGUGUUGUCUUCUCUGUCCACCGUAGAUUCGGAGCGGGUCGAGUCUGAGUCCUCCAGAUCUUCGCCGUCCACCGUAGAUUCGGAGCGGGCCGAGUCCGAGUCCUCCAGAUCAACCAGACUUUGCACUCUCUGUUUCUCUUCUUUACUUCAAAUUCAAUAUCUAUUUUGAUUUCAAUUGCGCCCUCCAGACGAAUCAGCUUAUCUGGGCUUGAAGUGCCUUUGACUAGCCUCAGCUUAGGAUCGUCGUUGUGCUUUGAGCCUCAUGUAAGAAGAUUUGGUCACGAUAUUACCCAUUCAAAUCCAAUACCAUUUGUGUUGAUAAUCGUAUACAUGGCAAAGUACCCAAAUCCUUCAUAUGGAUUUCAAUAGCAUUGUUUCUUGUACCAUCCGUUCAAUUCCAUGUCUCAUUGGUUAUGGUCUUUGACUCUUUGUCUCUUUUGGUUAGAGAAAAGGAGAAGAGCUCAGUAGGUAACUAGCUUUGUAACUUACAAAGUAAUAAGUAACAAGUUGACAAUGUAACUAUUUAUGUAACUAGCAAUAUAACUAAGUGAUCAUGUAAUUGAUUAAGGGACUAAUUAUAAAGUGAUUGGUUUACUUGGUGGCAACUGAAGUAACUUGCAAUAUAACCAAUAGUCAUGUAAAUUUUCUGUAUAAUUGAUUAUGAAACUUGUUAAGUUUUUAGUUAUGUAACAAAAUAUGUAACUACUCAAGUAACAUGUCAUGUAACUAAUUUUUUUGUAACUGCACCACAACAAUAGAGCAUUUCGAACAUUUAACUGGUAGUCAUGUAAUUGAUCAUGUAACUAGCUAAGUAACAUGUAACUGUCAAUGUAACUAGCUAUGUAACUAAGUGGUCAUGUAACGUAACUGUCUGCAAUCAUGUAACUACUUAGGUAACUGUCUAAGUAACAUAUGAUUGGCAAUGUAACUAGCUAUAUGUAUAACACGAAUGUAACUAGCUUUGUAACUUGUCAAGUGACGAGUAAUUGGCAAUGUAAAUAUAUAUAUAACUGGCAAUGUAAUUAUCAAUUUAACUUACAAUGUAACUACGCAAUCAUGUAACUAAUUAUGUAAUUGGCUCAGUAACAUGUAACUACCAAUGCAACUAGCUAUGUAACUGGUAAUGUAACUAAGCGGUUAUGUAACUUUUCAUGUAACUGGCAAUGUAACUGGUAAUGUAACUAGCAAUGUAACUAUUUAUGUAACUGACGGUUAUGUAACUUUCCAUGUAACUAGCAAUGUAACUGGCAAUGUACAUAUUUGGAACUAUCUAGGAUGUACUUUGAAGCCAUAAGACAGAAUAUGCUUAAUGUUAUCCAAUUAUUCUACAUAUAGGACACAAGUGAUUAAGUACACCAAGUACUACUUGGAAACAAAUAAGCAAGGUAGCUCAAUUGUUGGAGAGCCUGGUUACAUUCUUAACAUCAGAUGUGGCCAGCAAGAGAGAAGAAUGUGUAGGCUAUGGAGCUGGCAAUGUGGUCAUAAAAGAUAUUCAGUGAUUUACAGAAAUUCGGGAGUGGUGUGUGCCGGAUAUUUGUGUUAUUCAGGUUGCUUACUUCCGAUGCAGCUGAGCCUGCGGUCAACAGUGCAUAUGCAAAUACCUGUGAAAGAGAGAACAUUAAUUUGGACAGAUGAACUUGUAUAUUAGACACAUGCUAGCAAUAACAUCUACGUAACAUCUAACUAGAAAACAAGCUACAAUACUACAAACUCUACUCAUCCAAAUCCACCUUCUAAAAUCUAACUACACCUCGGUUGCUACAUUUGCUAUCUGCCCAUAUCAUUGCCAAGUCAGGGUUACUACUUUCAAGUUUAAACUCCCUGAUUCAAAAUGCACUUCAUAUGAUGAAUGCUCAAUUACUAAUACAUGACCAAAAACACUCAUGUUCAACUUCUCUACAAUCCUAAUAGCCUAUGAAAACAAACAGAAUUUGUAGAAAACAAACACAAAAAACAAAUCCUCAACAAGACACCUUUUGUUGCUUUACCAAAAUGUAGCAAAGAAACAAUCAGAUCAGCAACAAUAGCUACAACAAUUAUUUACAUAUCCAAAUGCAUACACCACCCCAGUUCAUAAUUCAAAUCCAUGACCCUAGUUCUUCAAAACUCAACCACACUCAAACUCGACAAAUAGACAAACUUUGAUACCUGAGUUGAAAUCGACGGUCGCCGGAAAACACAAAACAUGGUCGGGAAAAUUCAAAAACUUCAUCUCUUCGAUUCUCUCUCCCAAGUUGACUUAUGUACAAGAAACUGCAAUAGGCUUCGUGAUUUAAUGGCCUCCAAUUCCGAACCCGACAACUCUUACUACCCCUCCCCUUCCCAAAACCGACAGUCAUCUCACCUUCCCUACAUCUUCAAGCGCCGGCGAUGUGACGAGGAUAGGGGACACUGGGGGCCUUGACGGAUUUGACGAGGUGGAGUAGACGAUGCCGCCGGCGAGCGCCGAUGACUAGCGCGGCCUAGAGACGCAGGGGAUGGAGAGGGAGAUGCGGCGACUGAGCCCAGCGGAGAUGAGGUAUCAACUGAGGGUAAGCGGGGUUCGCAAGAGCUCCAACGGAGUGCAUGUAUUUGCGAUCGGAGACCAGAGCUCUGUUCACGAUCAUGUCGACGAUCGUCGGUGAUAAGGGGAGAGAGAGGAGAGAGAGAGAGAGAGAGAGAGAGAGAAGNNNNNNNNNNNNNNNNNNNNNNNNNNNNNNNNNNNNNNNNNNNNNNNNNNNNNNNNNNNNNNNNNNNNNNNNNNNNNNNNNNNNNNNNNNNNNNNNNNNNNNNNNNNNNNNNNNNNNNNNNNNNNNNNNNNNNNNNNNNNNNNNNNNNNNNNNNNNNNNNNNNNNNNNNNNNNNNNNNNNNNNNNNNNNNNNNNNNNNNNNNNNNNNNNNNNNNNNNNNNNNNNNNNNNNNNNNNNNNNNNNNNNNNNNNNNNNNNNNNNNNNNNNNNNGAGAGAGAGAGAGAGAAAUAUGAAGGAAAUUAGAGAGGAGGGUAGAAUAGUCAUAUAAAAGUGUGAAAAUAGACAUUUUUAUCAUUUAAGAUGUUAUGAGGUAACUAUCUUAUCAUGUAACAUGUUUUUAUGGUGAUCUUUUUAUCAUGUGAAUAUUUGAAGACUAUUUUAUUAUUUGUACAUUCAAAUGGUAAUUUAGUGUUAUAUCCACUAUAUAAUAUAGAGGGAGGAUCUAAAGAGGGGUUUUGUCUAUCAUAUCAUAUGGUAUGACAUACCUAUUGUAAAUGUGUCUAAUUGUAUGACACACGAGAAUUUUUAAAGGGGUAAAUGGUCAUUUAAGUGCUUAUUCAAUCAAUGAUAGCCACACAUUUUAUGAGGCAUGUAUGAAAGGUACGAUCAAGCAUUAAAAUAUCUACGAUAUAUCCGAUUUAUCUCUCGAUAACUUUUUUUUGAAUGACCGAUAUAUCUAGAGGGGUAAAUAUCUUAUCUUUCACCGGUCCAGUCUGAACCGGCGUCUCCUCCUCUCUCACCCUGGGCCAGUGAGCACUGCCACAGCGCUGCCGAACGGGAGGAAACUCGUCCCGAAGGGCCGACUGUUUUCUCGCCGGAGCUCCCUCCUCUGACCGCCAUAGCCAGCGAUUCUUGGCUCGUUUUGAAACUCUCCUCCCGUGCAUCAAUUAAUCCCUCCAAAGGGCUCAUCCUCUCUUGGUCUAGGUAAGGAGAACCGGUGAGUGGAAGUUUUAAGGCUUAUUUGGGUGUUUUCGUUCGAUUGGCCUAGUUAAGCUUGGAAUUGGUGUUUGUGCUAGUUAGGAAAGUUGUAGAGUGGGUUGAGAGGAAGAUGCUAUCAAAAUUUCAUAGGCAUUGGAGGUCACCGGAGUCGGCCCUUGGCCGCCGUUGCCGGCGGCGCCGCCGCUGUUUGAGAGAUUUUUAUAGUUUUAAAUGUAAAAUAUUAAGGGGAGUUUAAUGAUGUGAAGUUUGGAAUUUUUGGAGGAGUUUUGGAUAUGUUUGAGAUUUUUGAAAGAUUGGUGAAUUUGGCGGUUAAUGGGGUAGAAUCCGACCUUUGGAUUUCCUUAUUAUUGUUUUAGAAUGUUGAAAUAAAUGAAAUAAGGCUGUGGUUGGAGUUUGACAUGAAUUCGAUAAGCUUAACACUAGAAAGGGUAGUGGGUUAGGCGGAAGAGUUUUGGGUUAUAUAUUUAAGUAUUAUUUAUUCUGAAAUUGAAGUGUGGUCCUAAGCAUGGUUUUUGUGCCAGGAUUUGAUACCUCACUUGAGUGGCGAAUUGGAUAUCGUCGGGCUUAUGCCUAAAGUUGUGAGUGGACGUUUGUUUUAAAUAAUAUGCAUGCAUUAAGUUAUUGUGGAAUAGUUGUUUUUAUUGGAGCAUGUGAUGUCAUUUUAUUUUGGUGAUCUUAAUGAGAUUUUCGGUGGAGUCAUAUGAUUAUUGUUUCUUUUAUAAUUGGCAAUUUUCAUUAUUUUGGAAGUUAUCGAAAAUGAGAUUUUCGGUGGAUAUUAUGAGGAUAGUAUGUAUAUAAAUAAAUGCUAGCUAGCUAUACGUGCUUUUCCGCUAUAAUGAGGUAAAAUUCUAUUAUGGUGUGACGUGAGCGUUAGACGUAAUCGUCGUAGCCCUACAUAAAUAUAAGAAUUUAUGUAGGGAAUAUGCACGUGUAUAUACACUCGUGCUUUUCCGCCAUAAUGAGGUAAAAUUCCAUUAUGGUGCGACGUGAGCGUUAGACGCAAGCGUUGUAGCCUUGUGUGAAUUUAUAUCUCUAUUUGUUGUUUCAAGAAAAUUCAUACAAGGAAUAUGACGAGUGUAAUAUAUACAUAUUUUAGUUUAGCCUGAGAGGCUUUAUUUUGUUAAAUUUGGAGACUAGCCGGAGCUAGUCAUGUAAUUGUCAAUUGUUGAGUUGAGAGCUUUUGAGCCGUCGCAUGCAGCAUAUUUUUUAUGGAAAUUUAAAUUGGGAAAACAUAAAUAUUUUAUCAUUAAAUUCAUUUUUGUCCACUCACUCUAACGGUUUUAAAUGUUUUCUCACGGGCCCUUCGUUUGAAAAAUGCCAAAUUUGCAGGUUAGCAUAGUUGAGGUUGGGCAUACAUAGAGAAGAGGCAUAGUCAAUAGUAUAGCUUCCGCUCAUUUUUAUAUUUAUAGUUUUUUUUUCUCUUAAAUAGAGUUUCUCUGAAAUGUGGUUGUUGGUUGUGAGUUUUUCUUUUUAAAGUUAGUAAAUAAAUUGAGAGAUGUUGUGAUUUGGGGGAGCACGAAGGCUCCAGGAGCUUAAGGUUGGAUUUGGAUUUUCAGAAGUGUAUGCAUGUAUUAUUAGGAAGGGUUGUCCAUUUUCAAGAGAGGUUAUGCCGAAUUUUCAGUAAACUUUCUUUGGAGGUGGUCCCUGCAUAAUUUACUUCAGGUUUCAUGGUGAAAUUCGGGGUGGGAUGAACAUGAGCAGUUCAGAAAAGCUAGUAAUGAGAAAAGAAAAGCUUACGGAUAGAGAGAGAAAGUCCAUACAAUGGGUCAAGAAAAACUAUAUUUAAAACAUCCCGAUUAGUUGUCAAAUCAAUGGACCACUACCUCAGCAAGAUCCCACAACGUAAGUUUUAAAAGUUUUCCAAGAGCUAUAUUCUCAUCAUCAUGAUCGGAGAAUUGCUCGGAAUCACUAUCACUCCAAGACACCUUAAAGGCUUUGUGGGAUUUAUUCUUCCUACUUGAACAUUCAACAGCUUUAUGUCCAACACCACCACACUCAUAGCACUUAUCACUUUUCUAAAAGGGUUUAGGCUUGGGAUUCCUAUCGCCUGUGGUAUCACUAGGUUUAGGACUCCUAGAAGCCGAACCUCGGGAGGGAUAACGACCAACAGGAAAAGACCUUCUCUUCCUAAGCAUCUUAUCAAACUGUUUAGUUAGGUAGGCAAUCUCAUCCAAACUAUCCUCAAGAGCCUCCGGUUCCUUUUCUUUCUCAUCUACCUCAUUGACAGUGGAUAAGGCUAUGGUCUUUUCCUUCCUAGACUUCCUUCUCUUAGACUCGAAAACUUUCAAGUUUCCUACCAACUCAUCUAAGGAAUAGGUGUUUAGAUUCUGGGCUUCCUCUAUGGCAAUUUGCUUAGCCUCAUAACUAGGAGGAAGAGCACGGAGGAAUUUUUUGACAAUCCUAUGGGAGGGAAUGGGGUCUUCCAAUCCUUGGCACUGGUUUGUGACACUAAGAACGUGACCAUGAAACUCAUCUAUACUCUCAUCCUCACGCAUAGUCAUUUCCUCAAACUCAAGGAACAAGCUCUGAAGUUUCUGAGCCUUUACCUUAGUGUUACCCUCAUAGGUAGUGGCUAAGGUAUCCCAAGCAUUCUUAGCGGUAGGACAAGUGAUGAUCCUUCUUCGCUCUUUUUCAGAUAGUGCAGAAAACAAGCUGUUUGAGAGCUUUGGUGUUCAUUCUAAAAUCACCUUUUUCAAUAUCAUCCCAUUCUGAUUUGGGUUUCUGCAUUAAUACGGCAGAACCCUCAUUCAUGGGUUUCAUAGGGUGUUUCCAACCCUCUUCGACCAUAGUCCAUUGUCUCCCAUCAUCUUGGGAGAUAAGGAAAGCGGUCAUCAUUACCUUCCACUGAGAAUAGUCCAUUCCAUCAAAGAAUGGUGGAGUAUUCACAGGGGUAGGGCCUCUACCACGGUCCAUUCUCAGGACACAGAGGGAUCUCACUAGCUAGGCUAGCGACCCGCUCUGAUACCACUUGAAGGUUCUAGAGGGGGGGUGAAUAGGCCCUGACAACUUCUUUGCUCUAUCCCGCACACAAGGAUAGCAAAGAUUGUGCUAUCCUGUUUGCUGUGAGACUAAGUUGUGUAAAUAAAAAGACAAGUACUGAAAGUAAAAGAUAUAACAUGCACCAGUACGUUUUUUAUACUCAGAAACCCUGCAACCAGGGAGAAAAACUGCAUGCCUCUAACUCAUGAGAGACAAACUAUUCCACUAUUGUAAAGACAUUUUUUACAAGACUCACAACUCAGAGGAUAGCACAACACCUAGCCAUCUUGCCUAGUCUAACUACUAGCACACAACUGAACUUGCUCUCUUGUCACUCAAGUGUUUUACACAUAGCACGAAUCUAAGCUUCUAUGCAUAAUUCAACUAACACCUUUAGCUAAAUCUCAAAGACAGCUUACAACUUGCUUCACACGAACUUAACUAACUCCUUAGCUAAUUCUCUAUGAAGACUUCACCGGGUUGCAUCACCUAGACCGCUCUCAAGGUAUGCAUGAACAAUGAACAAUGAACAAUGAAAUGGGCUUUGAAAAUGUUUUGAUGCUCAGCUCUAAGAUUUAUANNNNNNNNNNNNNNNNNNNNAACCAAAGAGCAAGAGAGGUCUUGCUCUCUAUUUAUAGGCAAGGUGCACAGCUAUAAGGAAGCAAGCACGUUUGCCAUAACAACAAGGUUUCUUUUGGACUCUAGCUGCUUGUCUGAAAUACUAGGACGGAUAGGACCCUAGGGAUCCCUCCACUCACAAGACAAAAGCUGAGAAUAGACUUUCCUAGGAAAGACUAAAGCCAAAAGGAUAAGACAAAAGGUUUUGGGAAAACUAGAUCAGAUUUAGUCAAGCAUAAAGACUCUACAAAACCACUUUACCUAAGAGGACACUUAGGACAGCUGAUAGCUUGGGCGGUGCAUCACAUGGGCAGCUGCUAACUUGGUUUGUGUAUCACAAAACCCAGCUGGUUCCCAAAGGCCACUUAAAAACUGAAACAGACACAUUUGAAUAUGCACAUGGUCAGACCCAGUAGAUAGAACAGAUACAGCAGGGGUAUCCGUUUAAUCGGGAUGGCAAGCACGGCUGCCAUCCUUAGUGAAUGAAUGAGAUGCACAUGCAUGAACUACCUGAUGCACAUGAGAUCUGUCAGGUUCUUCAUUCUUCACUUGAGUAGUCCUUGCUACCAGGCUACAACAUGUAGCAUGUAUCCUUAUGUUUCCCUAGCUUUCCCUCCUUCUCAUCUUGUCUUUGAUGAGUACAUAUUACUCUCUCAGGGUUGAUUGGUUAUGAGAAGUCUAUUGACCCUGAAACUCUUCCCCAUGUUGUGAAGUAGUCUGUUGAUGGGUUGGGAUGGGUUAAUUCCUUAGUAUCCUUUCCUAGGGUUAACCAUACUUGGGUACAUGACAUUUGUGCAAACUUUUCCUUAGGACAUUGGUGUAGAUGUUGAGCUUAGAUCUUAAGAUCCUAUCUUGUGCUCAACCAUACGUCUCUAGGAUAUCUAGACUGUUCGUACCUCAUAUACCCUACGAGAGUUCUCUCUUGGUUUUUCUGGGUCUUCACACCAAGCUAUGCUUUAUAGCUCUUGUUUGGUUGUGGAAUUAAGAGGUUUUUGCCUUUGACUUUUCCCAUGUUGACAAAGUCAUUAUUGCCACCCUUGAUAGUGAGGAUGAGUUUGCUGGAAAUAGAGUUGCUAAUGCUGAGGAUGAUAUGUUCUUGUGAUUAUGUUGAACCGCUCUGAUCUUGUUCCGGUUGUUUUAUCAUUCUCGGCUACACUGGUCUCCCUUUGUCAUUCCAUGUCAAAAAGGGGGAGAACUAGUUGUAGGGCUGUGUUGUUAAAAACUAUGUUGUUUCAACUAUGGUAUUGCUAUGGUAUGUUUCAUUGCUUCUGUGCUUAGUUGUUAUUGCUGUCAUGAAGUUUAUGAUGCAUAAUAUUGUUGCUAUCCCAUAGUUGGUACAUAUGAGUUUUUGGCCCUCCAAUUCUUCACUUGUUCUUAAGACUGUUUGUGCAGGUUUUUCAGUCUCUUUUUGACUUGUCUUUCAACCAGCACAACCUUUGAAUGUGUGUUUUGAUCAGGAAUGCCAAAGGGGGAGAUUGUUGGUACAAGAAUUGUUGGCUAUCCCUUUAUGAUCAAAACACAAGGAUACAUGCUACAUGUUAUAGCCUGGUCGCAAGGACUACUCAAGUGAAGAAUGAAGAACCUGACAGAUCUCAUGUGCAUCAGGUAGUUCAUGCAUGUGCAUCACAUUCAUUCACUAAGGAUGGCAGCCGUGCUUGCCAUCCCGAUUAAACGGAUACCCUUGCUAUAUCUGUUCUAUCUACUGGGUCUGACCAUGUGCAUAUUCAAAUGUGUUUGCUUCAGUUUUUAAGUGUUUGAAUUUCAAAUACCUUUUAGCAAAACAUUAGUCUAUUCGUACUUGAGCUCCAAGUUAGUCUAGGGUGGUGUGGCAAACCAACCCGUGACCACAUAACUUGAGCCUUUGGGAACCAGCUGGGUUUUGUGAUACACAAACCAAGUUAGCAGAUGCCCAUGUGAUGCAUCGCCCAAGCUAUCAGCUGUCCUAAGUGUCCUCUUAGGUAAAGUGGUUUUGUAUAGUCUUUAUGCUUGACUAAAUCUGAUCUAGUUUUCCCAAAACCUUUUGUCUUAUCCUUUUGGCUUUAGUCUUUCCUAGGAAAGUCUAUUCUCAGCUUUUGUCUUGUGAGUGGAGGGAUCCCUAGGGUCCUAUCCGUCCUAGUAUUUCAGACAAGCAGCUAGAGUCCAAAAGAACCUUGUCGAUGUGGCAAACGUGCUUGCUUCCUUAUAGCUGUGCACCUUGCCUAUAAAUAGAGAGCAAGACCUCUCUUGCUCUUUGGUUGUUGAAAAUUGUCAUUUGCAUUUUCUCCCUUUAAGUCUUAGCAUUAUUGCUUCUUUGCUCAUUUGCUCUAAGUCUUCCUCGUUGAUUAUAAAUCUUAGAGCUGAGCAUCAAAACAUUUGCAAAACCCAUUUCAUUGUUCAUUGUUCAUUGUUCAUGCAUACCUUGAGAGCGGUCUAAGUGAUGCAACCCGGUGAAGUCUUCAUAGAGAAUUAGCUAAGGAGUUAGUUAAGUUUGUGUGAAGCAAGUUGUAAGCUGUCUUAGAGAAUUAGCUAAAGGCGUUAGUUGAAUUCUGCAGAGAAGCUUAGAUUCGUGCUAUGUGUAAAACACUUGAGUGACAAGAGAGCAAGUUCAGUUGAGUGCUAGUAGUUAGACUAGGCAGGAUGGCUAGGCGUUGUGUCAUCCUCUGAGUUGUGAGUCUUGUAAGAAGUGUCUUUACAAUAGUGGAAUAGUUUGUCUCUCAAGAGUUAGAGGCACGCAGUUUUUCUCCUUGGUUGCAGGGUUUCUGCGUAUAAAAAACGUACUGGUGUUAUAUCUUUUACUUUCAGUACUUGCCUUUUUAUUUACACAACUUAGUCUCACAGCAAACAGGAUAGCACAAUCUUUGCUAUCCUUGUGUGCGGGAUAGAGCAAAAAGUUGUCAGGGCCUAUUCACCCCCCCCCCCCCCCCCCUCCUAGGACCUUCAAGAGCGAUGUGCUAGUUAAGCAAAUACACAAUGCCAUGGGAGAAUAAUCAUUGUGUAUCACAAAACCCAGCUGGACUCAAAAGGAGCUAACCUAAAAGUACUUUAGUCAUGUGCUCAUGGGUUGGAAGAACAACACAACCCUAAACUAACUUGGAGCUCAAGCACGAUGAAAAAUGUUUUGCUAAAAGAGAUUUGAAAUUCAAAUACUUGAAAAGCUGAAGCAAAACCAUUUAAAUAUGCACGAAGUCAAACUCAGAGAUUAGGAUAGAUACAACAGGGGUAUCCACCAAAUCUGGAUGGCAAGCAGACCUGCCAUCCUGAAUGAAUGUGAUGCACAUGCAUGAACUACCUGAUGUACAUGAGAUAAAAACAAAGAGCCAGCUAGUAUAUUAGUUUGUGUAUCACAAACCUAGCUGGAGCCUCUAAGCUCUAGUCAUGUGGUCACGGGUUAGAAACACUACACAACCCUAGACUGACUUGAAGCAUUAAGACAACGACAAAUGUUUUGCUAAAAGGGAUUUGAAUUCAAACAGGGGAAUUCAAACUAAUGAUACACAAAUAGCAAAAGCAUUUAGACAUGCAUACAUAUAGACCCAAUAGAUUAGGACAGAUACACCAGGAGGUAUCAUCCGAUCUAGGAUGACAAGCAAAGCUGUCAUUCUCAAUGAAAAACAUGAGAUGCAUAUGCAUGAACUACCUGAUGCACAUGAGAUCUAGGUAGGUCUUCAUUCUUCACUUGUGAUAUCCUUACCAUCAGGAUAUGUAGAAUUCUCAGUGAAAAGCAUCAGAUGCAUAUGCACCAGUUACCUAGGACACAUGUGAUCUUGUCAAGUCUUCAUUCUUCACUUGUGAUAAAAUAACUUGUGUCUUGUGAUUUGAUCAUAAAAGGGAUAGCCAACAAUCCUUAUACCAACAAUCUCCCCCUUUGGCAUUCCUUAUCAAAACACAUAUUCACGGAUUGUGUUGGUUAAGCAAGUCAUGGACUGAGAAAUAAACCUGCACAAUAACCUUAAGAACAAGUGAAGAAUGGGAGGGCCAUAAAACAUUCAUGAAUCAUAACUUCUGGAUAGCAGAUAUAUCAGGCAUCAUAAACUUCAGAAUAGCAGAUAUACCAAUCACAGAAGUCAUUAAAAACAACAACAUUCAUGAAGAGUUUCCAACAGACAGCCCUUCAGCCACUUACCUACUUCUCCCCCUUUUUGACAUGGAAUGACAAAGGGAGACCAGAUCUUCAAAUAGACAUGUAGCCAAGAAUGAGAAAAGCAACCAAAAUAAGGUCAGAGCGGUUCAAACUAAUCACAUAAACGUGUCAUCCUCAUCAUUAGCAACACCUCAACAAACUCAUCCUCACCAUCAGGGAUGGUAGGAAACAUCUCCAAGAUGUGCUCAAGAGACCCGGCAAACUCAUUAGAAUGUCAUGAAGACUUGGCAAUGAUGACUUUGUCAACAAGGGAAAAGUCCGGGGUAAAAGCCUUAUGAUUCUAUACUCAAACAUUAGCUACAAAGCAUAGCUUGGUGUGAAUACCCGAAAGACCAAGAGAAAACUCUUGGAGGGUAUAUGGGAUACGAGCAGUCUAGAUAUCCUAGAGACGUAUGGUUAAGCACAAGAUAGGAUCCUAAGAUCUAAGCUCAACAUCUACACCAAUGUCCUAAGGGAAAGUUUGCACAAAUGUCAUUUACCCAAGUAUGGUUAACCCUAGGAAAGGAUACUAAGGAAUUAUCUCAUCCCAACCCAUCAACAAACUACUUCACAACAUGGGGAAGAGUUUCAGGGUCAAUAGACUUCUCAUAAACAAUCAACCUUGAGAGAGUAAUAUGUACUCAUCAAAGACAAGAUGAGAAGGAGGGAAAGCUAGGGAAACAUAAGGACUUUUGGGAGACAAAAUGGGUUUGGCAUCCCUACAGCAGCUGGAGCUUUUCCUUCAAAGACAUCGUCUCCAUCUCUGAGUUUAGGCACUUUCCGAAUACUAGCAUCAACAAUAGCCGAACAAACAGGUCUACGUUUCAGUAAGAACUGAAGAGAAUGAUGGUGGAAAGGUGAUCUUGAUCUUGGGAGAGAUAAGCUCAAAAGGAUCAAGAAAGAGAGAGUGGGGCAGUUAGGAUGGCAUAUAGGCAGCGGAGGAAGCGUCGUGGUUUGACGUCAGAGUAUGCCUCUAAAACUACAACUCACUCAAACUCAAAACAACUAGCUAGAGUUUAAUCCCUUCAAAUCUCAAAGCUAGAGUUUAAUCCCCUCAAAUCUCAAAGCUAGAGUUUAAUCCCCUCAACUAUCCUAGAACUUGGGAAACAAGCCAAUCAUCAAAGCAAAAGCCAAGAUCCUUCUCAGAAUAGAAGAGAUGCUUUAUAUCACAUGUAAUAUGGCACAACCAAGAACAAACAAUCUCACACUCAAAAACAUUUAACUCACGAGAAGAAGUUCCCUAAAUGUAUUGACUAAGAUGCAAAUAUGUGUAUAGGUCAUGACAUCAAUAUACUCCCCCUAAAAGGGUGCAAUGCUCUCCCUAUGAGUGUGCACAAUAUAAAAGAAGGAACAACUAGAUGCAGGACCUAUAAUCUGAUCCAAAUCAUAUAAUUGUAAGUAAAACUCACAAAGUCCUCAAACAACAUGCAAAGGGUGACACACAAGAGUUUCCAAAGACUUUUGACAACCUUAAUUUAGAAAAAUAUAAGGUGCAUGUGUGUACCACAAGUUACCAAUUACUCCCCCUAAGAAAGUGCAUAAAUUUCAAAGAUAAUUAAACACCUUCAGUAGAGUAAAGCACAAUAUGAGC
Molecule: long non-coding RNA, 130008 nt
Filed under: Fragaria vesca (wild strawberry)
Lineage: Eukaryota; Viridiplantae; Streptophyta; Magnoliopsida; Rosales; Rosaceae
Description: long non-coding RNA (FVES_LNC000080)
Source: RNAcentral